Molecule: long non-coding RNA, 175800 nt
Filed under: Triticum aestivum (bread wheat)
Lineage: Eukaryota; Viridiplantae; Streptophyta; Magnoliopsida; Poales; Poaceae
Description: long non-coding RNA (TAES_LNC028382)
Source: RNAcentral
ACAUUGUCUUGAUACAACUUUAUUUGUAUUUUAUUUCAGAAUUUAAACAACUAGUUUGGGCGGGUCACACACGACGUUGUGUGACACUUUAUUUGUCACCGCUGCAUCGACAUAUCCAUCGACUAAACAACGGUGAUCCAACUAUAUAUUACUAGAGACCUUUCCUUAUCAGUAGGCACCAACUCCGGUGCCAACGCUGAAUGGCACACUAGUGGUGGUUCUAUACAAGGGCACAUUGACACGGCACAUCGUUGGCAGGGUACGGAGCGCAAUGGAAGUCAUCACCUCAAGCUGAGCUAUCUGGUGUGGAUGCAAAAAGGUACCCUGUGCCAAUUGUUGUUGUUGAGGUUGUUGCCCGAGUUGCUGCUGCGACUGCUGUUGGGGUUGGGAAACGCAUUGGCCCAACUAUUGCGGUUGCUGCUGCUGAGUUUGGAUGGAACCCUGAACCUGUUGUUGUUCUUGCAGGACGAUGGAGUAGAUGAUAGCACGGAUUGCCUCAUAGCGGGAUUGCUGGGGGAUUUGCGGCAACUGCUGGCAACAUUGUUGUUGCAUCACAUGGCAACUGCUCUGCUGCAACAUUUGCGACCUAGCAAGACUUUGUGGCAUUGCCACAGGGCUGCAUUGCUGCUGGAGGAAUACCUUGCAUGGGUUUAGUUGCUGCAAGAUAGAUGGAUGAACAAAUGGUAUUUGUUGUUGCGGUAGAACUGAUUGUUGUUGUUGCGAAAAUGGUGGUUGUUGCGGUAGUACUGGUUGUUGUUGUUGCGAAAAUGGUGGUUGUUGCUGUGAAAAUGGUGGUAGUUGUUGCUGCGAAAAUGAUGGUUGUUGCGGUAGAACUGGUUGUUGUUGCUGCAAAAAUGGUGGUUGUUGCUAUGAAAAUGGUGGUUGUUGCGAUAGAACUGGUUGUUGUUGCUGUGAAAAUGGUGGUUGUUGCUGUGAAAAUGGUGGUUGUUGUUGCUGUGAAUAUGGUGGUUGUUGUUGCUGCGAAAAUGGUGGUUGUUGUUGCUGCGAUAAUGGUGGUUGUUGUUGUUGCUGUGAACAUGGUUGCUGUUGUGGAAAUGGUUGUGGUUGUUGUUGGAUAGGUUGUUCUUGUUGUUGGUGCCAUAAUGUUUGUUGUGGUGGUAAUGGUUGUUGCUGCGAUGGUCUCUCCAAACCAGGGAUGUGGCUAUUCUCCAUUUGUGCAAUGGCACUUGUCGCCGCAACGGCGAGGAGGGCAAAGAUGAGGAAGGUCUUCAUGGUGGAUUGGUGUUAACUAGUGUUGCUUGGUUUUGAUGCUUGUGCUUGUGACGAUCUUUAUACUUCAUGCCUAUUUAUAGUAGCCCGGGCACCACCUUUUUCUUCUUUGCAUUAGCUUUAAUAAUUUUGUUUGGAUGCAAAAAUGAUUUUUGGUACAAUGUGUUAGGUUGCACUAGCUACACGCGUACUUUUGGAUUGAUCAUCAAAGUUGCUUUUUAGUUGUGCAUAUGAUCACACAUAAAGUACAGAAACCUUGAUGUUUGGUAUAUAUGACUCACCUUAUUCACUUUACAUGUCACACACUUAUCUGGAUAGUAUCACUUUUGCAACCGAGUUUGGAACCUUGUAUAGGCUGUCAUCCAUAAACAAGAAAGGCAAAACUUGUGUAGGACUAAGUGUAGAACUAACUUUGUAUUUUUCCUCUAAAAUGAUUAGAUGAACCGACGCCUAUAGAGCAUGACAUGACUCAUCGAAUUCCCUUUACAUGUAAAGGAUGGUAAUUGCUUACAAGCUACUCCUACUAGCAUAUAUCCGGUCCUAACUCUUGACACGUCAUCAUCAGUUUCGCCUAUUUUUUUAGAUAAAUCAUCAGUUUCAUCUAUUUGUGAAGGGUUUUUUUGGGGGAAAUGAUAGUUUUUUUAUGCUAGGGGGAUUUUUUUGGGGGGGGGGGAUGACGCUAGGGGGAAAUGAUAGAUGGGGCUGGAACAGAGGCCCCCAGCCUGGAGCGAGAGAUUAGGCCCAACAUAAGUGCCGUGUGUUAGGGCACCAAUUCGAUUUGGGCUAUAGUUCUCGUAGGCCCCAACGACACAAGCCCAGCCCACACUCCGCGGAUCUGCGUCCCUCCCUUCCUCGUCCUCCUCGCCGGCCGGACCGCUCGCCGUCGCAGCCUCUCCCGGACGCCCACCGCUCGCGGCCCCUCCACGUACCUCCGCGGCAGCGGAGACGUCAGCCUCCCUCCCACCCUCAACAUCCGGCCCCCCACCACCACCACCACCGCUCGACAAAAAAGGUCACUUUUGAAGCUCCUCCGUCGAUUGUGGGCCGUACGUCGACGGCAGCCACUCCGACCUCCCCAUCAACACAAGGUAUCGAUUUGUUUCGUCUGUCUCUUCCAACGAUUCAAUGCACAUAAAUCCGAGAGGCAGACCCAUCUCCAUGCUAGCUGCACGGAUUAGGAGGGUCAGGCAUCAGAAUUCAGCUGGGAAGCCUGACAGUAAUGUACAUUUGUGGCUUUAGUAGCUGAAUAUAACUAUGUGCUUUCUGAGAAUUUCACUUCAAAAGUUCCAAUAAUCAUCAAAUUUCCCCCUAUGCGCGCUAAGCAGGUGGACCAUAUAUUUCUCAUGUCGACGAACGAAAAAACAAAACUCCACAACUAGAAGUCUAUGAUAUUGACACGGAACCGUGCUGUAGGGUCGCAAGUAAAAAUAUGAAAAGCAUGCCUAAUAAGCGAGAUGACGCAGUUCCUGACCGCCCCGCUACGACUAUUGGUUCCAGCGUGGCGUUUGAAUUAUGCCGCGCUAGAUGUCUUUUGUCCGGCGAGGAACAAGUGGGGUCAAGCGUGCUUCGGCAAUUCCCGCCGUCAGAAGACUUCCUUGUAGUCCGGUGUAGAGGUGAGGUUGUGGGGAGAUACAUCGACUAGCACUACUAGGGAAAAGGCUAGCAGCAGCGCGGGUUUUAGAUGUAUCAGUAGUGCGGGUACCCGCGCUACUAAUACGGCGCUACAGCUAACUCAUAGCAGUAACGCGUGAGCACCCGCGCUACUGCUACACAAGUGUAGCAGCAGCGCGGUUAUGAGAAGCUCGCUACCGCUAGUAGCGCUAGCGCUCUUUGGCCGGACGCUCUACUGCUAUUGAGGCGCUGCUGCUAACUUUUGUACACUCGCUACUGGUAAUUUAAGUAGUUUUUUGGCAUAUUUGUUUUGUAUUUGAACCGGCUUUGUAGAAGAAUCUUUAGCACAUAGAAAUGUCAUCAUGAUACACAUACAAAUGCCUGCGAGACCACAAAUGUAAUCAUAGCAUGUACAUACAAAUAGUCUCUUCAUAAUCAUCAUCCAACACAAAGUGAUAUCUUGUCAUCAUCUCGAAAAUAGCAAUACAUGCAAGUCUCGAAUACUUGCAACUACAACAACGUCAUCCAUCUAAACAAAGGUAUACGCAAGAAGUGCUAUCACUAUGAGUGAGAGCGGAACCAUGCAGUACAUGAGGUGGCGGUUAUGAGUCCUCUCUUGCGCUAGCGUGAACCUCAAGUAACUAGCUUCUCCUUCUUGUCUGCUUUUGAAGCCUUUAUGGCUGGCGCCCGUGAACCCAUUCACUUGCGCCUGACACUCAUGCCACUCGUUGUACACCCCCGGAACCUUCCCUUUGUACACGACAUAGCAUUUCCAUCUCGCCAUCAAGAAACUAGGUACCUGUUAGAGAUGCAUGUUCAUGAAGAGGAUGUACAAUCAUAUAUAUGCAACAAAAUAUACUAGAGCAACACUAAGAAAGAAAGGUUAGCAACUAGAUGCAACAUAUACAUUACGCAAAUUAAUUAACUAGAGGUACGCAGGUCAUCGUACGCAAACUAACAAAGUAGCGUUACGCAAGUUUGGCAGGGACCAUGGACAUCACAAAGUUUCAUCGCUACAAAAAGUAUACAAGUUCAACCGACACAUAUCAUCAUCAUCGGCAUCAUAAAUCACUAGAAGUUCCAUCCUUCCAUAUCAUCGAGGACGAACCCUAGCUGCUUGAACGGCGUGAGGUCUAGACGUUGCAUGCCUAUGCGAGUUCGGACGUCAGCUCGCGAUAUAGGGCCGUGGUGGAACAUCCCCUUCUCAUCGACGACUUCUUUCAUGAUGAUCAUCGCAAUGUCGCUUUGGAUGCGAAAGAAGUCAUCUCUAAGUUUAUAAUUCGCUUCUCCAUGAGAUUCUAGCCACUUGUGGAUAUGAUCAUCAUUUCUGCUGUUAAUGCGAAGCUUUUGGUGAUCCGUGUUGAACUGAAUCAUGAGAUGGACGAUGUAGAAUCCAUCCUUCUUGCUUGGUUUUGGGACGUGGAUGCAGGAGAAGUUAGUUUUAUGCGCGAAACCCAUCUUCUUGUUCCUUUGUUUCCUGAUAUGCACGUGGCCACCUCUAAAGUUGAAGCCUUGGAGAGCAUCAUCUAGAAUAUUCAUUAUGUGGGUGUAGUCCUUUUUCUCGUAGUCUCUAGAAGGGUCAAAAUACACGGCGUGGGAGACUUGCGGGUAAAGAAUGAUAAGGACGGCGCGCCCGUUGCUGCGGGGAAAAGACACCUCAAAUUAUUCCCCAUAUGAGAGAGAAGGAAUGAUUGAAAUGUACGAAAGGGUUGUCCGGAACUGACUUACUUUGGAUGAUAAGGCACGAGGACAAUUUCCCGGUCCUUAUUCUGUACCAUGAAGUUUUGGAGGUACUCCCUAGCAGUUUCACGCUCAAAGUCGCCGAGACUCAAGAAAGACUCGUGCAUGUAGUACGGAUCCGCCACACAGAUUUGCGAGACUUCUUCACUCUUCACGACGGAGCUCAUAUGUAGCGCAAAAAGGCGGACGAUAGUAAAAUCAAGCCGCCUUGUUAGAAACAUCUCAAAGAUAUGGUCAAACCGCAGGAAGAACACCUCCGUGGGCCGUGUGUCGACGUAGCACUUCCCCUCAGGCACACGAGCUGCGUAUGUCGGAUAUCCUGGAUCCUUUGAGGCUAGUAGGCUUUUCUCAGUCGACAGCACGUGGUCGUGCAGUCUCCUGAGAUUCCCUGAUAGUGCCUCCAGCGGUUUCGGCGGUAGCAUCGGCUCGCCCGUGAGAUGGAACAUGACCGCACCUUUCACGGGUACACGCUCUUCAGAAUGCAUCGUCUGGCUGCUGUGUGCUCUGGCUUGUUUGGAGGCAGUUACCUUCCCCAAUCUCUUCCUCUCCUUUUUCUUGGGCACACCUUCCAGACCCUUCCUUAACCCCUGCCCAAGUGUUCCCGGGCUAAGUAUUGUACGACCCUCACGCCCGGCUAGUUGAGCCUGUGUUGAGGCGGCAUCUUCAGGCGUGUCCUGUGAGGAUUUCAUGAAGAGAGACUUUUUGCAUUCCAUGGUACGGCCCUGCCCGGGCAUAUCAUCCAUAUCCUCAUUAGCAAGCUGAUAGCCCGAUUCGUCAUAUGGUUGACUCAUCAUAUCUAUGUCACAGUCAUACGCGUUUGUAUUGAGGUAAUCCAUCGGGUCGACCUCCGUCUCAUCAUCCAUUCUCUGUUCUACAGGAGAAAUUACAUCAGCCAGUACUAUUGCACCCCCUUCAUCAUGUCGUCCGCCGCUCUCACACGGCACUACUACAGGAGCUGGUAAUUGCGUAGGUGGGGUGGUGGUCUCCGCACAUGCUUGCUGAUGUGUGGUAGUUAUUGGUGUGCUCUCGGCCGGCUCCAGACGAAUAAGAUUCUUCGGCCAUAGCAGCACCCAACCCUUGCAGCGUCCAAUCCGCGGCGGGGUCUCGUCGUCCGCUCCCACCUGCUGUACUGGAGGAGGCAAAUCCUCGUGCCCCGAUUUCACACUGGUCAAGCUAACCCUGAAGUGCCCAGCGGGGAUCGGCUGGUUGUGGAAUGUGCGUUGAGAGGGGUCCAUUAUCAUCCCCUUUCCCACGUCCACCUUCUGGCCUUUGAUCAAGUAGAGUAUGGUGCAUGGGGUUUCUUUCGCCUGCAAACACAUAUGUCUGUGGUGUAAAACAACCGAAAGGCAACAAAAAUGGAAUAUUAUAUAUAUAUAUAUGUUGGUGCGACAUGUAAUUACCGUGACGGCGUCGAGCUCAGCCAAAGACGAAGGCCCACCUAGCGCGCCUGAGACUGAGGACGGGCUGCUAUGAGCUGGAGCGGCUGCGAGAGGAGGCCCGGUUGCUUGAGCAAGUGAUGGUGCGAUGGUGUUGUUCAUGGAGUUGCUCGCGACGAAACUGGGCAUUGGGAAAUCAUGUACCGUCUUGUCUGGAUUUUCCUUCGCCCAGUUGAUGAUAACUGGAACCAAGUUAGUAGCGAAAUCAUUUCUGCAGGCAUUUACAGCUGCAUUGACUGCCUGCUGUAGCAACUCAUAUUUGUCCUUGGCUGCUUUUUUCGCGUCCUCGGCUGCUUUUUUCUCGACCGCAAGCUUCACCUUUGCGUCGAUGUCCGCCUAACUAAACUUCUUUUUCUGCUUCUUGGCCUCCGGGCCGUCGUUGUAAAACACCUUCCACGUGGCGCCGUCUCCAGCGCCGUGCACACGACCAUAUUGCGGCCGCUGGUCCAACGGGAGUCCCUUAAGUUCGUUCAAGGCCCAGUUGAGAGGUGUGUCCCACUUGGGCCUCAUCGGAGAAGUAGGGCUUUCGGCUGCAAGCCGGUGUUGCUUCUCCAGUAGUCUAAUCAAUUUCCUCGUGAUCUUGUCCGUGUAAAAAACCUUUUUCUCCUUGUCCCACUUGUAGCGGGCCCUGAUGAAGUCAUGCUCCAAGGGGUUGGUGAACUUCGCGAAGGGGUCUGGGAGACCCGCGGCUUCACGUUCCGCGUCCUCCUUAUCCCAUAUGGGCCUUUUACCGAGGUAGCCACGGCUUCCGAGGCGAUGCUUCCCCAUGUUCCGGAGCUGAAGGCUUUUGAAUUUCGCAGCCUUAGCCUUGGCUGCCUUGGUAGCGCAAGUGUCCUUGAACUUUUCGAACUCCUCUUCCGUAAGUGUCGGAUUUUCCUCCAGAAUCUUGGACAGGGGUUCAUCAGCCUCAAUAGCUCGUUUCACCCUCCCUUUCCAGGAGGCCAAAUCAUUGCUGAACAUGCCCAUGGCGUGAUUGUUAAUCUUUUUCAUCUUCGGAUCAUCCCACGGUUGUUCUAUGUUAUCAUCCCGGUCGGGGAACUUGAAUCUCUUCUGCAACUUCGUUAGGAGCAACUGCGUCAAAUGUUCUUUACUCCUUAAGUCAUCAUCGUUGAUGCUCGCGCAUUCCCGUAGGAUGCAUCCUACUUGGUUCCCAUAGCACUUGCGAGGUUCUUCCGGCUCUAACGGCUCAAACUUUCCAGGUGCCAUCUUUGUGAUCACAAGUCGUCCAAUCCCUAGUUUGUUAGGUUUUCGUAUCCUCUGCUUCUUAUGCUUCCUCUUUUCGGUAUCGGCAUCGGGGCCGGUACCUUCCCCGCCGGUCUCGGCGCCGCCAUCGGUGCCGGCGCCGUCGGUGCCGGCACCGUAGGUGUCGAUGUCGGCGUCAGUACCAUCAUCGAGGCCGACCUGCAAACCUUGCUUAGCAGUCAAAUAGUCGAGGUACUCUUGUUCACCCUCAUAAUCCAUCUCGUCUGCAUCUUGGUCAGAAGGCCCAGUUUCUUCGUUGUUCGACAUGUUUCCUAUGAUUAAGUGGCCUCAUUUAUUUCUAAAAGUAUGAAUAAAUGAGAAAUGACAUAAAAAGAAAUCUAUGUGCCAACACUCGAUAUGCCAACUAUGUAGCACAAAUCAUGCCUUUAUUCACGGGAAAUUUCGGCAUGACCUUUGCUAAAAAAUGGACAUAUCGAGCGCCUGAAAUUCACCGAAACGGAAAUGAAUCAACAUUCCUGCGCAACAUAGGCCACUCGGAUCAUUUUCCAAACAUGACAUGUCCAAAACAUGACAUAUGCACAUAUCACAUGUCCAGUUCAAAUUUCCAUAUAAAUUCAGCUAAUUCAUAACUAAAUAGAUAACCUAAUUAAUUAACAUGAAGANNNNNNNNNNNNNNNNNNNNNNNNNNNNNNNNNNNNNNNNNNNNNNNNNNNNNNNNNNNNNNNNNNNNNNNNNNNNNNNNNNNNNNNNNNNNNNNNNNNNNNNNNNNNNNNNNNNNNNNNNNNNNNNNNNNNNNNNNNNNNNNNNNNNNNNNNNNNNNNNNNNNNNNNNNNNNNNNNNNNNNNNNNNNNNNNNNNNNNNNNNNNNNNNNNNNNNNNNNNNNNNNNNNNNNNNNNGGGGGCGAGCGACAUGGUCGGGGGCGAGCACGCCGGAGUCGGGGUCGAGAGCGGGACAGGGGCGAGCGCCGGGGCUGGCACCGGCGCCGGCAGGGUCGGGGGCGAGCGCCGGGGCCGGGUCGGGCACGGCGGAGCGACGGGGGCCGGAGAGAGAGUGGGGAUUUGGGGGGAAAUGGCGGGAUGAAGCUGGGCGAGUGCGAAUUUUGGGUUAAGUGGACGUAGCAGUAGCGGGUUAUGUCAAAACGCGCUGCUACUAUAUUCUGUAGCGGCAGCGGUUUAUGAGAAACACGCUACUACUAUGGUGCGUAGCUGCAGCGCUUUAUGGGAAACUCGCUACUACUAUGGUGCGUAGCGGCAGCGGUUUAUGAGAAACACGCUACUACUAAGAUCUAGCAGCAGCGGUUUUGUGGAAACGCGCUGCUACUGCCGUCGCUACUGCCAGGUUUCCUUUUUCUUUUCCUUUAUUUUAUCCCACUUUUAUUUCCCGAGGGCAAUGAACGAAGGGAGGGCGAUAUAUAUUGCAUCAUUUGACGGUUAAAUAUGUAUGCAAAAUAGGAACAUAUAUAUUACACAUCAUUGGACCCAUGCAUAAUAAUGACUAAGUGUGUAUACAAAUUAAAUAGGAACAUAUAUAUAUUACACAUCAUUGGACCCAUAACAUACGUUUCCUCAGUGCUGACGUUUUCGUUUUUGAGUCAGCUUCUUUCCCUUCUUGUUCGUCGAAGAAUAAUUGAGCCCCUCAUUGUGACUUUGCCUUUUCCAUGGAGUACGAUUUUUCUUAGGUAAUGUAGUAUUGAUUCUUCUUUUGACGUAUACUUCAUCAUCAUCAUCAUCUUCCCUCAUUGGGUUGCUGUACUGAUCAUAGUCUUCCUCGUUGGCGACUCCAUCCAUUCCAAUGAUGUUCCUUUUGCCUCUCCUCACGACAACACGGCUGGGAUUGCGCGGGUCAGUUAUGAAGAAACAUUGUGUCACGUGCUUAGCGUGUACCCAUGGCUCGUUUUUUGCGAUAGCGUUCAUGGUAGCGCUCUUGGCGUCGGGUAUAGUCAUGGUAGUGAACAUCCGGCUUUCUCUUUCGACAUUCUUAGCCCAUCUGACACGGAACAUCAUCGUGCUGUGCAGUCCAGAGUAGUCAAGCUCCCAGAUCUCCUCGACCCUUCCAUAAAAUCGUUCAGUUGUGCCGUUGUCGCUGCCGGUCAUGCAUUCCAUCGUCACCCCUGAGUUCUGAUCAUCACUGUCCAUAUCUUUUGCCUCUGUGUAGAAUGUGUAUCCGUUGAUAUCAUAUGCCUGAUAGGUUACGAGGUUGGGCGAGGGGCCAUGUGCUAAGGCGUAUAUGAGCAAUCCGUCCUUAGAGCCCUCCUCCGGUGGAUUAGCAAUAAUAUGCUCUUUGAACCAAUGCAGGAAAGUGGAGUUGUGCUCUCUAGUAACUUCGGCGUCCGUCCUGCAUACCCCCCGGUCACGAUACUUCUUUGUGAUAAUUUCUUUGUGCAGUGCCACGAAAGGAUCUACCUCGUCUAGGUGUUGUAGCACUACCAAGUUUGCUCUGUCAAAGUCGCUGCGUCGAUCUGAGUAUGCCACGUGCAGUUCCCUGCGACCGUUGCAGUGACCAUCUCCUUUGAGCCUCCCAUCGUGCUUGUUAACGGGCAAACCAACACUAACACCAGGCGGCUGGUCUGCGCCAUAUAAAAAAUUCUCACAGAAAGAGAUGCACUCUUGUGCCAAAUAGCCCUGGACGAUGCUUCCAUCCGGACGGGACAUGUUACGAACGAAUCCUUUGAUGAUCCCAUUCAUCCACUCAAACGGGAUCAUGUUGUGCAGGAAUGACGGCCCCAGGUCUAUUAUGUCAUCCACAAUAUGGACACACAGAUGCACCAUCACGUCGAAGAACGCGGGCGGGAAGUACAUCUCAAGCUCAUUCAGUAUCACAACGAUCUCUUCCUGUAGCCUUUGGAGCUGCUUCACACUGAUCGACUUUCGAGAGAUGACAUCGAAAAAGUUGCAGAGACCAAUAAGCGUGUCACGGACGUGCUUGUCCAUUAUCCCUCUAAGGGCAACAGGUAGUAUCUGCGUCAUCAUCACAUGACAGUCAUGAGACUUCAUCCCGCUGAACCUUUUCUUGUCCGUGUCUAGAUAUCUGCUUAUCUUGCCACAGUAACCGGAACUAACUUUCACUCCGGUAAGGCACUUAAAGAAUUGAUUGAUCUCAGCCUGACUUAAGGUGAAGCAAGAGGGGGGGCAAUAAUCUUCUUUCUUUAAUUUCUUGCCCUUCUUCUCCCGUGCCUCUGUCUUCGUCUCUGUCUCGUCUGACAUUUUACGGGGCGGCAUCUGCAGAUCUUCCCUGAUUUUCAAAUCUUGCAAGUCUUUUCUUGCCUUCGGCCCAUCCUUGGUCUUAUCCGGCAUGUUCAUCAGUGUUGCGAGCAAGCUCUCAAGGACAUUCUUACAGAUAUGCAUUUGAUCAAGGCAAUGAGGUGUAUCGAGUUUGUGCCAGUACUCCAAGUCCCAGAACACGACCUCGUCUUCCAUACCUUCAGCAGCGGCUCCGGCGCCUUUCUCAUCGUCUUUCCCGGCGCGGGGCACUCAUUCCAGUUUUUCAAUAGCUCAUCGAUUUCGGCACCGCUCCGCUUACGUGGAGGUCCUCGAUGCUCAGCGUGACCAUUGAAUAGAUCUCCACGGUUUCUCCACGGGUCGUCCUGUUCAAGCCAUCUUCGAUGCCCCAUGUACAUGAUUUUCGCAGACCCGCCAUCUUUCCUUGACGUUAGCUGCUGAGACGUUGUAUCAUCCAUGCACCGCGUGCAUCCGCAAUAUCCAUGGCACACCUGGCCUGCCACAUAUCCGUAACCGAGAUAGUCCUGCACUGUCGUGAUCAGCGCGGCUCUCAUGUUGAAAUACUCACCUUUGCUGGCGUCCCAUGUCUUGGCCGGUGUUUUCCAUAACGUGUCUAACUCCUCUUGAAGUAGCCCCAGAUACAAAUUAAUAUUAUUUCCUGGUUGUUUCGGCCCUUGAAUAAGCAUGCUCAUGUGAAUGUACUUCGAUUUCAUACACAACCAGGGGGGGAGGUUGUACAUCCAUACAAACACGGGCCAUGUACUAUGGUUGGUGUUCUAGUUGCCAAAUGGAUUCAUGCCAUCGGUACACGCGCCGAGCACGAUGUUCCUUGCAUCACAUUCAAAAUACCGUUAGAAGCUGUUCAACGCUCUCCACUGGCUUCCAUCCUUCACGUGUCUCAGCUUCGGAUCAUCUCCAUCGUCGGGCUUCUUCCUCUCCGCGUGCCAGCGCAUUAGCUUUGCUUCCUUGGGAUCUACAAAAUACCUCUGAAGACGGGGAGUGAUCGGUAAGUACCAUACAACUUUCUGGGGACAUUUCUUCCCGGCCUUCUUGUAUCGAGAAGCAUUGCACACCGGACAGCUUGUUUUUUCCGCGUGCUCCUUCCGAUAAAUUAUGCAAUCGUUGAUGCAUGCAUGGUAUCUAACGUGUGGCAGAUCAAGAGGGCACACGAUCUUCUUGGCCUCAUCAACACUAGUAGGACAUAGAUUACCCGCGGGAAGAAUAUCCUUUAGGUACUUGAGAUGGUCAUCGAGGCUAGUGUCGGUCCAUUUGUUUUUAGCCUUCGUCUUCAGGAGUUGGAGCGUGAAACUCAACCGGGUCACCUCAGGAUUGCAACCAUCAUACAAUGGAGUGUUCGAGUCUACCACCAGUUGCUCCAGCUUAGCCUCCUCUCUAGAAGCAGCUCUCUCAGUACUCGUCUCCUUGCGAAGCAAUGCUUGAACAUGAGGGUCCCGCACAAUUGAACUUAGUACCGACGAACUCUGCUGCGUGGAGUCCAUGUCGUUCUCUCCGCCGCCAUGUCCGGCCCCUUCUCCUCCGCCAUGUCCGGCCACUUCUCCGCUGCCAUGUCCGGCCUCUUCCCCGCCGCCAUUAUCGAUCAUCUCUUCGUCUUGCCCCGUGUCAUCAUUGCCUGCCCCGUCGGCAUCCUCAACAUCUUCAUCCUCAUCUUCAAUUAUCCACCGAGUAUAGCCAUCCAUGAAACCAGUCAUGAGCAGGUGCGCUUCGACACGACCAUCGUCAUGGGGGUCGAGCCAAACUAUUCCUUUGCAUUUUCAACACGGACAUAAAACCUCUGUCCGGUUAUUUUCUUUCAUGUCUUGCACCGCCGACCGCAACCACCUGUCCACCAUUGUUCCACUGACCAUCGUCAACUCUGCACGGUAAUAAUAAAAAAAUUGAUUGUAAAAAUGCAUGCAUGCAUCAAAGUCAUAAAAAAAUUUGGCAUGACCUUCCCUAAAAAUAGGACAUAUAUGGAUCUAGAGUUUGCCCGAAAUUCGCCGAAACGAAAAUAAAUCGACAUUUCGGCAAAACAUAGGCAACUCAAAAGCACAAUUUGGCGGCGUCAACUCAUGCCACAGACACAAUUUCCACAAACAUAUCACACAUACACAUAAACACAUUUCCAUUUUGCAAAAGCAUGAAAUUUUCAUCACCUCUAUCUCGAUGGCCGGAGAUGAUGUUGUAGGGAGAUCAAAAGUGCACAAAGCUAUUCUUGACAAAGAUAGAUCUAGUUAGGGGGCAAAUAGGUCACUUAACUAAAUCCUACAUCUACCUAGCUACCUAAUUUGGAAGGAGACAACUUCAACUAGUGGAGGGGGAGGAAAAAGAGAAAGAAGAUGCAUUAAUUAAUGGAGGUGGUGUAGUUAUGUAGGAGUAAUGAAGAGAGAGAAGGUGGAUAGAGAANNNNNNNNNNNNNNNNNNNNNNNNNNNNNNNNNNNNNNNNNNNNNNNNNNNNNNNNNNNNNNNNNNNNNNNNNNNNNNNNNNNNNNNNNNNNNNNNNNNNNNNNNNNNNNNNNNNNNNNNNNNNNNNNNNNNNNNNNNNNNNNNNNNNNNNNNNNNNNNNNNNNNNNNNNNNNNNNNNNNNNNNNNNNNNNNNNNNNNNNNNNNNNNNNNNNNNNNNNNNNNNNNNNNNNNNNNNNNNNNNNNNNNNNNNNNNNNNNNNNNNNNNNNNNNNNNNNUGUGGUGGAGGGAAGAGAGGAGAGGGGGAGGUAGGGGGGAAGGGAAAAAAGGAAGGGGGAGGGGAGGGACGGGUUGGGGGUUGGUGGGGUUAGCAGUAGCGCGGGAGAUAAAACGCGCUGCUGCUAAGAACUUAGCAGCUGCGCGCUUUGCGGUAAGGCGCUACUGCUAACUGGGACAAAAAAUUGUGGCAAUUUGAAACUUACCAGCAGCGAUCUCGAGGAAACCGCGCUACUACUACGUACUUAGCAGUAGCGCUGUUAUUGCGACCGCGCUACUGCUACUUAGAGUUGGGGGAACACCGCCGGUCGAUAUUUGUAGCAGCGCGUUUCUUGUCGAGCGCGCUACUGCUAAAUCUUUAUCAGUAGCGAGUUUACGUAACCCGCGCUACAACUACUUAGCAGCAGCGCUCUAUUUUGAACCGCGCUGCUGCUAAGAUUCUGUGUAUAGGCUUUUCCCUAGUAGUGUAGGAAGGAAUGACCACAUGAAUGAGCAUACGUAUGAUGUGAUUAAGUCUCUCGAUUGGGUAUCUGGUGCCUUAUGUACGGUGUCUUCUUUUUGUCAAGCUAUGACAUCUUUCAGUUUGAGUGUCUGAUAUUAGGGUUGCAUACGUUUUGUUAUUCAGUUGCCUGUUGUGAACUCUACGGUUAUAUCAUCUCGAUGUGUGAGUCAAUGUGUUUGAACCAAUGUAGAGUUUCAUGUGAAUGUUACAAGUGUGAUUGAUAUGUUCAUGUUAUCCGCGGUUGCCUUGGUAAGAAACUGAAAGAGCAAACCGUUAUCGUGCUAGGACAAAAGUCAUCACUCAAUAUAAGUGCUUCUCUAGAACAGCCACACCUUGUGAAAGAAGAUGGCAAACACCCAAUCAUGUCUGGUUCGAUAUGGGCGUGGCUAUGGGUAGCUUAUAGCGACAUGGAAGCCAGCAUCGCUGGAAGAAACGCCCGGGUGGGCCGGCCUAGAGACAUUUCUUGAUAUCUACCCUUAGUUUUGUUUUUCUGCCCUUCUUUCUUUAUAUUUAUAUUUUUCCCGACAUGUUCACUACUUGAUGCUCAACUGGGAUCUCAUCCUUCACAAAUACGGAGAGCCAUUAUUGUUAGAGUUAAUCUUGACAUGUGUGUAUGUGCAUGUGUGCAUUGCAUGUUAGUGGUCUAGAGAUGGCCGGGUCGAUGCGUCUGUUCUGUGCUGGAGUGAGUCCAGCAGUUUGUUUUGGUCAGGUCGUGGUGGCUAGAGCCAUUCUAGGAGAGGAUCAAGUCAAGUUGUUAGCUGAACUCGGCUGGGUAGUGUUUGGCCGUUGAGGAUAGGCUGUACUAGUGGUGGGCAUGGCCGUGCAUAUAGCUAGCGAUUAGUUACACUAGUAGAAAACCACCCAUUAGUCCCGGUUCGUAAGGGCCUUUAGUCUCGGUUCAGGAACCGGGACUAAUGGGUCGUUACUAAUACCUCCACCCAUUAGCCCCGGUUCAAACACGAACCGGGACCAAUGUGCCUCCACGUGGCCCUGUGCGGCGAGCCCAGUCAGGGGGCCUUUGGUCCCGGCUGGUGGCUCCAACCGGGACCAAAAGGCAUCCACGCGUCUGCAUUCUAGUGGUUUCUGGUUUUUGUUUUUUUUUUGAAAGGAGGGGGGUUGGGGGUUUUGGGGAGUUAAUUUAGGUGUUUCGUAUAUUGUGUUAACUAGCUAAUUAAUAGAGAGAAGUGUCCUCUCUUAUGUCCGUGCUUGGUCGACGCUACGUAGUAUAUAUACAUAAGUAAUCGAGAGAACCAUUCAGUACAGAAGUUCGUCAUGCAUACCGAGAGAAGUGAUCGAUCGACCUCUCCUUCUCCGAGAGAUUGGUCGAACAACAAGUUUUUUACUGGCUACAUACAUGUACAAUAUGUAUAAGAUCUCUUAAUUACAAACCCAUAGCAUUUGAAAUCAACUUCCACAUGGUAUUCUCCGGCUUUACUGAUGACGUGUUCAAGAAAGAAUCCCGCUAAUUCCUCUUGAAUUGCUUUCAUGCGAUCUGGUUCUAGGAGUUCACCCCGCAUCUGCCACGUCUAAUUAAUUUGAAGAAGGGGGUUAAUUAAUACAUAUAUAUGAAUGAAACUCAACAGAAAAUGAUGGUGUAAUAAAAUGAAAUUGUGAAUAUUAUUGCUUACGCACUUCAUAUUGUCUUCUAGAGUAGCCCCGCUUGUUUCUCAAAGUUGCGUUGUGGAUGAACUCGCACACGUAGUAUCCACAAAAAUCAUUCCCUUCCUCCUGUCACAAGCACUUUACGAGAAACAGAGGUCAAUCAAACUGAUAAUGAAGCAUUAUAAAUGGCAUUGAUGAAAGUAUAGCUAUAGAAUCAACGGGAGAUGCACGCAACUAGCUAGCCAGUAGUACUUACUUUCGGGUAUACAUAUCGCAGCUCCUUCGGCAGUCCCGGAGCUUGUGCGGUGAACUGUUUCCGAACCCUGCAAGACAAAGAAAAUAAUUAUUAUUACUUGAGAUAUCAGGAAAUGAACAAAAAGUUGCCGAUAUGGUGCGAUAAUGAUCGAUUGAACUUACUUGCUGAGCAUUUCAGUCAUGUCCACAUAGGUGCUGGGAUCUUUCCGUCUCGAGUCUAAGACGGUUACUAGUCCACGCUCAAGCUUAAUCUCCAGAAGAAUAUAGUGGUACCUGCGCACGCGUGCAUAACUCAUCAAUUACAUUAACCUCGCUCGAGUAAUAAGGGAAACCGAAUAUGCACACGACAGUAACACUCACGGGCCGUUGUAAGGAAAGAGUAUGGUAUCUUUGUUUUGAUUUUUGAUCAACGAUUGUAGCAAGUUGUCCUCGGCCUCUUCGACGUUCUUUUCAACCAGAAAUACAUCUAUGAUAUUUGUGUUAAUGAACCCAAUAUCAUAAAUUUUUUGUUUUUUGCACUCGACGAUCUUCAAUCUGCAUAAUAUAUUGAGGAUAAUUAAUUAUAAAUACAUGCAAUGAAAGAUCCGAGCUAUAUAUAGAGACUUAAUGUCAGAAAUAGUACUUACAUGCAGUAGCAAAAGACCAUUAAUUUAUCGAGGGCCUUUUGAUUGAAGAACUCAAAGAACUCCUCAAAUGGAACACACAACAGAUCAUUUGAAAUGAGGUCGUGCUCCUCUUUAAUAUUCAAAUACAAACUGUUCGUCCCCUCAGACUCUCUGCAGGUUUUCAUGUACCAAUUAUGGAAUCUUCGCAUCAUUAUUGUCAGAGAUUUUUCAUCUUUGACGAGAGGCUUCCCGUACUCGUAUCUGAAUACGUCCACCUCCAUGAAAUCAGGAAGUGCAUCGUCAGGCAGGUAAUCUUCAAGAUUGCCAUAACCGGCCACCGUCCCCGGAGGAUUAGACACAUUGAGCGGGGGGCACGAUUGCUGUGCUUGUUCGCCGAGCUGGGCAAUUUUUUUCCCCUUUGCUCGUUGUUCUUUUGACCUUUUAUCAUUGACAGUAGUUCCCGACCGCUUGGCUUGGAGAUAUGUCUGUUCAGUAAUGCGCUCAUAGUUGGUUCUCGGCGGAGACUUUGGUGGUUUCCUCAGGGCAUCGAGAGUGCGCUUUGCUUUCACCGGAUCUACCUUCUCCUCCGGAGGUGGAUGUCUCUUUGCUUUCACCCCUUCAAAGAACUCCUUCACGUGGGCCUGCACGAUCGUAUUGUUUUCCUCCUUGGUCCUCUCGUACGGUAACUUCUCUAGAGGCUUUAGAGGUGGACCGUAUCUGUAUUGCCUCUCUCUUCUUGUGCUGCUAGACGCCGGAGCAGACGGAGCGGCUGUGGCGUCUGUCUUCUUCCGUGCUUGCUUAUGAGGCGGAGGAGAAGGACUACGACGCGCCGGAGCAGCCGGGGCGGCGGCGGGUCUCUUCCGCCCUUGCUGGCGAGGCGGAGAGGAGGAGGCGGAGUGCCGCCACAUGCCGGAGAAGGAGGCGGAGUGCCGCCAUGCGUGCCCUGAUCGUCACUCGCCGGAGGAGGAGGCGGUGGAGGAGGCGGAGUGCCGCCACGCGUGCCCUGAUCGUCACUCGCCGGAGGAGGACGCGGUGGAGGAGGCGGAGUGCCCUGACUCGCUGAAAGAGGAGGAGGAGGCGGAGGCGUCCAGUUCAGAAGGUUGAUGAGCUCCUUCUGCCAUAGGCAUGGAGUCUUCAGAGCAGAACCCAGCCUAGUCUCCCCUUCACCGGUAGUGUGCUCAAGCACGAGGUCCUCAAAUCCCUCCGUUAUUUCAUCCACCAUCACCUUAGCAAAUCCUUCUGGAAUUGGCUGGCAGUGAUAAGUUGUGCCGGGUCCACUAGGAUAAACUUGGCCAACAGCCGCCUUGACCUUCAAAUUCAUCCAUCACACAAUAAUGUGGCAAUUUUGAGACUCCGUGAUACCAUCCACGGGAUAGCUGGCAGGAGCCGUCAAGACAUGCUCCGGCUGAAGCAGCUCAGUGGAAGCCACGCUGCUUCUCUGCUGAGAUGGCGGGGUAGCUUCGGGGGAAGCUUCGGCAGGUCGUUUGUUGUGAUCUGCUGCUUCUUGUUCCUCUAGCCCCAUUACCCUUUCGUGCAGCGCCUGCAUUUGGUCCUGCUCCAGUUUCUUCCUCCUCUCGUAGGCUUUGUAAACGCCUGCGUCCAGAAAACCAACCUUCCACGGAAUGGAGCCUGGCGUGCCUCGUGUCCGUCCAGGGUGCUCGGGAUUCCCAAGGGCCAUUGUGAGCUCGUCCUUCUCCCUGUUUGGAAGGAACGUCCCUCGUUGUGCUGCAUCGAUAUAGUGUCGAAGGUUCUUGACUGGUGUUUGCAGUUGCUCGUCCGUCCACUGACGCUUCCCUGUUACAGGGUCCAAGGUUCCGCCAGCCCCGAAGACCCAAGUCCGGCAACGGUCUGGCCAGCGCAUUGUCUCUGGUUCGAUUCCUUUUUCAAGCAGAUCAUGCUCAGCCUUGGACCACUUAGGCCGGGCUUUGAGGUAGCCACCUGACUCCGUGCGAUGGUGAAGCUUCUUCUUCGCAGCAUUUUUCUUGUUUGUCUCCGACAUCGUCUUACUCUUUUCCGAUGUCUUGUGGGCCACAAAUGCGGGCCAGUGAUCUUUGAUCUUCUCAUAUUUGCUGAUGAAUUCUGGUGUCUUUUUUUUCUCGAGAAACUGGUUCAGCUCUUUCCUCCACCUCCUCAUUAGGCUUGCCAUCUUCUUAAGAGCACAAGACUUGAUUAAUUGCUCUUUAACUGGCUUCUCCGGAUCCUCCUCUGGCGGUAGGGUGAAAUUUGCCUUCAGCUCAGUCCAAAGAUCUUCUUUCUGCAUAUCAUUGACAUAAGACACCUCAGGGUCUUCAUCCUUAGCAGGCUUAUACCAUUGCUGGAUGCUGAUCGGGAUCUUGUCCCUAACAAGAACCCCGCACUGAGCAGAAAAUGCCUUCCUUGUCCGGAUGGGUUCAAUCGGUUCGCCGUCGGGCGCGAUUUCUAUGAUCUCAAACUUUUCAUCCGAGAUCAACUUUUUCUUCGGGCCUCGUCUCCUUACCGAAGUUGUGCUCGAUCCGGAGGGCUAGAAAUUAUAAGGAAGAAAGACGACAGUAAUUAAUAUGUGUACAUAUACCAAAACAAUGGAUGCAUCAAUUAACUAGUCAGCACGGGCUUAACUAAUAUAUAUAUACCUGGCCGGACUCGGUUCGGUGACCGGAGCAGUCAGCACGGUCUCCUUGUACCUCCAUUGUGUCACCGGAGCCAUCAUGAACAUAGUCCUCCUCUUGUACCGGCAUUAAUGGGUCGAAGCCAUCAUAAACAUAGCCCUCUUCUUCAUCCAGUCCUUCCAGCUGACCAUCGGUGUCGAUGAGAAAUGACGCAACAUCAUCACUUCCAUUUGCGAUUAUGUCCCCCAACAUCGCUUCUGUUUCUUCGUCUCGGGAGUGCUCCAUAGUUUCUGCAAAUAUUUACAACAUGUCAAUUAUUAUUCAAACAUGGUACAAAUGGAUAUAUAUAUAUAUAUAUAUAUAUAUAUAUAUAUAUAUAUAUGAAAAUGGAUUGGUACUCCUAGGAGUACAUACUCUCACCUACACCCGUCAUCGUUGGAAACAUUCAUCCCGCUAACUACUAAAAAAAGAGCUAACUAACUACGGAUAAAGCCUUUGGAUUUAAAAAUUAGUUGAACCGCUUCCUUUUUUUUCAGCUCUCGUAGGCGUGCCUUCCAGGGAUUCCAUUUGAAACGGCGUUCUCAUCUCUUGCCAGCACCCAUGAACAUAAAAAAACAGAGCAUCGGCUCGCCUCCGCCCCGCCGACUGACCGGAAGACUUGGUCGACAUGGCCGACGAUGAUCCCCGUGCUUCUUCCCUCGCAAACUAGGCUUCAACCACCACGUCCAUCAAUCAGAGGAAGAUUGAUUCAUCAUCUGUAGUUUGCGAGGGUACGUGCAAUUGAUGUUUCCCGAUUUUUCUGUUCGGCUACCACAACCGUGUUCAUGUUCCCGCUGACCCCUUGAUCCAUUCCUGUCCAGUAUGUCAUCGUCCGAGAAGAAAAUAGGACGGAGAUGAUUGAUCGGCCAGAUUGAUCGGCCAAGUCUACUAGUACCACUGGUGGAAAAAAGGCCUUUGGUCGCGGUUCGCAACUGCCAUUAGUCGCGGUUGCGCAACCGCGACCAAAUAAGCGCGACUAAAGCCCCCCACCUUUAGUCGCGGCUGCUUAAGAACCGCGACUAAAGGCCCGUCCAUGUGGGCGCCAGGCGGCCGUCGGGACGGAGGACCUUUAGUCGCGGUUCUUCUGGCCAACCGCGACUAAAGGCCGCCACAGGUUUAGGGUUUUAGCCCCCCCCCUAAACCUGUUUUCUGUUUAAUUUGUAUUGUUUUAUUUCUUUUGUGCUUUAUUUUAAUUUUGAAGGAGUUUCAUAUAUUCUACGGUACUACAUACAUGCAUAUGAAUGUACAAUUUCAAAUAAAUUUGAAAUUAGAACCAAAAAGAAUUCAAGAGGAAUAUACAAUAUAUAUUCAAUAUCAUCGGAUGACCAUAUACAAUUUUGAACAAGUUUCCAUACAUGAUUUAAUGCAUAUAAAGUUCUACGUCCUCGUAAUAGUGUUCUCCUUUAGGAUGGAGGACUUCCCUGCUGAACCAUCCAGCUAGUUCCUCUUGAAGUGGUCGGAAGCGAGCUUCUGGACUAAGCAUCCACCGGAGGUUAUUCCUCUGAGCAUUGGUAUCACUCGGAACCCGCUCAGAGGUGUAUCUCCGGAUCAUCUCACAGACAUAGUAUCCACAUAGAUUGGUCUCCGGUGGCUGAAUAUCCCCAGCAUUCUUAGCCACUGACCUUUUGAAUUCUAGCUCUUUUUUGAAUUCACCGACCUUUGUAUCUACGAACCGUCUCCAAACCCUACGAGGCAAAGAAAAUUAAAUGAACAAGAGAGUUAUUAGUUACUUGAUAUUAGGAAAUGAACGAAAUAGGCCGAUUGAUAUAGAGCGCAAAUGAAUGAAAAUAAUUACUUCUGCAGCAUUCUUCUCAUGCCGCCCCAAAGCUUUGGAUCCAUAUUCACAGAGUCGUGGACGAGACAUUCUGAGGUGUUAACUUUAAUUACUAGCAGAAUCCAGUGGAACCUGCGGACACGAUACAUGCACAGUACGUCAUGCAUAACUCAUCGAUUAGCCGGCCACAUACCAUGCAUGGAGUAAACAAAAGAGAAUGUGCUCAAGACACAAACACUCACCCAAAAUGGUAAGGAAAUAGAAUAUCACUUUUGAGUUCCUGCUUUGUAAGAAACUGCCACAGGUCUACCUCCACGUCGGCGGGGUGACGCUCCAACACAUGUCCAUUAACGAUGUGUGGGUCAAUGAACCCAACAUCAUGGAUGUUCCUUACUCUGCAUUCCUUAAUCUUCAUUCUGCAUGUAUAAUAGCGGACACAACAAUAUAGUUAGGACAUAUAUAUAGUGCAGGCAAUAUGAACGAGAUGGGGUAGAAAUUAAUAAAUCACUUACAGAACGUAGCAACUGAUGAUAGAUUUAUCGAGCUCGCGCAGAUUGAAAAGCUGGAACAAUUCACUCAGUUCAAUUUGUACAUAGUAAUGUUUGAAGUGAUGCUCAUGUCUAACUUCCGCAUAAAUAUAUUCUUUGGCGUUUUUAUUUUUUAUGUAACCCUUGUACCAUUUCAGCAGACCUUUCAUUUGUGGAGGUAGAUCCUUUUCCUGCGCAGGCUCGACGAGAGGCCCAUUCUUGACAUAUGUAAUUACUACCUCCUUCACUGGCGCCUCAUCAAGGCCUAACAGUUCACGAAGAGUAAUACCUAAGUUGGCCGCUUGUUCUAUGGCACUCGUUACAGUCAAUCCCUGUGCUGCCGCAGCUUGUAUGAUCUCGGGGGCAUCCGGACAGAAGGCUUCCACUAUAAGCGGGGCAAUCGAUUGUUUACUUUGUUCCCCGAGCUGGGCAACUUGUUUCCCGCUUUUUUUACUUUCGGCCUUCUCCCGCUCUUUGUUCUCCUUGAACAUGAGUGCCUGCCUGCGAAGUUCACGUGCAUAGUCGUUAGGCAGAUUCUUCGCGGCUUGGGACGGUGUGCUCAAAAAUGACUUAGCCCACUUGUUUUGCUCAUCAGAAAAUACUGGCUUGGGCUCGAGCUCUCUUUUCUUCUUGCAGUCCGCCUUCCAUUUCUCCAAAUCAGCAGCCGCGGCCGCGUCGACUUCCUCGGCACUACGUUCCCAAGGCCUUGUGGGGAGAGGCUUCAGUGAUGGCUCCGGUACCUUUGUGGUCUUAGGUACAUAAGGGUCCGGGUUAAUAAUCCAGGACUGCUUCUGCUUCUUUGCCGGAGGUGGAUUGGGGGGCGGCGUCUGAUCACCCGCCGGACGAGGACUGGGGGGCGGCGGCUGAUCACCCGCCGGACGUUGUGGACUGGGGGGCGGCGUCGGCUGACGUGACGGAGGUGUAGGUGAACCGCCACCACCACCACCACCACCACCACCGCCACCGCCACCACCACCACCGUAGGGGGGUGGACUUGUUGUCCUUGGCGCCUCGCCUGGAAACUUGAUAAACUUCUUUUGCCAUAGAAUGAAAUGGCGCUUGACAUCUCCAAGUCUUUUCUCCCCUUCAGGUGUAGCAAUGUCAAUCUCCAGGUCCUCAAACCCUUGGACUAUGUCCUCCACCGUGACACGAGCAUAGCCAUCUUGAAUGGGGUUGUUGUGGUGGAGUGCUCCAGGUAAACAUGGUAAAGCACUGCCGAUGGCUACCUUCAUGGACAUGUUCCCGAUAGGAUAAUACAGAUGACAUUCUUCUCCGCUGCUGGCUUCCGAGAUCUGCUGGAUGAUCUUCAUGCUGCACCCGAGCUGCAUCUCUUUCGGCUACUAGUACACUCAUGGUUUUCUUCAUCACAUCCAUUUCCGAUGCCAACCGCGCCACAACAUCUGCUUCCCGAUCCACCUUUCUCUUACGGCUUCUGUAACCGUACGGGUCAUCGUUCUGGGGGAACCCUAUUUUCCACGGAAUGUGCCCCAUGCCUCGUACACGUCCUCCGUGUUCAGGAUUCCCGAGGGAUUUUGUCAGCGCGUCGUUCUCUCUGUUGAACUUGAUCUUCCCCUGUUGAGCAUCCCUCAUUGCGUUAAUAAGGGCUUGGGUGGGUUUAAUUAAUUUGCCCCGGUAAACACACUCCCCUGUCUCCGGGUUCAGCGUUCCCCCAUGCCCGUACCACCAACUUUUGGCCCUUGGGUCCCAUCCCUCCGUACCUGCACGGAUUCCUCGCGCCCUCAGCUCGUUCUCCAUCUUCUCCAACCUAGGCACCCAAAUGCGAUACCCUCCUGGCCCCAUAACAUGAUUGUACUCCUUCUUAGCCGCAUUUUCCUUAUUUUUUCGAUAUUUGAAUGAACUGCUCCGAUUUCUUUUGCUUCACAAAUUCUGGCCAAUCAUGUUUCAGUUUCUCAUAUUGUCCUUUGAAAUCCGGAGUCUUGUUCUGCUUGACAAAGUCAUGGGCUAGAUUUUGCUUGAAUUUCCGGAAUGCGUCGGCCAUCUUAUGAAGAGCGAACUGUUUGACUAGCCUCCUCCUCUCCUUGUUUUCUUCAAUCUUGUUACCCUCCUCAUCGAAUUUGUUGUAUUCCGGAGGUAGAACGAAAUGUUCCAUAAGCUUCUUGAAGCAAUCUUUUUUUGUUCUCUUAUCGACAAAAGUGAAACCAUCAAUUCGUGCCUUCUUUGGCUCAUUCCACUCCUGGACGGUGAUCGAGACGUUGUCUCUAACAAUGGCUCCGCAUUGGCUGACAAACUUGGUGGCGUUCUUGCGGGGCUCCAGCGGCCUGCCGGUUGCACUGUCGACAACCUCGAUGGUGCAUGUUUCUCCUUGUUUCAUCGUCUUGGUUGCGCCACGCUUUGACGACGUACUCGAUUGUUUCGACGAUCCGGCCGAGGGCUAAAAUAAGAAAGAGUCGCGCGCGUUAGUACACACAUAUUUAUUCAAAUCAGUUAGUUUGUAUCACCAGAGGCUCAAUGUAUAUAUAUACCUCGGCGCCGGAGGUGGUUGCUACAUCCAUUUGAAGAUCGUCGUUUAUCGACGUUUGUUCGGCAUCAUCUUGCUGACGGCGCCCUUCAUCUUCACCGUCAAGGUUCAGAUAAGAAGAGAUAUCAUCUUCUUCUUCUCCGGUCGGCACAUAUAGAAUAUCGCCGUUUAUGAUGCCGAACAUAUGUGCUUCACCGUCCGGAUCAUAGUUGUCCAUAAUCGGGUCAGCUCUAUCGUCCGCCAUUAUGUCAGUCCUGAAAACAUGUAGUAAAAACAAAUUAAUUAAGUGAAGAAGGGGGGCGGUGGCGGUGGCGGUGGCGAAAGGGUGGUGGCAAAAGGAGGGGGCGAGGAAGGGGUGGGAGAGGGUGUCGCGGUAGAGCGCGAGACGGGGCGGCACGAACGUCAUUUUGUGAAGAAACUUUGCAAGCAAUUAAACAUUUGUCAAUGUUUGGUAAAAAAAAUACAGGUAGCGUCUGUUGCUCCUAAUGAUUGGAAACGGUUUCCAAUUGCCAACGAGGAUUUAGAUCGACUACUACUACUAGUUGCAUUGCUCCCCAUCGGGACGAUGUUGCUCCUAAUCCCCUCCUUUGGAAUCUAUAGUACUAGUGCAUACUAGCUGGCCGUUGACCGUUGUUGCUCAUCGCGUUUUCUCAAAGUCCACUGAUUUUGCUCAGGGCCAGUUCGGAGAUUUUGCUGGUCCACUGAUUUUGGAUCAACGCCGGGAUGGCAUGGGCGCUCGGCGAUGAUGCGAAGUAGACUUGCACAGGCAACGUGAUGUACAUGGAUGUGUCAGUACGGUACGCUCGGCGAUGCCACGGUAUGGAUGACUUCUCGAGUGGAGAUUGGAGAACCAAGUUCGCCGGUGAAACGUCGGCUCCUGAUCAGAUCUGGGGGUCGCGAACUAGCGAUUGGAUCUCGGAAGGGAGUUAGGAAAGCGAACAGACGUGCGUUCAAGGCUACAACUUUUUUUUUCAGGAUCUUGAAAACAGCUACGCGUUCAAGGCCCGGUCCUGAUUUUGCUCAUCUACCCGGGGCGGCGUUCGCACUGCGCGAGGGCCGACUCCGCGGGGUGCUGCCGCGUCGCCUCGUCGACGCUGAGCGAGUUGGCGAGGACCGUGUACAUGGUCGGCACGUCGCCGGCGGAGAGGGUCAUGCUGUCCCCGACCAGCGGCGGCCACGGACGGGGAGGGCGGCGGCGGUGACUGGGAAGGAAUGAUAGGAGAGGAAGGAAGGUCGCGUGGGGUUGAGGGCGGNNNNNNNNNNGGCGAGGAGGGACUCCUUGGCGGAGAGGCGCUCCGUCUCGCGGGCGUAGCUGGCAGCGGGCUCCCACGCCUGCGCGUACACGUCGUCCCGCCGUGCGUUCAAGGCUACAACUUUUUUUUUUAGGAUCUUGAAAACAACUACGCGUUCAAGGCCGGCCCGGUCCUGAUUUUGCUCAUCUACCCGGGGCGGCGUUCGCACUGCGCGAGGGCCGACUCCGCGGGGUGCUGCCGCGUCGCCUCGUCGACGCUGAGCGAGUUGGCGAGCACCGUGUACAUGGUCGGCACGUCGCCGGCGGAGAGGGUCAUGCUGUCCCCGACCAGCGGCGGCCACGGACGGGGAGGGCGGCGGCGGUGACUGGGAAGGAAUGAUCGGAGAGGAAGGAAGGUCGCGUGGGGUUGAGGGCGGGCGAGCGAGGCGGCAGUACCGAGGCUGGCCGGCGGCGCGCGCGCGGUGGGCGAGGGCGACGGCGGGCGGCGUCGAGGGCGAGGGCGACGGCGGGCGGCGUCGAGGGCGCGGCAGAGACGAACAGGCGAGAAACGGCGGGCGGCGUCGAGGGAGCCUUGUAUUUAUAGCCCCCCCNNNNNNNNNNNNNNNNNNNNNNNNNNNNNNNNNNNNNNNNNNNNNNNNNNNNNNNNNNNNNNNNNNNNNNNNNNNNNNNNNNNNNNNNNNNNNNNNNNNNNNNNNNNNNNNNNNNNNNNNNNNNNNNNNNNNNNNNNNNNNNNNNNNNNNNNNNNNNNNNNNNNNNNNNNNNNNNNNNNNNNNNNNNNNNNNNNNNNNNNNNNNNNNNNNNNNNNNNNNNNNNNNNNNNNNNNNNNNNNNNNNNNNNNNNNNNNNNNNNNNNNNNNNNNNNNNNNNNNNNNNNNNNNNNNNNNNNNNNNNNNNNNNNNNNNNNNNNNNNNNNNNNNNNNNNNNNNNNNNNNNNNNNNNNNNNNNNNNNNNNNNNNNNNNNNNNNNNNNNNNNNNNNNNNNNNNNNNNNNNNNNNNNNNNNNNNNNNNNNNNNNNNNNNNNNNNNNNNNNNNNNNNNNNNNNNNNNNNNNNNNNNNNNNNNNNNNNNNNNNNNNNNNNNNNNNNNNNNNNNNNNNNNNNNNNNNNNNNNNNNNNNNNNNNNNNNNNNNNNNNNNNNNNNNNNNNNNNNNNNNNNNNNNNNNNNNNNNNNNNNNNNNNNNNNNNNNNNNNNNNNNNNNNNNNNNNNNNNNNNNNNNNNNNNNNNNNNNNNNNNNNNNNNNNNNNNNNNNNNNNNNNNNNNNNNNNNNNNNNNNNNNNNNNNNNNNNNNNNNNNNNNNNNNNNNNNNNNNNNNNNNNNNNNNNNNNNNNNNNNNNNNNNNNNNNNNNNNNNNNNNNNNNNNNNNNNNNNNNNNNNNNNNNNNNNNNNNNNNNNNNNNNNNNNNNNNNNNNNNNNNNNNNNNNNNNNNNNNNNNNNNNNNNNNNNNNNNNNNNNNNNNNNNNNNNNNNNNNNNNNNNNNNNNNNNNNNNNNNNNNNNNNNNNNNNNNNNNNNNNNNNNNNNNNNNNNNNNNNNNNNNNNNNNNNNNNNNNNNNNNNNNNNNNNNNNNNNNNNNNNNNNNNNNNNNNNNNNNNNNNNNNNNNNNNNNNNNNNNNNNNNNNNNNNNNNNNNNNNNNNNNNNNNNNCGAGGAAGACCAAUCGGCUUAAGGUCAGGAACAAAGUCAACACAAAACUCAAUUACCUCCUCAUUUCCAUAGCCCUUGGCGAUGCUUCCUUCUGGCCUAGCACGGUUACGAACAUAUUUCUUUAAUACUCCCAUGAACCUCUCGAAGGGGAACAUAUUGUGUAGAAAUACAGGACCGAGAACGAAAAUCUCUUCGACUAGGUGAACCAGGAGGUGCGUCAUAAUAUUGAAGAAGGAUGGCGGGAACACCAACUCGAAACUGACAAGACAUUGGAUCACAUCGUUCUGUAACCAUGGUAGAACUUCUGGAUUGAUUACCUUCUGAGAGAUUGCAUUGAGGAAUGCACAUAGCUUCACAAUGGCUACUCGAACAUUUUCCGGCAGGAGCCCCCUCAAAGCAAUCGGAAGCAAUUGCGUCAUAAUCACGUGGCAGUCGUGAGACUUCAGGUUUUGGAACUUUUUCUCCGCCAUGUUUAUUAUUCCUUUUAUAUUGGACGAGAAUCCAGACGGGACCUUCAUACUGCUCAGGCAUUCAAAAAAGAUGACCUUCUCUUCUUUGGUCAGAGCGUAGCUGGCACGACCUUGAAACCAUUCCGGAUGCCGGUCAUCAGGGUCUUUCAAACGUUGCUGGUCCUGCCGUGCUUCCUUUGUAUCAUUUGUCUUCCCAUACACGCCCAAGAAGCUUAGGAGGUUCACGCAAAUAUUCUUCGUAACGUGCAUCACGUCGAUUGCAGAGCGGACAUCUAGGACUUUCCAAUAUUCUAGCUCCCAGAAUAUAGAUUUCUUCUUCCACAUGGCUGCGUUCCCGUCUGCUCCCUUCGGAACUGAUUGUCCGCCAGGACCCUUUCCAAAGAUGACUUUCAAAUCCUUGACCAUAUCAAAUACCUCAGCACCAGUGCAUUCCGCAGGCUUCGGCCGGUGAUCUGCCUUGCCGUUGUAAUGCUUGCCUUUCUUUCUUACUGGAUGAAUUUUCGGAAGAAAUCGAUGAUGCCCAAGGUACACGUUCUUCUUACAAUUUGGCAAAUGUACACUUUCAGUCUCAUGUAAGCAGUGCGUGCAUGCAUUGUAUCCCUUAUUUGACAGUCCCGAAAGGUUACUAAGAGCAGGCCAAUCGUUGAUGGUUACGAAAAGCAACGCUCGUAGGUCAAAUUCCUCUUGUUUGUGCUCAUCCCACACACGGACACCACCCCACAGCUGUAAAAGUUCAUCAACUAAUGGCCUUAGGUACACAUCGAUGUCGUUGCCGGGUUGCUUCGGACCUUGGAUGAGCACUGGCAUCAUAAUGAACUUCCGCUUCAUGCACAACCAAGAAGGAAGGUUGUAGAUGCAUAGAGUCACGGGCCAGGUGCUAUGGCUGGAGCUCUGCUCGCCAAAAGGAUUCAUGCCAUCCGUACUUAGAGCAAAUCUUAUGUUCCUUGCGUCAGCUGCAAAAUCUUUGAACCAUCUGUCGAUCUUUCUCCAUUGCGUUCCAUCUGCGGUGUGUCUCAACUCCCCGUCCGACUUACGGUCCUCUUUGUGCCAUCGCAACAACUUGGCAUGCUCUUUGUUCCUGAACAGACGUUUCAACCGUGGUAUUAUAGGAGCAUACCACAUCACCUUGGCGGGAACCCUCUUCCUGGGUUUCUGGCCCUCAACAUCGUCACCAGGGUCAUCGCCUCUGAUCUUAUAACGCAAUGCAGUGCAUAUCGGGCAUUCAUUCAAAUUCUCGUAUUCACCGCGGUAGAGGAUGCAGUCGUUGAUGCAUGCAUGUAUCUUCAGAACCUCUAAACCUAGAGGGCAGACAACCUUCUUUGCUUCGUACGUACUGGCGGGCAACUCGUUAUCCUUUGGAAACAUACUCUUCAACAUUUUCAGCAAGUUUUCAAAUGCCGAGUCAGCUACACCUGCCUCUGCCUUCCAUUUCAGCAAAUCCAGUGUGCAGCCCAGCUUUUUCAGACCAUCAUCGCAUCCGGGGUACAGCGCCUUUCUGUGAUCCUCUAACAUGCGAUCCAAAUUCUCCCUCUCCUUUUCAGUUUCGCAGCGUCUCCGUGCAUCAGCAAUGGUCCGACCAAGAUCAUCAACGGGAUCAUCACGUGCCUCUUCUUCACCUUCCCCUUCACCUUCAGCAUCCUCCAUGAAAGUAUCACCGAGAUGAGCAAGAUAGCUUUCAUCGAUGAAAUCAUCCCCUUCUUCAUCUUCUUCCAUUAUAACCCCUCUUUCUCCAUGCUUGGUCCAACAAUUAUAGCUUGGCAUGAAACCGUGCCGAAGCAGAUGCAUGUGAACAUCUCUUGAGGAAGAGUAACCCUUCUGAUUCUUACAGAUAACACAUGGACAGAUAACAAAAAACCCCUGCUUGUUCGCAUUAGCCACUACGAGGAAAUCUUUCAAACCCGUAGUGAACUCGCCGGAGAGUCGGUUACCGUACAUCCAUUGCCGAUUCAUCUGCAUUAUUAUAAUAUAAAAUAUAUAAUUAACCAUCAUGCAUUUGUUAAACUAACUAGCUACAAACAAUAUAAAUUAAACAAUGAACUGCACACAUGCAUAUUUUAUCAAUGACACAUCAAAGGUUCAUCAAGUUGCUAACCGCGAUCGAGGAGUGUGGCUCCAACACUUCAUGUCAUGUUUGUUUCAUGCUCUUGGGGCAUUUCAUCAAACACCUUAUGUGCAUAAGAGGAACCAAAAGCAAACCUACACCCACUUGUGAAGAGAAUGGCUCCAAAUGGCUAAGUGUUGGCUGCUGGAUGGGUAUAUAUAGGGGAGGGGCUUUAGUUGCGGUUGGCUUGGCAAACCGUGACUAAAGGUGCCCGAAGGCCUUUAGUCGCGGUUGUCCUGGCCAACCGCGACUAAAGACCCUCACGUGCGCCAGCUGGCCACCGAGCGCCCUGAGCCCAGGCCUUUGGUCGCGGUUCACCUCCAGAACCGCGACUAAAGGUCCCAUUAGUCGCGGUUCCUACAGCUUCGCGACUUAUGGGGCUGGACGGAAGCUUGUUUUUCCACCAGUGUACUAGGUAAGGUGUCGUUCCAGUCAAAUUGAUGAAUUCAUCUUUUGUUACCUUUGUUAUAGGAAUAUAGGCUGCAUUUAUUAGUCAUAUCGAGCUCUCAAGGAGUCAAGAUCUUGUUAACUUACUAAUAAUUUCUAUAUACCUGCAGCGUUAUGGCCUAUGGUGCAGGGCAAAGACAACAAGGACGACAUGCGGCGGCGACGUGGCCAUGGUGAAGCUACUUCGUCCGGCUACCCCAUGGUUGGCGUGUCUGCCGUCCUCUCAAUCUAUCACACGUACGUCCGGUGCAUGCAUGGUGUCGGGCCGAAGAGCACACAAAUCUACAUCCAGGCCCUGGGCACUAGCAACCGCUGAUGCACUUAGCCACUUACCAAUGUAUUCCUAUUGUACGUAUAUAAUAAAGUGGUUAGUACGUCGACGUAGAAAUAGUUAGUAGCUUGCUUUGCACUCACACAAUCGAGUCAUGAUUGUUACUGAUGAUCAAAAUUUUAUGUAUUUUUUAUGCCGGAUGGGUUUACUACUUCUUCUUCGGUUGUAUAUAAAGCUUCCAAAAAAUUAGUAUAUAAUCCUCCAGAAUAAAUCAGUAUAUAGUCCUCCAAAAAAAUGAGUAUAUACACUUUGUAACGCAGCAUAUACCCCAUAAAAAAUGUAGUAUAACGCUGCAGAAAUAAGACAUACUCCUUUUCUAGUUGCAUAUACCCAAUCACAAAACUACACUGAAAUAAUUAGUAGUACAUACUCCUUUUCUAUUUUGGAAAGGAACGUCCAUUUCCCUCUUCAACAAGUGCUUUAUUUUUCUAGGGGUAGCCUUGUGUUUUUACUGCCAUGCGACGACAUUACAAAAUGUAUUACACCCAUUAUUCAUCUAAUUUUUUAUAUACCCUUUUAUGCAUACUUUGAAUUUAUCACUCAUUUGGGCGACCAGCCCGCUCUCUCAUUGCAGCGACUCGACUCUCACAUAAAGCCAGUAUAUACUCACGUAAAAAAAAGCAGUAUAGACUCCCUUACUGAAAAAGAACUAUAUACUCCCCUACCAAAAAAAGUAGUAUAUGCUCCAUUACCAAAAAGGCAGUAUAUACUCAUAUACAAAAGGUGGUAUAUACUGUCUUCCCAAAGUAGUAUAUAUCUUUUUCCUUGCGUUAGAGAAGUAGUAUAACCAGAACAGAUAGUUCAUACUUGUGUGCUGAAAAAAGUAGUAUAUAAAUAUAUAUGUAAGAGUGAGUAUGGUAGAUAUGUAUCGGUCCUUACAAAAAAAAUCAACCACUGUUAUUGUUUAUUUGCACCGAACUAACCUUAUCUGUAUGCUAGGAUCCUUGAAUCUCUCAAUCUGUUGAUGCACAUGCAUGCGUCGGCCGGUGGAGCAAUUAGCAACUAGAUCUAAUAACUGCCAACCUGUUCAGUCCAUGGGAGUACAUACUCCUGGGAGUAUAAAAGAGGAGUCUAUAUAUAUAUAUAUAUAUAUAUAUAUAUACGGUGGCGCUAUUGUGUGCGUGAGCGCAGAUUUACUUAUCGUGCGCGCCGGUCAUUGCGUGCGCCACUCGUAUUCCUAAUGAUGGUAAAAUUCCUGGCAGAAAUAGUAAUAUAAUUUAAUUGGUUACUGCCUGCCACCACCACGGUAGCGAUUUAAUUGGUUAGGUCUACUAGUAAAAAUGCAUAGCAGAAAAAGUAAAAGAGCUAAAAGUAUUACUGUUGGAUGCAUCGGUCCCCGCUUCGACUGCCUACUAGUAAAACACCUCAUAAAAGUAGUAAUAGGAUUACCCUACACGCAUCAGCCCCUUGCCAUACUUGUGAACAGGUAAACUUCAUGUGAAGAAUAGUACUGGAUGGUAACUGUGUUACCAUAGAACGGACACUUGCUAUUAGCUAGCUACAUGGUAAUUUUAUUACCGCUAACUUUCAUCGGUUUAAUACCUAAUCAUGUUACCACUUAUUUUCUUAGUAGUAUUGGAUGGUAACUAUGUUACCACAUGACGAAAAAAUUGCUAUUAGCUAAUAGCUACACGGUAAUUGCAUUACCACUCAUGUGUAGAAGCAUGAUACACGGUCUUUUUUCCAAUUACGUUUGGUCGAAGACGCAAGGGUUUGCUAAUCGCUAAAGUGGGGUCGAAGCAGUAAUAAGUUUCCAACCGUUACCAUGUUUCUUAAGGUAUGUUACGUAUGGGCGCAAGACAUGUUCUUUAAUAGGAGCGGGACAACGGUUGCUUAGACGGAGAAUGGCGCGCAGUCUGGCCGGAGCGUAGAAUUAGACUUCUGCGCUCAGGCUUAGUUUAGCACGUCUAUAUAUAUAUAUAUAUAUAUAUAUAUAUAUAUACAUACAUGUUAGUGGCCUCGACGCUGCUUCUCUAGGGUUUGGGGUCGCCUCGACACAACGCUUCAAGGGUUUGGGGUGGCCUCGACGACAACGUUUUUUUAACUUGAUAAAUUUGGGUGGCCUCGAGAGAGUUAAUUUGUCGGGUAGGGGCGCGGCGGGAGGGGGUAGGAGACCAACAUCGUUUUCUCUCUAGGGUUUGGGUGUCCUCGAGAGUUAUCGGGGAGGGGGUAUCGGUACCACCCCCUAGCUCGUGUUGAAGUUUCUUCUUUCUCCUCUAUUCCUUUCUUUCUUCUUCUCCUCUUCUUUUUCUUCUUCUCCCUCGAGAAAGGAAAAUANNNNNNNNNNNNNNNNNNNNNNNNNNNNNNNNNNNNNNNNNNNNNNNNNNNNNNNNNNNNNNNNNNNNNNNNNNNNNNNNNNNNNNNNNNNNNNNNNNNNNNNNNNNNNNNNNNNNNNNNNNNNNNNNNNNNNNNNNNNNNNNNNNNNNNNNNNNNNNNNNNNNNNNNNNNNNNNNNNNNNNNNNNNNNNNNNNNNNNNNNNNNNNNNNNNNNNNNNNNNNNNNNNNNNNNNNNNNNNNNNNNNNNNNNNNNNNNNNNNNNNNNNNNNNNNNNNNNNNNNNNNNNNNNNNNNNNNNNNNNNNNNNNNNNNNNNNNNNNNNNNNNNNNNNNNNNNNNNNNNNNNNNNNNNNNNNNNNNNNNNNNNNNNNNNNNNNNNNNNNNNNNNNNNNNNNNNNNNNNNNNNNNNNNNNNNNNNNNNNNNNNNNNNNNNNNNNNNNNNNNNNNNNNNNNNNNNNNNNNNNNNNNNNNNNNNNNNNNNNNNNNNNNNNNNNNNNNNNNNNNNNNNNNNNNNNNNNNNNNNNNNNNNNNNNNNNNNNNNNNNNNNNNNNNNNNNNNNNNNNNNNNNNNNNNNNNNNNNNNNNNNNNNNNNNNNNNNNNNNNNNNNNNNNNNNNNNNNNNNNNNNNNNNNNNNNNNNNNNNNNNNNNNNNNNNNNNNNNNNNNNNNNNNNNNNNNNNNNNNNNNNNNNNNNNNNNNNNNNNNNNNNNNNNNNNNNNNNNNNNNNNNNNNNNNNNNNNNNNNNNNNNNNNNNNNNNNNNNNNNNNNNNNNNNNNNNNNNNNNNNNNNNNNNNNNNNNNNNNNNNNNNNNNNNNNNNNNNNNNNNNNNNNNNNNNNNNNNNNNNNNNNNNNNNNNNNNNNNNNNNNNNNNNNNNNNNNNNNNNNNNNNNNNNNNNNNNNNNNNNNNNNNNNNNNNNNNNNNNNNNNNNNNNNNNNNNNNNNNNNNNNNNNNNNNNNNNNNNNNNNNNNNNNNNNNNNNNNNNNNNNNNNNNNNNNNNNNNNNNNNNNNNNNNNNNNNNNNNNNNNNNNNNNNNNNNNNNNNNNNNNNNNNNNNNNNNNNNNNNNNNNNNNNNNNNNNNNUGAAAACACUUUUUUUUGUUUUCUUUCUUGCUUUAUUUAUUUUAUUUUGUUUCUACUUGCAAUAAAAUACUUAUUGUUGUUUUUUUGUUUUGUUUUCUGCAUUAUUUAUUUUCUUUUGUUUUUUGCUUUAUUUUUUAAUUCUUUUUGCUUUUAGUUUUAGGAAAAUUAUAAACUUUCUAUUAGUGCCAUUACUUUUCAAAUUUGAAAACACUUUUUUGUUUUUUAGUUUUCUUUCUUGCUUUAUUUAUUUUAUUUUGUUUCUACUUACAACAAAAUACUUAUUGUUGCUAUUUUUAAUUAUUACGAAGGCCAAACCAUAAGACAUUAAAGCAUUUCAAAUGAACUCUGAAAAAGUUGAAAGUUGGCAUGGUAUCAUAAAUUGACCCACACAUAGCAUGUGCAUGUACAAAACGGACAAUGUUAUCAUACUCGUCAGUUACAAAGUUGGCAUGGUAUCAUCAUAAUAGUUGCGGGAGAAAGUCUUCACUUUUUCUUCGCUUGUGUCAUUUGCUUAUUGCGCCGUAACCAUGGAUAAUCUUCAUCGUUUAUCAGGAUGCUGGGGUCAGCCUUGACUUUAAAGGGAGGAAUUUCAUGAAACUUUUCAUAAUCUUCAGACAUGUCUGUCUUGUCCUCCUCUCCCACGAUGUCCCUUUUUCCUGAAAGAACUAUGUGGCGCUUUGGCUCAUCGUAUGAUGUAUUCGCUUCCUUAUCUUUUCUCUUUCUUGGUCUGGUAGACAUGUCCAUCACAUAGAUAACCUGUGCCACAUCAUUGGCUAGGACGAACGGUUCGUCAGUGUACCCAAGAUUUUUCGGAUCCACUGUUGUCGUUCCGUACUGUGGGUCUACAUGUACCCCGCCUCCUGACAGAUUGACCCAUUUGCACUUAAACAAAGGGACCUUAAAAUCAUGUCCUUAGUCAAGUUCCCAUAUGUCCACUAUGUAACCAUAAUAUGUGUCCUUUCCCCUCUCGGUUGUUGCAUCAAAGCGGACACCGCUGUUUUGGUUGGUGCUCUUUUGAUCUUGGUUAAUCGUGUAAAAUGUCUUCCCAUUUAUCUCAUAUCCUUUCCAAAUCGUAACAGUCGAAGAUGGUCCCCUGGAUAACAAGUACAUCUCAUCACAAACAGCGUUGUCACCUCUGAUACGUGCUUCCAACCAACUGCUGAAAGUCCUGAUGUGUUCACAUGUAAUUCAGUCGUCGCACUGCUCCGGGUGUUUGGAGCGCAGACUGUUCUUGUGUUCAUCCACAUACGGGGUCACCAAGGUAGAGUUCUGUAGAACUGUGUAGUGUGCUUGAGACCAAGAAUAUCUGUCCCUGCAUAUUAUUGAGUCCCUUCCAAGCAUGCCUUUUCCAGUCAGUCUCCCCUCAUACCGCGAUUUAGGGAGACCUAUCUUCUUAUGGCCAGGAAUGAAGUCAACACAAAACCCGAUGACAUCCUCUGUUUGAUGGCCCAUGGAGAUGCUUCCUUCUGGCCUAGCGCGAUGAGGGACAUAUUUCUUUAGGACUCCCAUGAACCUCUCAAAGGGGUACAUAUUGUGUAGAAAUACGGGGCCCAAAAUGACAAUCUCGUCAACUAGAUGAACUAGGACGUGCGUCAUGAUAUUGAAGAAGGAUGGUGGGAACACCAGCUCGAAACUGACAAGACAUUGCACCACAUCACUCCUUAGCCUUGGUAUGAUUUCUGGAUCGAUCACCUUCUGAGAGAUUGCAUUGAGGAAUGCACAUAGCUUCACAAUGGCUAAUCGGACGUUUUCCGGUAGAAGCCCCCUCAAUGCAACCGGAAGCAGUUGUGUCAUAAUCACGUGGCAGUCAUGAGACUUUAGGUUCUGAAACUUUUUCUUUGCCAUAUUUAUUAUUCCUUUUAUAUUCGACGAGAAGCCAGUCGGGACCUUCAUACUAAGCAGGCAUUCAAAGAAGAUUUCCUUCUCUUCUUUGGUAAGAGCAUAGCUGGCAGGACCUUCAUACUGCUUUGGAGGCAUGCCGUCUUUUUCGUGCAAAUGUUGCAGGUCCUCCCGUGCCUCAGCUGUAUCUUUUGUCUUCCCAUACACGCCCAAGAAGCCUAGCAGGUUCACGCAAAGGUUCUUCGUCACGUGCAUCACGUCGAUCGAAGAGCGGACCUCUAGGUCUUUCUAGUAGGGUAGGUCCCAAAAUAUAGAUUUCUUCUUCCACAUGGGUGCGUGUCCCCCAACGUCACUCGGAACAGCUAGUCUGCCGGGACCCUUUCCAAAGAUUACGUGUAAAUCAUUGACCAUAGCAAGUACGUGACCACCGGUACGCAUGGCGGGCUUCUUCCGGUGAUCUGCCUCGCCUUUGAAAUGCUUGCCUUUCUUUCGACAUUGAUGGUUGGUCGGAAGAAAUCGACGAUGGCCCAGGUACACAUUCUUCCUACAGCUUGCCAGGUAUAUACUAACGGUGUCAAGUAAACAGUGCGUGCAUGCGUGGUAUCCCUUGUUUGUCUGUCCUAAAAGGUUACUGAGAGCAGGCCAAUCGUUGAUGGUCACGAACAGCAACGCCUUUAGGUUAAAUUUCUCCUGUUUGUGCUCAUCCCACGUACGUACACCGUUUCCAUUCCACAGCUGUAAAAGUUCUUCAACUAAUGGCCUUAGGUACACAUCAAUGUCAUUGCCGGGUUGCUUAGGGCCUUGGAUGAGAACUGGCAUCAUAAUGAACUUCCGCUUCAUGCACAUCCAAGGAGGAAGGUUAUACAUACAUAGAGUCACGGGCCAGGUGCUGUGAUUGCUGCUCUGCUCCCCGAAAGGAUUAAUGCCAUCCGCACUUAAAGCAAACCAUACGUUCCUUGGCUCACUUGCAAACUCAUCCCAGUACUUUCUCUCAUUUUUCUCCAUUGCGACCCGUCAGCGGGUGCUCUCAACUUCCCGUCUUUCUUACGGUCCUCACUAUGCCAUCGCAUCAACUUGGCAUGCUCUCCGUUUCUGAACAGACGUUUCAACCGUGGUAUUAUAGGAGCAUACCACAUCACCACUACUAGGGAAAAGCCUAUACAUAGAAUCUUACCAGCAGCGCUCUUCAAAAUACAACGCUACUGCUACUUAGCAGCAGCGCGUGUCUGCCAAACACGCUGCUGACUUGGAAGUAGCAGUAGCGGGUGCAUCGCAUACAGCGCUACUGCUAUAGUUGCCAUGACCUUGCCCCCCCCCCCCCNNNNNNNNNNNNNNNNNNNNNNNNNNNNNNNNNNNNNNNNNNNNNNNNNNNNNNNNNNNNNNNNNNNNNNNNNNNNNNNNNNNNNNNNNNNNNNNNNNNNNNNNNNNNNNNNNNNNNNNNNNNNNNNNNNNNNNNNNNNNNNNNNNNNNNNNNNNNNNNNNNNNNNNNNNNNNNNNNNNNNNNNNNNNNNNNNNNNNNNNNNNNNNNNNNNNNNNNNNNNNNNNNNNNNNNNNNNNGCAAACGCGCUACAACUAUCCCUACCUUAUCCCCAUGCGCACGACCGGCCCUCUCACUCACACUCUCACUCUCGCCCACGUCAACCGUCGUCGUCCGUCGCCGCCGCCGCCGCCUUCGUCCGUCCGCCGCCGAGGUACUCCCCUCCUUCCGUCCCUCCUCCAUCCUCCUUGCACAUCCUCCCUCCGCCUGUGGCCGCCCCUCCUUCCUCCGCCGCUGCCCUCCUCCCUCCGCCUGCGGCCGCCCCUCCUCCCUCCUCCGACGGCAGCCCUCCUCCCACCGCCCUCGACCUCGCUGCCCCUAGCUACCUCUCCGUCGCCCCCCACCCCUGCCACUAGUUAGUACUAGAUUUAGUAGUAGUAGAUGUUAAUUUAGGGUUAGCUAGUACUAGAUGUUGCUUAGUUAGUACUAGAUUUUUAGUAGUAGUAGUGGUAGUUGAACUACUUUAGUUGUAGUUGAACUAGUUUAGUAAGUAAAUUAAUAAACGAGUUGAACUAGUUGAAUUAAUAGAACUAAUCUAUUUUUAGUAAGAUAAUUAAUAUAACUAGUUGAACUACUUUAUUUUUAGAAAGAACUAAUUUUUUUCUAUUUAUAUUAAGUUUAUAUUUAGUAAGAACUAGUUGAAUUAAUAAAACUAGUUGAACAUGUCAUGUUUGUUGUUAGUGAUAACUUAUAUGGUUUCAGGUGACCUCCGUCGUCCCCGUCACCGACCCCCUCCGACAUCCCCGUCGUCGUCCCAGUCACCGACCCCCUCCGACAUCGAGGUGAGACCAGCCAAAUAUCCUUGUAUAUCUUGUGUUGUUGCUCAAAUUGGAUAUGUGGUUGCCCAAGUGGCCGUUCAUGUAGUUUACAUCUCCGAGUGGCCUAUGUUUUGCCGGAGUGUUGAUUAAUUUCCGUUCCGACAAAUUUCAGGCGCUCGAUAUGUCCUUUUUUAGCAAAGGUCAUGCCGGAUUUUGUCGUGAAUUCUGGUAUGACUUGUGCUAGAAUAUGUACAAGUUUAAUCUUUGAAUUAUGAUUGUAGGAAAUGUCGUACUCGGACGACGAAGGUCUCCCGGGGGAGUGUAGCUGGUGCCACGACGAUCGAGGUAUGUGCGAUAGGUUCGUUCGGCUGGACGAAGAUCGGCGCUUCAACAUUAAGCUCGAGGAGACCUUCGAUUGUGAAAUGGUACGCAACAACGACAAGUGUUUUUUCUCCAUUAAGCAUGACUUCAACUAUUUCAACGUCUAAUUUUCAUAUUUUACAAUUCGACUAGCUUAUCCCAUGCCAUGCAAGACGCUAUGUCUUGGAGAGGAUGGGUUUUGAAGACCAUGAAAAUUUCAAAACAAAGAAAAUACACCUAAGGACCCAUCAUGAUAUGGAUUUUGAAGUAAACCUGUGCAAUGCUCAGAGCGCAACCCAUUUUGGUUGCCAAAAUUGGGAAGCACUUUGCAAAAUGUAUGGUUUUUAUGAGGGUAUGAUUGUCACCAUGGAUCUUGGUGAUCCUGACAGUGAGGAAGACAAUAUGGACAUUUGGGUCCUUGUUGAUACGCUUCCGAUUGUACCGCUAUGUGACUUUCUCAAACAUAGUUAUUAACUAAUUUAUAUUGUUUAUUUCAAAAUAGUUGAUAGCUUAUUUCCAUUGACAGCUUAUUUUGAUUCUUCAAAGACUGUGCGGAAGAUGGUAGAUAAAACCCACUACACCGAAGGCACCCAAUUAACGUAUAAGGAGAAAAAUCAUCUGAUCGCAUUUUGUACUCUUCUUGAGAAUUACAAUGACUAUAAUCGAACUCCUCCAGAUUAUGGUGAAUAUGUGCCACUAGUGCAUGUGUUGAACAACGAUAACUUAUCUGGAGAUACCCUGGUAAGAUUUUUUACUAUUACGACAUCCGUGUAUUUUUUGCAUACUUCUAAAACUAGUACAUCAUUGCUAACUACGAAGUUAUUAUUAUGUUUUUCAACAGAAACUCCCGAUGGAUUGUGUGCCUCAUCUGAUGUCUCUGCAUGGUCGCCUCUCAGUUCUGAACAUACUGCCAGGUAAAUCUACAGAGCUCACCUAUGCAUAUCAGAUUUCUAAAACCCGUGAACACAUGAUCAUCAGAGAAUGGAAGAAAUGUAUGGACAUUCGCAAGGAGGUUCUUGGAAGUAACAUUCAGCGAAACGUAAGAAUGGGAGACAGGCUAAUCUCCAUUCUCCAUAAUGGAGAGUCAGGGGCUAUCUUGUUUUUUGUUAUUUUACCUUAGAAAAUGUAGUAGGUCUUAAUCGAAUGUAAUAGGUCCUAUGAGGUACAAUAUGUUUAUUAUGUGGUAAUGUGUUAGAGUUGAUAAUGAUGAUCUUGAGGAGGUGUUAUGUGAUGUCAAUGAUGAAAACGAUGAUAUUGAGGAGGUGUUAUAUGACAAUGAUGUAUUAUGAUGCUAAGUUGUUAAUGAUAUGAUGAUGAUGAUGAUAUUAUUAUAUCAUUGGGUGAAAGAACCGUGGAUUAGUUUCAAGUGGAUGGACAUCCACUUGAAACUAGUCCACGGUUCUUUCACCCCAUGAUGUAAUAACUCAUUAUGAUGUAAAAACAAUCUCUAAAUUCCUGUUGUAUGAAAACUUGUGUAAGGGUGUAUGAAUACAACAUGAAAAAGAAAAGAAAUAAAAUACUAAAUAAUAGUAGUAGCGCGGGUAAGGAGAAGCGCUACUACUAAUUACCAGUAGCGAUGUUCUAAAGAACCGCUGCUACUAAGUCAAUUUAGCAGUAGCGCGUGUCAAGACGCGCUAUUGCUAAGCAUUAGCUGUAGCGCCUUAUCAGUAGCGCUCCUGCCCGCGCUACUGAUAGGCCCAAAACCCGCGCUGCUGCUAGGCUUUUCCCUAGUAGUGCACCUUCGCAGGAACCCUCUUCCUGGGGGGCUCGCCGUCAACAUCACCAGGGUCAUCUCGUCUGAUCUUAUACCAUAAUGCACCGCAUACCAGGCAUGCGUUCAGAUCCUUAUAUGCACCGCGGUAGAGGAUGCAGUCAUUAGGGCAUGCAGGUAUCUUCUGCACCUCCAAUCCUAGAGGGCAUACGACCUUCUUUGCUGCGUAUGUACUGUCGGGCAAUUCGUUAUCCUUUGGAAGCUUCUUCUUCAAUAUUUUCAGUAGCUUCUCAAAUCCUUUGUCAGGCACAGCAUUCUCUUAAAGGAAAUAUGCCCUAGAGGCAAUAAUAAAGUUAUUAUUUAUUUCCUCAUAUCAUGAUAAAUGUUUAUUAUUCAUGCUAGAAUUGUAUUAACCGGAAACAUGAUACAUGUGUGAAUACAUAGACAAAACUAUAGUCACUAGUAUGCCUCUACUUGACUAGCUCAUUAAUCAAAGAUGGUUAUGUUUCCUGACCAUAGACAUGUGUUGUCAUUUGAUUAGUGGGAUCACAUCAUUAAGAGAAUGAUGUGAUUGACAUGACCCAUUCUGUUAGCCCAGCACUUGAUCGUUUAGUAUACUGCUAUUGCUUUCUUCAUGACUUAUACAAAGUUCCUGCAACUAUGAGAUUGUGCAACUCCCGUUUACCGGAAGAACACUUUGUGUGCUACCAAACAUCACAACGUAACUGGGUGAUUAUAAAGGUGCUCUACAGGUGUUUCCGAAGGUACAUGUUGGGUUGGCAUAAUUCGAGAUUAGGAUUUGUCACUCCGAUUGUCGGAGAGGUAUCUCUGGGCCCUCUCGGAAAUACUCAUCACAUAAGCCUUGCAAGCAUGUAACUAAUGAGUUAGUUAUGAGAUGACGUAUUACGAAACGAGUAAAGAGACUUGCCGGUAACGAGAUUGAACUAGGUAUUGGAUACCGACGAUCAAAUCUCGGGCAAGUAACAUACCGAUGACAAAGGGAACAAAGUAUGUUGUUAUGCGGUUUGACCGAUAAAGAUCUUCGUAGAAUAUGUAGGAACCAAUAUGGGCAUCCAGGUCCCGCUAUUGGUUAUUGACCGAGAAUGGUUUUAGGUCAUGACUACAUAGUUCUCAAACCCGUAGGGUCCGCACGCUUAACUUUUUGAUGAUAGUUUUAUUAUGAGUUUAUAAGUUUUGAUGUACCAAAGUUUGUUCGGAGUUCCGGAUGUGAUCACGGAUAUGAUGAGGAGUCUCGGAAUGCUUGAGCCAUAAAGAUUGAUAUAUUGGACGACUAUAUUCGGACACCGGAAAGGUUCCGGGAGUUUUCGGAGAAAACCGGAGUGCCCGGGGGGUUACCGAAACCCCCCGGGAGAGUUAAUGGGCCACAUGGGCCUAGGUGGGAAGAGAAAGGGGCGGCCAGGGUGAGCCGCGCGCCCCCUCUCCCUCUAGUCCGAAUUGGACUAGGAGGGGGGGCGGCGCCCCCUUUCCUUCCCCCCCUCUCUUCCUUCCUUCCCCCUCCUAGUAGGAGUAGGAAAGGAGGAAUCCUACUCCUACUAGGAGGAGGAUUCCUCCUCCCUUGCGCGCCCCAAGGGGCCGGCCGGCCUCCCCCUCCCUCCUUUAUAUACGGGGGCAGGGGGCACCCCAUAGACACACAAGUUGAUCUACGGAUCGUUCCUUAGCCGUGUGCGGUGCCCCCUUCCACCAUAUUCCACCUCGGUCAUAUCGUCGCGAAGCUUAGGCGAAGUCCUGCGCCGGUAGAACAUCAAGAUCGUCACCACGCCGUCGUGCUGACGGAACUCUCCCUCGACACUCGGCUGGAUCGGAGUUCGAGGGACGUCAUCGAGCUGAAUGUGUGCUGAACUCGGAGGCUCCGUACGUUCGGUUCUUGGAUCGGUCGGAUCGUGAAGACGUAUGACUACAUCAACCGCGUUGUCAUAACGCUUCCGCUUACGGUCUACGAGGGUACAUGGACAUACACUCUCCCCUCUCGUUGCUAUGUCAUCACCAUGAUCUUGCGUGUGCGUAGGAAAAUUUUGAAAUUACUACGUUCCCCGACAGUGGUAUCAGAGCCUAGGUUUUAUGCGUUGAUGUUAUAUGCACGAGUAGAACACAAGUGAGUUGUGGACGAUAUAAGUCAUACUGCCUACCAGUGUGUCAUACUUUGGUUCAGCGGUAUUGUGAGAUGAAGCGGCCCGGACCGACAUUACGGGUACGCUUACGCGAGACUAGUUUCACCGUUAUGAGCACUCGUGCUUAAAGGUGGCUGGCGGGUGUCUGUCUCUCUCACUUUAGUUGAACCGAGUGUGGCUACGCCCGGCCCUUGUGAAGGUUAAAACGGAGUCUAUUUGACAAACUAUCGUUGUGGUUUUGAUGCGUAGGUAAGAACGGUUCUUGCUAAGCCCGUAGCAUCCACGUAAAAUUUGCAACAACAAAGUAGAGGACGUCUAACUUGUUUUUGCAGGGCAUGUUGUGAUAUGAUAUGGUCAAGACGUGAUGCUAUAUUUUAUUGUAUGAGAUGAUCAUGUUUUGUAACCGAAGUUAUCGGCAACUGGCUGGAGCCAUAUGGUUGUCGCUUUAUUGUAUGAAAUGCAAACGCCCUGUAAUUGCUUUACUUUAUCUCUAAGCGGUAGCGAUAGUCGUAGAAGCAAUAGAUGGCGUAAACGACAACGAUGCUACGAUGGAGAUCAAGGUGUCGCGCCGGUGACGAUGGUGAUCAUGACGGUGCUUCGAAGAUGGAGAUCACAAGCACAAGAUGAUGAUGGCCAUAUCAUAUCACUUAUAUUGAUUGCAUGUGAUGUUUAUCCUUUAUGCAUCUUAUCUUGCUUUGAUUGACGGUAGCAUUUUAAGAUGAUCUCUCACUAAAAUUAUCAAGUAGUGUUCUCCCUGAGUAUGCACCGUUGCCAAAGUUCAUCGUGCCGAGACACCACGUGAUGAUCGGGUGUGAUAAGCUCUACGUCCAUCUACAACGGGUGCAAGCCAGUUUUGCACACGCAGAAUACUCAGGUUAAACUUGACGAGCCUAGCAUAUGCAGAUAUGGCCUCGGAACACAGAGACCGAAAGGUCGAGCGUGAAUCAUAUAGUAGAUAUGAUCAACAUAAUGAUGUUCACCAUUGAAAACUACUCCAUCUCACGUGAUGAUCGGUUAUGGUUUAGUUGAUUUGGAUCACGUGAUCACUUAGAUGACUAGAGAGAUGUCUGUCUAUGUGGGAGUUCUUAAGUAAUAUGAUUAAUUGAACUUAAAUUUAUCAUGAACUUAGUACCUGAUAGUAUCUUGCUUGUCUAUGUUUGUUUGUAGAUAGAUGGCUCGUGCUGUUGUUCCGUUGAAUUUUAAUGCGUUCCUUGAGAAAGCAAAGUUGAAAGAUGAUGGUAGCAAUUACACGGACUGGGUCCGUAACCUGAGGAUUAUCCUCAUUGUUGCACAGAAGAGUUACGUCCUGGAAGCACCGCUGGGUGCCAGGCCUGCUGCUGAUGCAACUGACGACGUUAAGAACGUCUGGCAGAGCAAAGCUGAUGACUACUCUAUAGUUCAGUGUGCCAUGCUUUACGGCUUAGAACCGGGUCUUCAACGACGUUUUGAACGUCAUGGAGCAUAUGAGAUGUUCCAGGAGUUGAAGUUAAUAUUUCAAGCAAAUGCCCGGAUUGAGAGAUAUGAAGUCUCCAAUAAGUUCUAUAGCUGCAAGAUGGAGGAGAAUAGUUCUGUCAGUGAACAUAUACUCAGAAUGUCUGGGUAUAACAAUCACUUGAUUCAACUGGGAGUUAAUCUUCCUGAUGAUAGUGUCAUUGACAGAAUUCUUCAAUCACUGCCACCAAGCUACAAGAGCUUUGUGAUGAACUAUAAUAUGCAAGGGAUGAACAAGACUAUUCCCGAGCUCUUCGCGAUGCUGAAAGCCGCAGAGGUAGAAAUCAAGAAGGAGCAUCAAGUGUUGAUGGUCAACAAGACCACUAGUUUCAAGAAGAAGGGCAAAGGAAAGAAGAAGGGGAACUUCAAAAAGAACGGCAAGCAAGUUGCUGCUCAAGAGAAGAAACCCAAGUCUGGACCUAAGCCUGAAACUGAGUGCUUCUACUGCAAGCAGACUGGUCACUGGAAGCGGAACUGCCCCAAGUAUUUGGCGGAUAAGAAGGAUGGCAAAGUAAACAAAGGUAUAUGUGAUAUACAUGUUAUUGAUGUGUACCUAACUAGAGCUCGUAGUAGCACCUGGGUAUUUGAUACUGGUUCUGUUGCUAAUAUUUGCAACUCGAAACAGGGACUACGGAAUAAGCGAGCACUGGCCAAGGACGAGGUGACGAUGCGCGUGGAAAACGGUUCCAAAGUCGAUGUGAUCGCGGUCGGCACGCUACCUCUACAUCUACCAUCGGGAUUAGUUUUAGACCUAAAUAAUUGUUAUUUGGUGCCAGCGUUGAGCAUGAACAUUAUAUCUGGAUCUUGUUUGAUGCAAGACGGUUAUUCAUUUAAAUCAGAGAAUAAUGGUUGUUCUAUUUAUAUGAGUAAUAUCUUUUAUGGUCAUGCACCCUUGAAGAGUGGUCUAUUUUUAUUGAAUCUCGAUAGUAGUGAUACACAUAUUCAUAUUGUAGAAGCCAAAAGAUGCAGAGUUGAUAAUGAUAGUGCAACUUAUUUGUGGCACUGCCGUUUGGGUCAUAUCGGUGUACAACGCAUGAAGAAACUCCAUACUGAUGGACUUCUGGAAUCACUUGAUUAUGAAUCACUUGGUACUUGCGAACCGUGCCUUAUGGGCAAGAUGACUAAAACACCGUUCUCCGGAACUAUGGAGAGAGCAACAGAUUUGUUGGAAAUCAUACAUACAGAUGUAUGUGGUCCGAUGAAUGUUGAGGCUCGUGGCGGAUAUCAUUAUUUUCUCACCUUCACUGAUGAUUUAAGCAGAUAUGGGUAUAUCUACUUAAUGAAGUACAAGUCUGAAACAUUUGAAAAGUUCAAAGAAUUUCAGAGUGAAGUAGAAAAUCAUCGUAACAAGAAAAUAAAGUUUCUACGAUCUGACCGUGGAGGAGAAUAUUUGAGUUACGAGUUUGGUUUACAUUUGAAACAAUGCGGAAUAGUUUCGCAACUCACGCCACCUGGAACACCACAACGAAAUGGUGUGUCCAAACGUCGUACUCGUACUUUACUUGAUAUGGUGCGAUCUAUGAUGUCUCUUACCGAUUUACCGCUAUCGUUUUGGGGUUAUGCUUUAGAGACGGCCGCAUUCACGUUAAAUAGGGCACCAUCAAAAUCCGUUGAGAUGACGCCUUAUGAACUGUGGUUUGGCAAGAAACCAAAGUUGUCGUUUCUUAAAGUUUGGGGCUGCGGUACUUAUGUGAAGAAACUUCAACCAGAUAAGCUCGAACCCAAAUCGGAGAAAUGUGUCUUCGUAGGAUACCCAAAGGAGACUAUUGGGUACACCUUCUAUCACAGAUCUGAAGGCAAGAUUUUCGUUGCUAAAUUCGGAUCCUUUCUAGAGAAGGAAUUUCUCUCGAAAGAAGUGAGUGGGAGGAAAGUAGAACUUGAUGAGAUAACUGUAUCUACUCCCUUAUUGGAAGGUAGUUCAUCACGAGAACUGGUUCCCAUGACAACUACACCAAUUAUUGAGGAAGCUAAUAAUAUUGAUCAUGAAACUUCAGAUCAAGUUUCUGCUGAACCUCGUAGGUCUACCAGAGUAAGAUCCGCACCAGAGUGGUACGGUAAUCCUAUUCUGGAAGUCAUGUUACUUGACCAUGAUGAACCUACGAACUAUGAGGAACCGAUGAUGAGCCCAGAUUCCGCAAAAUGGCUAGAGGCCAUGAAAUCUGAGAUGGGAUCCAUGGAUGAAAACAAAGUAUGGACUUUGGUUGACUUGCCCGAUGAUCGGCAAGCCAUUGAGAAUAAAUGGAUCUUUAAGAAGAAGACUGACGCUGAUGGUAAUGUUACUGUCUAUAAAGCUCGACUUGUUGCGAAAGGUUUUCGACAAGUUCAAGGGGUUGACUAUGAUGAGACUUUCUCACCCGUAGCGAUGCUUAAGUCUGUCCGAAUCAUGUUGGCUAUUGCUGCAUUUCAUGAUUAUGAAAUUUGGCAAAUGGAUGUCAAAACUGCAUUCUUGAAUGGAUUUCUAGAAGAAGAGUUGUAUAUGAUGCAGCCGGAAGGUUUUGUUGAUCCAAAAGGUGCUGACAAAGUGUGUAAGCUCCAAUGUUCCAUUUAUGGACUGGUGCAAGCAUCUCGGAGUUGGAAUAAACGUUUUGACAGUGUGAUCAAGGCAUAUGGUUUUAUACAGACUUUUGGAGAAGCCUGUAUUUACAAGAAAGUGAGUGGGAGCUCUGUAGCAUUUCUAGUUUUAUAUGUUGAUGACAUAUUAUUAAUUGGAAAUGAUAUAGAAUUUCUGGAGAGCAUAAAGGGAUACUUGAAUAAAAGUUUUUCAAUGAAAGACCUCGGUGAAGCUGCUUACAUAUUGGGCAUCAAGAUCUAUAGAGAUAGAUCAAGACGCUUAAUAGGACUUUCACAAAGCACAUACCUUGACAAAAUUUUGAAAAAGUUCAAAAUGGAUCAGGCAAAGAAAGGAUUCUUGCCUGUGCUACAAGGUGUGAAGUUGAGUCAAACUCAAUGCCCGACCACAUCAGAAGAUAGAGAGAAAAUGAAAAAUGUUCCCUAUGCUUCAGCCAUAGGCUCUAUCAUGUAUGCAAUGCUGUGUACCAGACUUGACGUAUGCUUAGCAAUAAGCUUGGCAGGAAGGUACCAAAGUAAUCCAGGAGUGGAUCACUGGACAGCGGUCAAGAACAUCCUUAAAUACCUGAAAAGGACUAAGGAUAUAUUUCUCGUAUAUGUAGGUGACAAAGAGCUCGUCGUAAAUGGUUACGUCGAUGCAAGCUUUGACACUGAUCCAGACGAUUCUAAAUCGCAAACCGGAUACGUGUUUAUAUUAAACGGUGGAGCUGUAAGUUGGUGCAGUUCUAAACAAAGCGUCGUGGCGGGAUCUACAUGUGAAGCGGAGUACAUAGCUGCUUCUGAAGCAGCAAAUGAAGGAGUCUGGAUGAAGGAGUUCAUUUCCGAUCUAGGUGUCAUACCUAGUGCAUCGGGACCAAUGAAGAUCUUCUGUGACAAUACAGGUGCAAUUGCUUUGGCAAAGGAAUCCAGAUUUCACAAGAGGACCAAGCACAUCACGAGACGCUUAAAUUCCAUUCGGGACCAAGUCCAAGUGGGAGACAUACAGAUUUGCAAGAUACAUACGGAUCUGAAUAUUGCAGACCCGUUGACUAAGCAUCUCUCACGAGCAAAACAUGAUCAGCACCAAGACUCCAUGGGUGUUAGAAUCAUUAUUGUGUAAUCUAGAUUAUUGACUCUAGUGCAAGUGGGAGACUAAAGGAAAUAUGCCCUAGAGGCAAUAAUAAAGUUAUUAUUUAUUUCCUCAUAUCAUGAUAAAUGUUUAUUAUUCAUGCUAGAAUUGUAUUAACCGGAAACAUGAUACAUGUGUGAAUACAUAGACAAAACUAUAGUCACUAGUAUGCCUCUACUUGACUAGCUCAUUAAUCAAAGAUGGUUAUGUUUCCUGACCAUAGACAUGUGUUGUCAUUUGAUUAGUGGGAUCACAUCAUUAAGAGAAUGAUGUGAUUGACAUGACCCAUUCUGUUAGCCUAGCACUUGAUCGUUUAGUAUACUGCUAUUGCUUUCUUCAUGACUUAUACAAAGUUCCUGCAACUAUGAGAUUGUGCAACUCCCGUUUACCAAAAGAACACUUUGUGUGCUACCAAACGUCACAACGUAACUGGGUGAUUAUAAAGGUUCUCUACAGGUGUUUCCGAAGGUACAUGUUGGGUUGGCAUAAUUCGAGAUUAGGAUUUGUCACUCCGAUUGUCGGAGAGGUAUCUUUGGGCCCUCUCGGUAAUACUCAUCACAUAAGCCUUGCAAGCAUGUAACUAAUGAGUUAGUUAUGAGAUGACGUAUUACGGAACGAGUAAAGAGACUUGCCGGUAACGAGAUUGAACUAGGUAUUGGAUACCAACGAUCAAAUCUCGGGCAAGUAACAUACCGAUGACAAAGGGAACAAAGUAUGUUGUUAUGCGGUUUGACCGAUAAAGAUCUUCAUAGAAUAUGUAGGAACCAAUAUGGGCAUCCAGGUCCCGCUAUUGGUUAUUGACCGAGAAUGGUUUUAGGUCAUGACUACAUAGUUCUCGAACCCGUAGGGUCCGCACGCUUAACGUUUCGAUGAUAGUUUUAUUAUGAGUUUAUAAGUUUUGAUGUACCGAAGUUUGUUCGGAGUCCCAGAUGUGAUCACAGACAUGACGAGGAGUCUUGGAAUGGUCGAGACAUAAAGAUUGAUAUAUUGGACGACUAUAUUCGGACACCGGAAAGGUUCCGGGAGUUUUCGGAGAAAACCGGAGUGCCGGGGGGGUUACCGGAACCCCCCGGGAGAGUUAAUGGGCCACAUGGGCCUAGGUGGGAAGAGAGAGGUGCGGCCAGGGUGGGCCGCGCGCCCCCUCUCCCUCUAGUUCGAAUUGGACUAGGAGGGGGGGCGGCGCCCCCCUUUCCUUCCCCCCCUCUCUUCCUUCCUUCCCCCUCCUAGUAGGAGUAGGAAAGGAGGAAUCCUACUCCUACUAGGAGGAGGAUUCCUCCUCCCUUGGAGCGCCCCAAGGGGCUGGCCGGCCUCCCCCUCCCUCCUUUAUAUACGAGGGCAGGGGGCACCCCAUAGACACACAAGUUGAACUACGGAUCGUUCCUUAGCCGUGUGCGGUGCCCCCUUCCACCAUAUUCCACCUCGGUCAUAUUGUCGCGAAGCUUAGGCGAAGCCCUGCGCCGGUAGAACAUCAAGAUCGUCACCACGCCGUCGUGCUGACGGAACUCUCCCUCGACACUCGGCUGGAUCGGAGUUCGAGGGACGUCAUCGAGCUGAACAUCUGCUGAACUCGGAGGCUCCGUACGUUAGGUGCUUGGAUCGGUCGGAUCGUGAAGACGUACGACUACAUCAACCGCGUUGUCAUAACGCUUCCGCUUACGGUCUACGAGGGUACGUGGACAUACACUCUCCCCUCUCGUUGCUAUUUCAUCACCAUGAUCUUGCUUGUGCGUAGGAAAAUUUUGAAAUUACUACGUUCCCCAACAUCUCUGCCUUCCACUGCAGCAAUUCCAGUACGGUACCGAGCUUUGUGUUGCCAUCUUCGCAAUUGGGGUACAACCCUUUUUUUUGGUCCUCUAGCAUGCGAUCGAACUUCAGCUUCUCCUUUUGACUUUUGCAUUGCGUCCUUGCAUCGACAAUGACCCGGCGGAGAUCAUCAUCAUCGGGCACAUCGUCUGGUUCCUCUUGAUCUUCAGCAGCUUCGCCUGUUGCAGCAUCAUCGUGCACAUCGUCUGGUUCCUCUUGAUCUUCAGGAGCAUCACCGUAUUCAGGGGCACAUAGUUGUCAUCGUACUCUUCUUCACCGUCUUCCAUCAUAACCCCUAUUUCUCCGUGCCUCAUCCAAACAUUAUAGUGUGGCAUGAAACCCUUGUAAAGCAGGUGGGUGUGGAGGAUUUUCCGGUCAGAGUAAGACUUCGUAUUCCCACAUAUAGGACAUGGACAACACAUAAAACCAUUCUGCUUGUUUGCCUCAGCCACUUCGAGAAAAUCAUGCACGCGCUUAAUGUACUCGGAGGUGUGUCUUGAACCGUACAUCCAUUGCCGGUUCAUCUGCGUGCAUUAUAUAAUGAAGUGACCAAAUUAAUAGAAGUUCAUCAUCACAUUAAAACCAAAGUACAUACAUAGUUCUCAUCUAACAACAUAAAGCUCUGCAGAGCAUCUAAAUUAAUUAAACCAUACACUGAAACUAUGUAAAACAUUUCAAUGCGAAAACAAAUGCAACCAUAAUCGCAACCAAUGUAACAACUGAUCCAACGGCAUAAUGAUACCAAGCCUCAGUAUGAAUGGCAUAUUUUCUAAUCUUUCUAAUCUUCAAGCGCAUUGCAUCCAUCUUGAUCUUGUGAUCAUCGACGACAUCCCCAACAUGCAACUCCAAUAUCAUCUUCUCCUCCUCAAUUUUUCUAAUUUUUUCCUUCAAGAAAUUGUUUUCUUCUUCAACUGAAUUUAACCUCUCGACAAUAGGGUCGGUUGGAAUUUCCGGUUCAACAACCUCCUAGAUAAAUAAAAUCUAUGUCACGUUGGUCGGCAUAAUUGUCAUAAACAAUAAAUGAACCAAUAGUUAUGAAAAGAUAAUAUAUACCACAUCCGAAUCAUAGACAGGACGAGGGCCGACGGGGGCGGAUACCAAAACCAUCGCACUAUAUAAGAUGCAAUAAUAAAAGUAAGAAAAUAAUACAAGUAUCUAUCUAAACAUACAAGUAAGAAUAUUUUUCCUUUCAGAAAGAAGAUAAGAACAAGAGGCUCACCACGGUGGUGCCGGCGAUGAGAUCGGCGCGGGUGAUCGACGACGAUGAAGACAAGGACGGGGCGUGACGGACCGCUAAACCUAGACAAAUAUUGAGGAAAAUGGAGCUUGGCGGUCGAGCUUGGAGGGGAGAAAGCUUAAGUAGUGUGGCUCGGGCAUUCCAUCGAACACCUCGUGUGCAUAGGAGGUGAGCUAGAGCACCACAAAGCUCUCCCCUCGCCGGCCACGAAAAACAGAGCACUGGGAGUGCUCUGCUCGCGAGCGGGGGGUAUAUAUAGGCACCACCAUUGGUCCCGGUUGGUCGCACGAACCGGGACUAAAGGUUGGCCUUUGGUCCCGGUUCGUGCCACCAACUGGGACCAAUGGUGGUGGGCCAGGAGCGAGGCCCAUUGGUCCCGGUUCGUCCCUCCAACCGGGACCAAAAGGUCCAGACAAACCGGGACCAAUGGCCCACGUGUUGGGUUUCGUAGUAAUUUCAAAAAAUUUCCUACGCACACGCAAGAUCAUGUGAUGCAUAGCAACGAGGGGAGAGUGUUGUCUACGUACCCAACGCAGACCGACUGCGGAAGCGAUGACACGACGUAGAGGAAGUAGUCGUACGUCUUCACGAUCCAACCGAUCAAGCACCGAAACUACGGCACCUCCGAGUUCGAGCACACGUUCAGCUCGAUGACGAUCCCCGGACUCCGAUCCAGCAAAGUGUCGGGGAAGAGUUCCGUCAGCACGACGGCGUGGUGACGAUCUUGAUGAACUACAGCAGCAGGGCUUCGCCUAAACUCCGCUACAGUAUUAUCGAGGUAUAUGGUGGCAGGGGCACCGCACACGGCUAAGGAAUAGAUCACGUGGAUCAACUUGUGUGUAUAGAGGUGCCCCCUGCCUCCGUAUAUAAAGGAGGAGAGGAGGGGAGGCUGGCCGGCCAAGGAGGGGAGGCGCAGGAGAGUCCUACUCCCUCUGGGAGUAGGAUUCCCCCCAAUCCUAGUCCAACUAGGAUUCCUCGGAGGGGAAGGGAGAGAGGGGGGCCGGCCACCUUCUCCUAGUCCUAAUAGGACUAGGGGAGGGGGAAGUGGCGCAGCCACCUUGGGCUGCCCCUUUCUCCUUUCCACUAAGGCCCAUGAAGGCCCAUAUGGCUCCCGGGGGGUUCCGGUAAUCCUCCCGGUACUCCGGUAAAAUCCCGAUUUCACCCGGAACACUUCCGAUGUCCAAACAUAGGCUUCCAAUAUAUCAAUCUUUAUGUCUCGACCGUUUCGAGACUCCUCGUCAUGUCCAUGAUCACAUCCGGGACUCCAAACAACCUUCGGUACAUCAAAAUGCAUAAACUCAUAAUGUAACUGUCAUCGUAACCUUAAGCGUGCGGACCCUACGGGUUCGAGAACAAUGUAGACAUGACCGAGACACGUCUCCGGUCAAUAACCAAUAGCGGGACCUGGAUGCCCAUAUUGGCUCCUACAUAUUCUACGAAGAUCUUUAUCGGUCAGACCGCAUAACAACAUACGUUGUUCCCUUUGUCAUCGGUACGUUACUUGCCCGAGAUUCGAUCGUCGGUAUCCAAUACCUAGUUCAAUCUCGUCACCGGCAAGUCUCUUUACUCGUUCUAUAAUGCAUCAUCCCGUAACCAACUCAUUGGUCACAUUGCUUGCAAGGCUUAUAAUGAUGUGCAUUACCGAGAGGGCCCAGAGAUACCUCUCCGACAAUCGGAGUGACAAAACCUAAUCUCGAAAUACGCCAACUCAACAUGUACCUUCGGAGACACCUGUAGUACUCCUUUAUAAUCACCCAGUUAAGUUGUGACGUUUGGUAGUACCCAAAGUGUUCCUCCGGUAAACGGGAGUUGCAUAAUCUCAUAGUUACAGGAACAUGUAUAAGUCAUGAAGAAAGCAAUAGCAACAUACUAAACGAUCAAGUGCUAAGCUAACGGAAUGGGUGAAGUCAAUCACAUCAUUCUCCUAAUGAUGUGACCCCGUUAAUCAAAUGACAACUCUUUUGUCCAUGGCUAGGAAACAUAACCAUCUUUGAUAAACGAGCUAGUCAAGUAGAGGCAUACUAGUGACACUAUGUUUGUCUAUGUAUUCACACAUGUAUUAUGUUUCUGGUUAAUACAAUUCUAGCAUGAAUAAUAAACAUUUAUCAUGAAAUAAGGAAAUAAAUAAUAACUUUAUUAUUGCCUCUAGGGCAUAUUUCCUUCAGUCUCCCACUUGCACUAGAGUCAAUAAUCUAGUUCACAUCGUCAUGUGAUUUAACAACAAUAUUCAUAUCUGUAUAUGAUUAACACCCAUAGUUCACAUUAUCAUGUGACCAACACCCAAAGGGUUUACUAGAGUAAAUAAUCUAGUUCACAUCUCUAUGUGAUUAACACCCAAAGAGUACUAAGGUGUGAUCAUGUUUUGCUCGUGAAAGAAGCUUAGUCAAUGGGUCUGUCACAUUCAGAGCCGUAUGCAUUUUGCAAAUAUUUUAUGUCUACAAUGCUCUGCACGGUGCUACUCUAGCAAUUGCUCCCACUUUCAAUAUGUAUCCAGAUUGAGACUUAGAGUCAUCUGGAUCGGUGUGAAAACUUGCACCGAGGUAACUUUUACGACGGGCUCUUUUAUCACCUCCAUAAUCGAGAAAUAUUUCCUUAGUCCUCACUAAGGAUAUUCUUGACCAAUGUCGAGUGAUCUACUCCUAGAUCACUAUUGUACUCCCUUGUCAAAUACUGAGCAAGGUAUACAAUAGUUCUGGUACAUAGCAUAGCAUACUUUAUAGAACCUAUGACUGAGGCAUAGGGAAUGACUUUUCAUUUUUUCUAUUUUCUGUUGUGGUCGGGAUUUGAGUCUUACUCAAUUUCAUACCUUUGCAACACAGGCAAGAACUCUUUCUUUGACUGUUCCAUUUUGAACUAUUUCAAAAUCUUGCCAAGGUAUGUACUCAUUGAAAAUCUUAUCAAGCGUCUUGAUCUAUCUCAAUAUAUCUUGAUGCUCAAUAUGUAAGUAGCUUUUACUGAGGUCUUUUCCUUUUAAAGAACUCCUUUAAAACACUCCUUUAUGCUUUGCAGAAAAAUUCUACAUCAUUUCUGAUCAACAAUAUGUCACUCGUAUAUACUAAUCAGAAAGGCUAUAGUGCUCCCACUCACUUUAUUGUAAAUACAGGCUUCUCAAAAAGUCUGUAUAAAACCAUAUGCUUUGAUCAACUCAUCAAAGCGUAUAUUCCAACUCCGAGAGGCUUGCACCAGUCCAUAGAUGGAUCGCUGGAGCUUGCACAUUUUUUUAGCACCUUUAGGAUUGACAAAACCUUCUGGUUGCAUCAUAUACAACUCUUCUUUAAUAAAUCCAUUAAGGAAUGCAGUUUUGAUAUCCAUUUGCCAGAUUUCAUAAAAUGUGGCAAUUGCUAACAUGAUUCAGACAGACUUAAGAAUCGAUACGAGUGAGAAAAUCUCAUCGUAUUCAACACCUUGAACUUGUUGAAAACCUUUCGCAACAAGUCGAGCUUGGUAGAUAGUAACACUACUAUCAGUGUCCGUCUUCCUCUUGAAGAUCCAUUCAUUUAACAUGGCUUGCUGAUCAUCGAGCAAGUCAAUCAAAGUCCAUACUUUGUUCUCAUACAUGGAUCAUAUCUCAGAUUUUAUGGCCUCGAGCCAUUUCGCGGAAUCUGGGCUCAUCAUCGCUUCUUCAUAGUUCGUAGGUUCAUCAUGAUCUAGUAUCAUGACUUCCAGAAUAGGAUUACCGUACCAUUCUGGUGCGGAUCUUACUCUGGUUGAUCUACGAGGUUCAUCAGUAUCUUGAUCUGAAGUUUCAUGAUCAUUAUCAUUGGCUUCCUCACUAACUGGUGUAGGUGUCACUGAAACAGUUUUCUGUGAUGAACUACUUUCCAGUAAGGGAGCAGGUACAGUUACCUCGUCAAGUUCUACUUUCCUCCCACUCACUUCUUUCGAGAGAAACUCCUUCUCUAGAAAGGAUCCAUUCUUAGCAACGAAUGUCUUGCCUUCGGAUCUGUGAUAGAAGGUGUACCCAAUAGUCUCCUUUGGGUAUCCUAUGAAGACACAUUUCUCCGAUUUGGGUUCGAGCUUAUCAGGUUGAAGCUUUUUCACAUAAGCAUCGCAGCCCCAAACUUUAAGAAACGACAACUUUGGUUUCUUGCCAAACCACAGUUCAUAAGGCGUCGUCUCAACGGAUUUUGAUGGUGCCCUAUUUAACGUGAAUGCGGCCGUCUCUAAAGCAUAUCCCCAAAAUGAUAGCGGUAAAUCAGUAAGAGACAUCAUAGAUCGCACCAUAUCUAGUAAAGUACGAUUACGAUGUUCGGACACACCAUUACGCUGUGGUGUUCCGGGUGGCGUGAGUUGCGAAACUAUUCCACAGUUUUUCAAAUGUACACCAAACUCGUAACUCAAAUAUUCUCCUCCACGAUCAGAUCGUAGAAACUUUAUUUUCUUGUUACGAUGAUUUUCAACUUCACUCUGAAAUUCUUUGAAAUUUUCAAAUGUUUCAGACUUAUGUUUCAUUAAGUAGAUAUACCCAUAUCUGCUUAAAUCAUCUGUGAAGGUGAGAAAAUAACGAUAUCCGCCACGAGCCUCAGUAUUCAUCGGGCCACAUACAUCGGUAUGUAUGAUUUCCAACAAAUCUGUUGCUCUCUCCAUAGUACCGGAGAACGGUGUUUUAGUCAUCUUGCCCAUGAGGCACGGUUCGCAAGUACCAAGUGAUUCAUAAUCAAGUGGUUCCAAAAGUCCAUCAGUAUGGAGUUUCUUCAUGCGCUUUAUACCGAUAUGACCUAAACGACAGUGCCACAAAUAAGUUGCACUUUCAUUAUCAACUCUGCAUCUUUUGGCUUCAACAUUAUGAAUAUGUGUAUUACUACUAUCGAGAUCCAACAAACCAUUUUCAUUGGGUGUAUGACCAUAGAAGGUUUUAUUCAUGUAAACAGAACAACAAUUAUUCUCUAACUUACAUGAAUAACCGUAUUGCAAUAAACAUGAUCAAAUCAUAUUCAUGCUCAACGCAAACACCAAAUAACACUUAUUUAGGUUUAACACUAAUCCCAAAAGUAUAGGGAGUGUGCGAUGAUGAUCAUAUCAAUCUUGGAACUAUUUCCAACACACAUCGUCACUUCACCCUUUAACUAGUCUCUGUUUAUUCUGCAACUCCCGUUUCGAGUUACUAAUCUUAGCAACUGAACUAAUAUCAAAUACUGAGGGGUUGCUAUAAACACUAGUAACGUACACAUCAAUAACAUGUAUAUCAAAUAUACUUAUGUUCACUUUGCCAUCCUUCUUAUCCGCCAAUCACUUGGGGUAGUACCUCUUCCAGUGACCAGUCUCUUUGAAGUAGAAGCACUUAGUCUCAGGCUUAGGACCAGACUUGGGUUUCUUCACUUGAGCAGCAACUUGCUUGCCGUUCUUCUUGAAGUUCCCUUUCUUUCCCUUUGCCCUUUUCUUGAAACUAGUGAUCUUGUUAACCAUCAACACUUGAUGCUCUUUCUUGAUUUCUACCUUCGUUGAUUUCAGCAUCAUGAAGAGCUUGGGAAUCGUUUUCGUCAUCCCUUGCAUACUAUAGUUCAUCACGAAGUUCUAGUAACUUAGUGAUGGUGACUAGAGAAUUCUGUCAAUCACUAUCUUACCUGGAAGAUUAACUCCCACUUGAUUCAAGCGAUUGAAAUACCCAGACAAUCUGAGCACAUGCUCACUAGUUGAGCGAUUCUCCUCCAUCUUUUAGCUAUAGAACUUGUUGGAGACUUCAUAUCUCUCAACUCGGGUAUUUGCUUGAAAUAUUAACUUCAAUUCCUGGAACAUCUCAUAUGGUCCAUGACGUUCAAAACGUCUUUGAAGUCCCGAUUCUAAGCCGUUAAGCAUGGUGCACUAAACUAUCAAGUAGUCAUCAUCUUGAGCUAGCCAGACGUUCAUAACUUCUGCAUCUGCUCCUGCAAUAGGUCUGUCACCUAGCGGUGCAUUAAGGACAUAAUUCUUCUGUGCAGCACUGAGGAUAAACCUCAGAUCACGGAUCGAAUCCGCAUCAUUGCUACUAACAUUUUUCAACACAAUAUUCUCUAGGAACAUAUCAAAAUAAACAUAUGAAAGCAACAACGCGAGCUAUUGAUCUACAACAUAAUUUGCAAAAUACUACUAGGACUAAGUUCAUGAUAAAUUAAAGUUCAAUUAAUCAUAUUACUUAAGAACUCCCACUUAGAUAGACAUCCCUCUAAUCCUCUAAGUGAUCACGUGAUCCAAAUCAACUAAACCAUGUCCGAUCAUCACGUGAGAUGGAGUAGUUUCAAUGGUGAACAUCACUAUGUUGAUCAUAUCUACUAUAUGAUUCACGCUCGACCUUUCGGUCUCUGUGUUCCGAGGCCAUAUCUGUAUAUGCUAGGCUCGUCAAGUAUAACCUGAGUAUUCCGCGCGUGCAACUGUUUUGCACCCGUUGUAUUUGAACGUAGAGCCUAUCACACCCGAUCAUCACGUGGUGUCUCAGCACGACGAACUUUGGCAACGGUGCAUACUCAGGGAGAACACUUCUUGAUAAUUUAGUGAGAGAUCAUCUUAUAAUGCUACCAUCAAUAAAAGCAAGAUAAGAUGCAUAAAAAGAUAAACAUCACAUGCAAUCAAUAUAAGUGAUAUGAUAUGGCCAUCAUCAUCGUGUGCUUGUGAUCUCCAUCUCCGAAGCACCGUCAUGAUCACCAUCGUCACCGGCGCGACACCUUGAUCUCCAUCGUAGCAUCGUUGUCGUCUCGCCAAUCUUAUGCUUCCACGACUAUCACUACUGUUUAGUAAUAAAGUAAAGCAUUACAUCGCGAUUGCAUUGCAUACAAUAAAGCGACAACCAUAUGGCUCCUGCCAGUUGCCGAUAACUCGGUUACAAAACAUGAUCAUCUCAUACAAUAAAAUUCAGCAUCAUGCCUUGACCAUAUCACAUCACAACAUGCCCUGCAAAAACAAGUUAGACGUCCUCUACUUUGUUGUUGCAUGUUUUACGUGGCUGCUACGGGCUUAAGUAAGAACCAAUCUCACCUACGCAUCAAAACCACAACGAUAGUUUGUCAAAUAGACUCCGUUUUAACCUUCUCAAGGACCGGGCGUAGCCAUACUCGGUUCAACUAAAGUUGGAGAGACAGUCGCCCGCAAGCCAUCCAUGUGCAAAGCACGUCGAGGGAACCGGUCUCGCGUAAGCGUACGCGUAAGGUUGGUCCAGGUCGUCUCGUCCAACAAUACCGCCGAACCAAAGUAUGACAUGCUGGUAGGCAGUAUGACUUGUAUCGUCCACAACUCACUUGUGUUCUACUCGUGCAUAUAACAUCAACAUAAAUAACCUAGGCUCGGAUGCCACUGUUGGGUUUCGUAGUAAUUUCAAAAAAUUUCCUACGCACACGCAAGAUCAUGUGAAGCAUAGCAACGAGGGGAGAGUGUUGUCUACGUACCCAACGCAGACCAACUGCGGAAGCGAUGACACGACGUAGAGGAAGUAGUCGUACGUCUUCACGAUCCAACCGAUCAAGCACCGAAACUACGGCACCUCCGAGUUCGAGCACACGUUCAGCUCGAUGACGAUCCCCGGACUCCGAUCCAGCAAAGUGUCGGGGAAGAGUUCCGUCAGCACGACGGCGUGGUGACGAUCUUGAUGAACUACAGCAGCAGGGCUUCGCCUAAACUCCACUACAGUAUUAUCGAGGUAUAUGGUGGCAGGGGGCACCGCACACGACUAAGGAAUAGAUCACGUGGAUCAACUUGUGUGUAUAGAGGUGCCCCCUGCCUCCGUAUAUAAAGGAGGAGAGGAGGGGAGGCUGGCCGGCCAAGGAGGGGAGGCGCAGGAGAGUCCUACUCCCUCUAGGAGUAGGAUUCCCCCCAAUCCUAGUCCAACUAGGAUUCCUCGGAGGGGAAGGGAGAGAGGGGGGCCCGCAGCCACCUUGGGCUGCCCCUUUCUCCUUUCCACUAAGGCCCAUGAAGGCCCAUAUGGCUCCCGGGGGGUUCCGGUAACCCUCCCGGUACUCCGGUAAAAUCCCGAUUUCACCCGGAACACUUCCGAUGUCCAAACAUAGGCUUCCAAUAUAUCAAUCUUUACGUCUUGACCAUUUUGAGACUCCUCGUCAUGUCCGUGAUCACAUCCGGGACUCCGAACAACCUUCGGUACAUCAAAAUGCAUAAACUCAUAAUGUAACUGUCAUCGUAACCUUAAGCGUGCGGACCCUACGGGUUCGAGAACAAUGUAGACAUGACCGAGACACGUCUCCGGUCAAUAACCAAUAGCGGGACCUGGAUGCCCAUAUUGGCUCCUACAUAUUCUACGAAGAUCUUUAUCGGUCAGACCGCAUAACAACAUACGUUGUUCCCUUUGUCAUCGGUAUGUUACUUGCCCGAGAUUCGAUCGUCGGUAUCCAAUACCUAGUUCAAUCUCGUCACCGGCAAGUCUCUUUACUCGUUCUAUAAUGCAUCAUCCCGUAACCAACUCAUUGGUCACAUUGCUUGCAAGGCUUAUAAUGAUGUGCAUUACCGAGAGGGCCCAGAGAUACCUCUCCGACAAUCGGAGUGACAAAACCUAAUCUCGAAAUACGCCAACUCAACAUGUACCUUCGGAGACACCUGUAGUACUCCUUUAUAAUCACCCAGUUACGUUGUGACGUUUGGUAGUACCCAAAGUGUUCCUCCGGUAAACGGGAGUUGCAUAAUCUCAUAGUUACAGAAACAUGUAUAAGUCAUGAAGAAAGCAAUAGCAACAUACUAAACGAUCAAGUGCUAAGCUAACGGAAUGGGUGAAGUCAAUCACAUCAUUCUCCUAAUGAUGCGACCCCGUUAAUCAAAUGACAACUCUUUUGUCCAUGGCUAGGAAACAUAACCAUCUUUGAUAAACGAGCUAGUCAAGUAGAGGCAUACUAGUGACACUAUGUUUGUCUAUGUAUUCACACAUGUAUUAUGUUUCCGGUUAAUACAAUUCUAGCAUGAAUAAUAAACAUUUAUCAUGAAAUAAGGAAAUAAAUAAUAACUUUAUUGUUGCCUCUAGGGCAUAUUUCCUUCACCACGUGGCCCGGCCGGCCCCCGGGGCUCAAGAACCAGGUCCAAUGCCCCCAUUGGUCCCGGUUUUGGAUUGAACCGGGACUAAUGGGCUGGACCGGCCUGGACCAUCGCCCCCUUUUCUACUAGUGUUAGUGCAUGGUGGUUAGUGAAGUUAGUGGAGCAUGGUGUGAGUGCGUGGGUCAUGGUUGAGUGCCAGACUUUGUAUAAAUUGUCAUUUGAGUCAAUGAGAAAAUGUAAGGCCGAGAGGGCCAGUGCAAAGAUGUAGCAUUUGUGGUAGCCAAGGGAGAUUAACUGGGCAAAGCUAUGUGUUCUUCCUUGGUCUAUGCGUGUGUGUGUUCUGUGUGUGUUCUCUCUCUGCGUCCUUGUGUUCAUGGGAGUGUUUUUGAGAGAAGCCAGAAGAGAGAGUUGUGAGAGGCAGCUCGAGGUAGAAGAAGGAGCGGUGCUGCUCCGAGAGGAGGCGGCGCCAACAAUUAUUGACGAAAGGGAUAUUAUAUUGCGCAAGGUAUAAUCAGACGCGUCGGGGAUGGAGCGACUACACACAUAUGGGAUCACAACUGGAUUAUGAGGGAAAGCUAUAAGAGGCCAAUAAAUAAGUUAGUGCAGAUCCCCCCUCAGAAACAUUUUAUGUAUACACGUUAACAUUUCCCAGAUAUAUGAUUAAUAUUUUUAGAAAACUUCUAUUUUUUAUGUGUACUUUUUAUACAUUUUGUAAUAUCAGAAAUAGUUUUUAUAGAAGGUUUAACAUUUUUCAAAUACAUGAUUACCUUUUUGUAAACUUAUAUUGUUUGACGUUUACUUUUUUCCAUAGACAUAGUGAGGGGUUAUAUCUAAGGAAUAGGCCCAAGUACAUGUAGGCACAACCAAAGGCCCAUGUUAAUCAAGGAUGUUCCACAAGACAAAUGGGAAAACACACCGGGGCUAAUGGAGCUACAAGGCCAAGGCAUCGGAUACAAGGGGAGAGUCAACUGUGUACAGUCAGAUUACACAACCCUUAACAGACAAGACUCAUCAGUUGGUCCACUAUAGGAAUCAGGUCAUUUGCCGUCAGCCGAGAACAGAUGCGAAGGCUUUGCCGUGAGCAAGUUGACGACAAACACAAUCAGCAAAGACUAUAUCAGCAAAGAGCUAAUUUGACGUCAACUUUUCAUCGCGCUGAUGACAAAGACUUUGCCGUCAAUUAAACUAUGUGUUUGUCGUCUGUAGAAAAAACACAAAUGGCAAAGAAAUUAAACAAAUGGUCAUUUUAUAAUAAUUUUUCGAAAUGUAUAUAGUGUAUUUUAAAAUGUUAAAUAUGUAUCAAGAAUUAUUUCAUAAAUAUACAGAAGAUGUACAACGUGUAUGAAAAUUAUGUAGACAUCAGAACAUAUUAUAGAAAUGUUAAUCUUGUAUUUAAAAAUGUUAAAUACACAUAAAUAAAAAUGUUUUUGAUGUACAUAAAAAAAUUGUACAUCGUGUGUGAACAAAGUAUGCAUUGAAAAAAAAAUCUUGUUGGAAAGAAAAUCUCGUGCUAUAUACGAAAAUGUAAAAGGUGUAUGAAAAUAAUUAGAUAUAUGCUUAACGAAAAAAAGGAAAGAAGGCGCAAAAAAAUCCGAUCAACACCAAGAUAGGAACAAGAAAACCUGAAGAAGACCAUUGAAAAAAAAGAAAAGAAUACAAGAAAGAGGAAAAAAAACAAAAAAAUGAAGAAGCUGAUGCAGAACAGGGAACUUGGUGAAAACGAAUAAAAAUUGAUGAAAACCGAGAAGAAAAACAAGAAAACUGAAGCAAAAAAAUAAUAAAAAUAUGUAAAAAAAUGAUGAAACAUUGCAAAACACUGAAAUACUAUGAAAACCAAAGGAAGAAAAGACUCAAAAAGAAGAACAUACAGCGAGCGAAUGAACAACAACUGAGUGAACGAGCGACCAUGCGAGAACACGUUAAUUGUCCGGCCCAUACUUGUGGACUCCAGAGGCGAGCCAGAAUAGGCGAGAUAUAGCUAUGACGAUUUGAUACCCUUCACAGCUUCACGAAUGCUAUAUCUCGCUCACAGCGAAAGUAUAUUUUGUCUGGCCUGAAGGUGCAAGAAUAGCAUCAGGUCGCUGUAAGGUUUGUGAUCCUACAAUGAGAGCUCCGAUAAGAUUAAAGUUCAUUUUUCUGACAACCUUUGGUCGUUCGUUCGCGCUCAGGUCGUCCGCUCACUCGAUUCCACGUACUAGUUUGGUUAUGUUGUUUUUUUCAUUUUGUUCUUUUUUUGUUUCUUCACUGGCUUUCUUUGGUUUUUAUAUCGGUUUUCUUUGUUUCCUUCACGUUUUAUUCCUGUUUUCCUUUUUACUGGUUUAUUUAUUCCUUUUUUUCUUUGUUUCUUUCUUGGUUUUCUUUGUUUUUCUUUCUUUUGAUGUCAAUCUUUUUACAUACGCAUUCAACAAUUUCCGUAUACAUCAGAAACAUUUUAUGUAUACACAUUAACAUUUCCCAGAUAUAUGAUUAAUAUUUUUGGAAAACCUCUAUUUUUUAUGUGUACUUUUUGAUACAUUUUGUAUAUAUCAGAAAUAUUUUUUUAGAAGGUUUAACAUUUUUUUAAAUACAUGAUUACCUUUUUGUAAACUUAUAUUGUUUGACGUUUAUUUUUUUCCAUAGACAUAGUGAGGGGUUAUAUCUAAGGAAUAGGCCCAAGUACAUAUAUGGCACAACCAAAGACCCAUGUUAAUCAAGGAUGUGGUCCACAAAACAAAUGGGGAAACACACGGGGGCCAAUGGAGCUACAAGGCCAAAGCAUCGGAUAUAAGGGGAGAAUAAGUGUGUACAGUCGGAUUACACAACACUUGACAGACAAGACUCAUUAGUUGGUCCACUAUAGGAAUCGAGUAAUUUGCCGUCAGCCGAGAACAGACUCGAAGUCUUUGCCGUCAGCAAGUUGAUGACAAACACAGUGAGCAAAGACUAUAUCGGCAAAGAGCUAAUUUGACGUUAACUUUUCAUCCGCUGAUGACAAAGACUUUGCCGUCAAUUAAACUAUGUGUUUGUCGUCUGUAGAAAAAACACAAAUGGCAAAGAAAAGCAUCUUUGCCAUCAGCAACUGAUUCACAUGUGUCGUCAGCCAGACUCGUCUUGUCACUAGCCUCAAACAUCACAGAUGGCAAAGAUUUUUUUUUAUUUUUAAAAUUCCGCGUCGACCACCCUAUCGCUCGUGCAGCCACCGCCUGGCCGCGCUCGCCUCCCUGCUCACAUGCCCUGCCAGCUUGCGCCGUUGCCAUCCGGCAGCGCUCGCCCGACCCUGCUCAUCGCCCGGCCGAGCUCGCCCGCCCUGCUCGGUCGCGUCGUCGGCAGCUGCCCUGCUUGCACACGUACCUGCCCAGCCUUGCUCAUACCGCCGGCCACCCUGCUCGCUAGAGAAAGGAAGGCGAGAGAGGAGGCUCGGGGGAGAAAGAAAAAACAAAGGAGAGAGAGAGGAUGCUACCACUGCCACAUCACCAAUACGCAUGAUCGAUCUGCAAGAUGUGCUCUCUCUUUUGCCGCCUCUGAUGGCAAAGUAUGUCUUUAUCGUCUAUAAUAAGAUUACAAACAGCAAAGUGAGCUCUUUGCCGUCUGUAAAAAAACGGACGACAAACAAACUUUGUUGUCAGCUGCCGACGGCAAAAAGUGCUCUUUACCGCAGCCUCGAUGAGAAGCUGAAGGCAAAGUGCCCCACAGACGGCAAAUUAGUUGAUUCCUGGGUGGUUAUGAGCAAGACAGGAGCAAUAACCCUAUCUACACUCGGUCAUCUGGAAGACAGGAGUAGUCGAACCAUCUAUAGUCGGCUACAUCUGAGGUUACCGUGACCCUUACGAUGCAUUCAUUAUCGCCGUUACUCAAUGGAGUAGUUAAAUACGUCAGUUAGCAAUAAUAAUAGCCACGAACAGUCAAUCAUGCAUGUGACCAUCAAUAGCAUUUAUACCAACCCAUUACGGCACUUCCUCCUAGCACACUCUAUAUAAGCCAGGAGUAGGACAUGAGAGUGAGGGAUGAACUCUCUCACAGUAUAACCUACGCCAAGAGCAGGAACACCACAUGAAUAGAGAUUACCUCCACCAACGUACUCCCAUCCGUUUUAUGUACCGAUCAAUGUAUAUAAUGGCUUCUACAUUCACAUCCCGUAGUAUUGUCAGGAUUAUAUCCACGACAGAAACUAUAUUUUGUUAUACAUCAAGAACAUUUUAUAUAUAAAUAUUUACAAUUUUUUAAAUACAUGAUUAAUAUUUUUUCAAACAUAUAUUUUGUAUGUCUCCUUUUCAUAAUCUUUGAUCCCUGGAAGUUUCAGAUUUUUUCCGAUUUGUUCUCAUUUUUUUAUGAAUUUACUGUUCAUGAGGGUGUAGGGGCACCCAGGAGCUGUUAGGCAUAAUAUUUCUGCUGUUGUUGUCAUCAUCAAGGGGAAUGAGAAGGGUUGAAGUUUUCGUUUUCUUUGAGGGGGAAAUCAGAGUUGGGGGCUGGAAGUGAGUGAUUAGGCCCAACAUAAGCGCUGUGUGUGUGUGUCUCGUCACGGGCACCAAAUUCGAACUGGGCUAUUGUUUUCUGAGAACCCAACGUCACAAGCCCAACCAACAGUCUGCCGAUCUGCAUCUUCCUCUCCUUGUCCAUCCUCCUCGUUGGCCGGACCGCCUCGAGCCACGGCCGCUCCCUGGCGCAGCGUCCUCCCCUUCCUCUCCACCCCCAAAUUCUCUUGUAUCCUCUUCUGAUCUCCUUCCUUACUUCCUCUCGCUGAUGGUCUCCACAAGAAGGUCUCCGAGCUCCUCGGAGGGUUCCGGCUGUACGUCGACGCAGCCUCUCCGACCUCCCCAUGAACAUGAGCUAUCGACCCUGAAAGCCUGUCUCUUCCAUGAUUCGAUUCACAUGAAUUCACGAGCCGCAUGAAUCAUGAAGGUCAUGGAGCAGAAUUCAGUCGUGUAGCCUGACAGUGAUGUACAUUUGUGGCUUUUCUGGCUAAAUAGCUCUGUACCCUAUGUGGAUGCCACUUCAAAUAAUCGUCAAAAUAAUUCUCCUGCACGCGUUAUACAAAUGGCGAAGAAGAAGUUCGCGUGGAACAUUUCGUUUCUUAUUGAUGUCCGAGAGAAAAGCUCCUAGGAAGUUCAUCCGCUCGGUGGAUUAUAAGUUUAAGUUUGUUACAACAUCCAAUCAUCCAUAUAAUCUCUGUGUUUCUUCUGUUUUCUACCAGUCAUAUAUCAUAUGUGCAUCAGAGGAAAAAUGCUUUCAGCAGUCAUGUUGGAGCGCGCAUACCAAGUUCCCACAUUGCAAAUAUGAUCCUAGCCAUUAAUAUGUUUCAUUCCACAUUUUCUUGAUCUAAUUUCUAAAUGAUUGGACAACCUGUUAUAGUCUUAUAGAAUUAUGAGCCGCCAAAUCCACAUUUCUCUUGGUCUAAUUUCUAAAUGAUAAUGUGCAGCAUCUAUCUCCUGGUGAACCUUUUUUUCUUGCGACUGUAUCUCCUGAUGAACCUAGUUUUCUCUAGGUAGCACAAUAAUUGUACUGGUUUGAUGUAAAGGACAUAAAUACAAGGGAAUAAAUUGGAAGCUUAUUUCAAAUUAACUAGCUAGUGGUGUUUGUGAAGUUCAAGAAAAAGCUGGUCUUUUUCUCGACAAAUAAUUUAACAUGCAAAGAAUCAAUAAAUGUAUUUGCAAGAAAGCAAACAUAAUUAACGAUAAAACUGGUUUAUUGUCACUGUAGACAACGGUAGUAGUUGGAACUAGAUACAAACCAAUAAAAAACAAGAUCUCAAAUCUCCAACCAAUAAAGAGUUCAACCCAAAUUUUACAGUAACACCAUUAUAUUCAAAUAGUGAUUAUUCCAACACAUGGAUAAUUAAUUAAGGCACCAGGUUGCCCUUGUGACUAGGAAAGACAAACUUAUGAACUUGCAAGCAUGGCAAUCAGAUCGACAUCCACACAAUGCCAAUAUGAACAUUGUCUUGAUACAACUUUAUUUUUAUUUUAUUUCAGAAUUUAAACAACUAGUAUGGGCGGGUCACACACGACAUUGUGUGACACUUUAUUUGUCACCGCUGCAUCGACAUAUCCAUCGACUAAACAACGGUGAUCCAACUAUAUAUUACUAGAGACCUUUCCUUAUUAGUAGGAACCAACUCCGGUGCCAACACCGAAUGGCACACUAGUGGUGGUUCUAUACAACGGCACAUUGACACGGCACAUCGUUGGCAGGGUACGGAGCGCAAUGGAAGUCAUCACCUCAAGCUGAGCUAUCUGGUGUGGCUGCAAAAAGGUACCUUGUGCCAAUUGUUGUUGUUGAGGUUGUUGCCCGAGUUGUUGUUGUGACUGCUGUUGGGGUUGGGAAACACAUUGGCCCAACUGUUGGGGUUGCUGCUGAGGAGUUUGGAUGGAACCCUGAACCUGUUGUUGUUCUUGCAGGAUGAUGGAGUAGAUGAUAGCACGGAUUGCCUCAUAGCGGGAUUGCUGGGGGAUUUGCGGCAACUGCUGGCAACAUUGUUGUUGCAUCACAUGGCAACUGCUCUGCUGCAACAUUUGCGACCUAGCAAGACUUUGUGGCAUUGCCACAGGGCUGCAUUGCUGCUGGAGGAAUACCUUGCAUGGGUUUAGCUGCUGCAAGAUAGAUGGAUGAACAAAUGGUAUUUGUUGUUGCGGUAGAACUAGUUGUUGUUGUUGCUGCGAAAAUGGUGGUUGUUGCGGUAGACUUGGUUGUUGUUGUUGCAAAAAUGGUGGUUGUUGCUGUAGUACUAUUUGUUGUUGUUGCGAAAACGGUGAUUGUUGCUGUGAAAAUGGUGGUAGUUGUUGCUGUGAAAAUGAUGGUUGUUGCGGUAGAACUGGUUGUUGUUGCUGCGAAAAUGGUGGUUGUUGUUGUGAAAAUGGUGGUUGUUGUUGCUGCGAAAAUGGUGGUUGUUGUUGUGAAAANNNNNNNNNNNNNNNNNNNNNNNNNNNNNNNNNNNNNNNNNNNNNNNNNNNNNNNNNNNNNNNNNNNNNNNNNNNNNNNNNNNNNNNNNNNNNNNNNNNNNNNNNNNNNNNNNNNNNNNNNNNNNNNNNNNNNNNNNNNNNNNNNNNNNNNNNNNNNNNNNNNNNNNNNNNNNNNNNNNNNNNNNNNNNNNNNNNNNNNNNNNNUGGUUGUUGUUGCUGCGAUAAUGGUUGUUGUUGUUGCUGCGAAAAUGGUGGUUGUUGUUGUGAAAAUGGUGGUUGUUGUUGCUGCGAUAAUGGUUGUUGUUGUUGUUGCUGUGAACAUGGUUGCUGUUGUGAAAAUGGUUGUGGUUGUUGUUGGAUGGGUUGUUGUUGUUGGUGGUGCGAUAAUGUUUGUUGUGGUGGUAAUGGUUGUUGCUGCGAUGGUCUCUCCAAACCAGGGAUGUGGCUAUUCUCCAUUUGUGCAAUGGCACUUGUCGCCACAAUGGCGAGGAGAGCAAAGAUGAGGAAGGUCUUCAUGGUGGAUUGGUGUUAACCAGUGUUGCUUGGUUUUGAUGCUUGUGCUUGUGAUGAUCUUUAUACUUCAUGCCUAUUUAUAGUAGCCCGGGCACCACCUCUUUUCUUCUUUGCAUUAGCUUUAAUAAUUCUGUUUGGAUGCAUCUAAAAUGAUUUUUGGUACAAUGUGUUAGGUUGCACUAGCUACACGCGUACUUUUGGAUUGAUCAUCAAAGUUGCUUUUUAGUUGUGCAUAUGAUCACACACAAAGUACAGAAACCUUGAUGUUUGGUACAUAUGACUCACCUUAUUCACUUUACAUGUCACACACUUAUCUGGAUAGUAUCACUUUUGCAACCGAGUUUGGAACCUUGUAUAGGCUGUCAUCCAUAAACAAGAAAGGCAAAACUUGUGUAGGACUAAGUUUGCAAUCGGAGGGUUCUUCUAGACUCGAUUUCUUUUCGUAAAACUAACUUUGUAUUUUUCCUCUAAGAUGAUAAGAUGAACCGACGCCUAUAGAGCAUGACAUGACUCAUCGAAUUCCCUUUACAUGUAAAGGAUGGUAAUUGCUUACAAGCUACUCCUACUAGCAUAUAUCCGGUUCCAAGCCUAGACACGUCAUCAUCAGUUUCGUCUAUUUUUUUAGAUAAAUCAUCAGUUCUAUCUAUUUGUGAAGGGUUUUUUUGGGGGGAAAUGAUAGUUUUUUUAUGCUAGGGGGGUUUUUUNNNNNNNNNNNNNNNNNNNNNNNNNNNNNNNNNNNNNNNNNNNNNNNNNNNNNNNNNNNNNNNNNNNNNNNNNNNNNNNNNNNNNNNNNNNNNNNNNNNNNNNNNNNNNNNNNNNNNNNNNNNNNNNNNNNNNNNNNNNNNNNNNNNNNNNNNNNNNNNNNNNNNNNNNNNNNNNNNNNNNNNNNNNNNNNNNNNNNNNNNNNNNNNNNNNNNNNNNNNNNNNNNNNNNNNNNNNNNNNNNNNNNNNNNNNNNNNNNNNNNNNNNNNNNNNNNNNNNNNNNNNNNNNNNNNNNNNNNNNNNNNNNNNNNNNNNNNNNNNNNNNNNNNNNNNNNNNNNNNNNNNNNNNNNNNNNNNNNNNNNNNNNNNNNNNNNNNNNNNNNNNNNNNNNNNNNNNNNNNNNNNNNNNNNNNNNNNNNNNNNNNNNNNNNNNNNNNNNNNNNNNNNNNNNNNNNNNNNNNNNNNNNNNNNNNNNNNNNNNNNNNNNNNNNNNNNNNNNNNNNNNNNNNNNNNNNNNNNNNNNNNNNNNNNNNNNNNNNNNNNNNNNNNNNNNNNNNNNNNNNNNNNNNNNNNNNNNNNNNNNNNNNNNNNNNNNNNNNNNNNNNNNNNNNNNNNNNGCCGCCACCGCUCGACAAAAAAGGUCACUUUUGUAGCUCCCCCGUCGAUUGCGGGCCGUACGUCGACGGCAGCCACUCCGACCUCCCCGUCAACACAAGGUAUCGAUCUGUUUCGUCUGUCUCUUCCAGCGAUUCAAUGCACAUAAAUCCGAGAGGCAGACCCAUCUCCAUGCUAGCUGCACGGAUCAGGAGGGUCAGGCAUCAGAAUUCAGCUGGGAAGCCUGACACUAAUGUACAUUUGUGGCUUUAGUAGCUGAAUAUAACUAUGUGUUUUCUGAGAAUUUCACUUCAAAAGUUCCAAUAAUCAUCAAAUUUCCGCCUAUGCGCGCUAAGCAGGUGGACCAUAUAUUUCUCAUGUCGACGAACGAAAAAACAAAACUCCACAACUAGAAGUCUAUGAUAUUGACACGGAACCGUGCUGUAGGGUCGCAAGUAAAAAUAUGAAAAGCAUGCCUAACACUACUAGGAAAAGGGCUAUAGAUGGAAUUGACACUAAUGACGCACCAGACAUGUGGUGCGCCAUUAGUAUAUACUAAUGGCGCACCAUCUUCUGAUGCGCCAUUAGUGUUGAAAUUACUAAUGGCGCACCCUGCCCACGGUGCGCCAUUAGUACCAAUUUUUUUUUGAACUAGUGCGCCUGUCCAAACAUACUAAUGGCGCAUCCGCUGGUGGUGCGCCAUUACUAGUUGUAACUAGUAAUGGUGCACCAGCCAGAGGGUGCGCCACUAAAGUUAUUUUUUUUAUUAUUGUUUUUAUUCCUUUUUUUGCAAAAGUACUAAUGGCGCACUCACACGCGGUGCGCCAUUACUAGUUCAAACUAGUAAUGGCGCACCGUGGCAGAGUGCGCCAUUAGUAUGUUUUUUUUUCAAAACUACUAAUGGCGCACCACCUGGUGGUGCGCCAUUAGUAACCUGGAUUACUAAUGGCGCAUUUGUUGCUGGUGCGCCAUUAGUAAGUGGGCAGCAACAAGAUAUUUUGGACAGCCUCUCCUCCCACACUCACUUUCUCCCCAUUUCAUUCUCUCCACCGCCUCCUCAUGUCUCGGGUGCCUCCUCUUUUUCACCUCAUUUCCACCAUAGAUUCAUUCAAAUUAAGUGGUUAAGUUACCUUGUUUUGCUAGGUAAGUAAGGGGGGAAGCUAUAUUUAUGUUGUUCUCCCUACAACAGUGUGCACAUGCACUUUUUAUGGCCUAGCUAGAUCUAUGUAUGUUCGUGGUGUUGCAUAUGUUUGUGGUGUUGCAUAUGUGUUUGUGUUUGAAGGUGUACCGGUAUUUGAAAUGCGAUAGUUGCCAAUAUUUUGCCGGAAUGUUGAUUCAUUUCCGUUUCGGCGAGAAUUUUGGCAUUAAGCAUUCUUUUUGGUCCUAUUUUUAGGGAAAGUCAUGCCAAAUUUUUUCUUGGUUCUAAAAUAUCGUUUUGCUCUACCCCGCAGGCGACCAUGGUCCGCACGAUGACCGAAGGCAUCGUGAAUAGGUUUUUGAGGUCCACGAAGGCCGAGAUGCUUCAAAAGAACGAGACGGAGAUAAGAUGUCCGUGUCGAAGAUGCAAGCUGAAUAGCCUUAUUGCGGACCCGGAUUCCGGGCAGGUGCGGGACCACCUGCUCUUGCGUGGUUUCAUGGAUGGCUGUCGGUGGCAAGGUGAUGAAGAUGACUACGAAGUCGUCCAUGGGGGCCGGGCAAGAAAUGAGGAAGGGCAGCAAGACAACCACCGCGGCUCGGGGGGGCGAGAAGAAGAAGAAUCCCCAGGAGAUGAUCACGACGGUGAUGUUGUACACAGUCAUCAUGUAGAAGAUGCAGGACAUGAUGAUGAUGCCGGCGGAGCAGACGACGCUGGACCAUCGAUGGGCUGGGUGCAGGACCCUCAUAUUCAAGAGCUGCUUCUCAAGCAGACGGAUAACGCAAGAGCUGCCGCCCGAGAGAAAGCCAAGAUGGAUCAACUUGAGUUAGACGCGGUUACUCCAUUGUAUGAAGGAUGCAGGCCCGAGGAUACCCGCCUGAAAGUAACACUCAUGGCUCUGGAGAUGAAGGUAAAACACAAAAUGACCGACGCAUGCUUCGACGAGAACAUGUCAUUCUGGCACGAACGUCUUCCCAAAGGGAACAAGUGCCCGACCAGUUUGGAGGAGGCGAAGAAAAUCGUGUGUCCUCUGGAUUUACCGCACGUGAAAUACCAUGUGUGCAUGAACAAUUGCAUCAUUUAUCGGGACGAGCACGCGGAGUCUACCAUAUGUCCGGUGUGCGGUGUCACUCGAUACAAGAAGGGGAAGAAAGCUCCUCGAAAAGUGGUGUGGUACUUUCCGAUCACUCCUCGUCUGCAGCGGUAUUUCGCGGACCCUAAGGUAGCAAAGCUCCUGCGUUGGCACGCGGAUAGGGAGGAGAAGAAGCGAGAAGAUGACGCAAAUGAUACGGAGAUAGAUAAAAAAGACAAGAUGCUGAGUCACCCUAAGGAUGCGAGCCAGUGGCAAGCGUUGAACUUCGAAUAACCAGAAUUUGGGAACGAUCCAAGGAACAUCGUGCUGGGCGCGAGCACCGGUGGAGUCAAUCCGUUUGGCAGCCAGAGAAGCACACAUAGCACCUGGCCUGUGUUUGUGUGGAUGUACAACCUUCCCCCCUGGUUGUGCAUGAAGAGGAAGUACAUUCACAUGAGUAUGCUAAUUGAAGGGCCGAAACAACCAGGGAACGACAUCAAUCUGUAUCUGGGGCUGCUGAAAGAGGAGCUUGACACGCUGUGGAAAACGCCCACCAAUACGUGGGACGCCGCAGAGAAAGAAUAUUUCCCUAUGAGAGCCGCACUGCUCACGACGGUGCACGACUAUCUCGGUUACGGAUAUCUUGCGGGGCAGGUAGUCCACGGAUUUUCUGGAUGCGUAAGGUGCAUGGAUGACACAACGUAUCGCCAGCUAGAUAGAGACGAUGACCCGUGGAGGAAACGCAAGGAUCUGUUCGAUGGUGAAACCAAACCCCGAAAACGCCCGUGUACGAGGAGCGGCGAGGAAAUAGACAAGCUGUUGAAAAAUCGGAAAGACUGCCCACUGCCGGGAAAGAAGCAAAAGGUGCCAGAGCCGGGAAAGAAGCGAAAGGCGCCAGAGCCGCUGCUGAAGCUAUGGAAAACGAGGUCUGUUUUCUGGGACUUGCCGUACUGGAAGAUCCACCGUGUGCCUCACAGCCUUGAUGUCAUGCAUAUCACGAAGAACGUGUGCGAGAGUCUGCUUGGUACCCUGCUCAACAUGCCAGAGAGGACCAAAGAUGGGCCGAAAGCGAGGGCAGACUUGAAAUCAAUGGGCAUCAGGCAGGAGCUUCACGCUAUAUAUGAUGAUGAUGAUGAUGAUGAUGAUGAUGAUGAGGCGAAGCAGGACACAGAAAGUCGUCGCAAAGGCAAAAAGGCCAAGAAGACCGGAAAUGACUACCCUCCCGCGUGCUUCACUCUAAGUCAGGAGGAGAUCGAGCAGUUUUUCACCUGCCUCCUAGGAGUAAAACUUCCUUACGGUUACGCGGGGAAGAUAAGCAGAUACCUAGACCCAGCGAAGCAGAAGUUCAGCGGGAUGAAGUCUCACGAUUGUCACAUGCUGAUGACGCAGAUACUUCCAGUUGCAAUCCGUGGGAUCAUGGACGCGCACGUCCGUGAAACGCUAUUUGGCCUAUGCAACUUCUUCGACGUCAUCUCUCAGAAGUCGAUUGGCAUGAGGCAACUCAGAAGGCUACAGGAAGAGAUCGUGGUGAUACUAUGCGAGCUUGAGAUGUACUUCCCGCCCGCAUUCUUCGAUGUUAUGGUGCAUCUGCUGGUCCAUAUAGUGGGGGAUAUCAUCCAACUCGGGCCGAUGUUCCUGCACAGCAUGAUGCCGUUCGAAAGGAUGAAUGGUGUCAUCAAAGGAUACGUUCGCAACAUGUCACGUCCAGAAGGAAGCAUAGCCAGGGGCUUUCUGACCGAAGAGUGCAUCUACUAGUGCGCGAAUUAUCUAGGCAUCGAGAACCCCGUUGGUCUGCCCGUCAACAGGCACCUCGGCAGGCUCGCUGGAUGGGGUCACCGUGAGGGUCGCCGCGAAAUGCAUGUCGACUUCGAGGGUCGACUCGCCGACUUUGAAAGAGCAAACCUAGUCGCGCUACAACACAUAGACGUGGUCGAUGCUUGGGUGGUAGAGCACAAAACCUUUAUUAAGAAGACGUACAAUGACCGAGGCCAACAGAGGACGGACGGAGAUAUACUCAAAGAGCACAACUCAUGUUUCACGCGUUGGUUCAAGCAGAAGCUUCUGUCGUACCCUUUACAUGAGGAUUCUUCCGCGGAAGAACAACUCAUAUUCGCCUUGUCACAGGGCGCCGAGCACAACCUGAUGACCUAUGAGGCGUACGAUAUCAACGGCUACACAUUCUACACCGAGGCCAAGGACAUGAAGAGCGAUGGUUAUCAGAACUCCGGGGUAACGAUGGAAUCCUACACCGGUAACGACAAGGACAGAUACUACGGAAGGAUCGAGGAGAUCUGGGAGCUGAGCUAUGCUGGAGAGAAGGUCCCGAUGUUCCGUGUCAGAUGGGCCAAGAACGUCAUAAAAGAAGACCGGUAUUUCACCACCAUGGUUAUACCCGGAGCCAAAUCCAAGACCGCGAGCGCAAACGUCACCGCGAAAAAUGAGCCAUGGGUACUGGCUUCCCAAGUGGACCAAUGCUUCUUCAUUACCGACCCGCCAAAGCCCAGUCGUGUUGUCGUGAGGAGAGGCAAAAGGAAGAUCAUCGGAAUGGAUGGAGUAGCCAAUGAGCAAGACUUCGACAAGUACGGCGACCCGAGGAUCGAACAUGACGACGAUGAUGAAGUAGCAGCAUACACCACAAGAAGAAGCAGGACCACCCUACCUAAAGGACGUCCGUUCCACAGAAGAACUCCAUUUGCGAAAAAGAAGGGCAAGAAGAUUGUGAACAGAUAGCUAGCUAAGAUCGAUUGUAUUUAAAUCGUAGCCUUCAUUUCUCGAUUGUAUUUCAUGGGUACUUUUUGAACUAUCAUGAAUAUUUUUAAAUUUAAUGGACACUCGAUCUCGAUCCCCCUCCAUCUCGAUCGCUAUCCCACCUCGCCAGAUCCGGUCCCCCUCGCCGCCAAGCACCCCCCCAGCCCACCGGCCGCCGCCGCCGACCCCCCGCACCCUCGAUUCCCCUACCCAACCGCCGCCGCCGACCCACCGCACCCCGCGCACCCUCCCCUGCUCCACCAGCAUUACUGUUUGAUGAUAUUUUUAAAAAAAUUAUUAUUGUCUUAUAAAAAAAUAUUACUGUUAUGAUUUAAACAAGUUUGAACAUAUUUAAACACAAAUAAGUAUCAAACAGGUUUUUAAAUGCUAAAAAAAAUUUGUGGAGCCUGGGAGUCGAACCCAGGACCUCCUGGUGUGAGAACUGGCUGCUGACCAGUCGAGCUAGUAGAGGGGACUUGAUGUGGAUCAAUUCUGGUGGUACAUAACCUGUUGGCUCGAGUUGAAAUAAAAAAAAUACUAAUGGCGCACCACGGUGAGGUGCGCCAUUAGUAUGGAUGUACUUAUGGCGCACCGAGGGGUGGUGCGCCAUUAGUAUUGUGCCCGAUCCCUUCCCUCUCCCCCUUCGCCCGAUCCCCCCUUCCCUCUCCCCCUUGCCAGUUCCCUCUCCCUCGAUCCACCGCCGCCGCCGCCGCUGCCCUGACCCACUGCGCCGCAGCCGCCCACGCGCCCCCGCCGCCUCCCUCUCCCCUUCCUCCCCCUCGAGCCCGCGCCGUCCGCCCAAACCUAACCCGACGCCGUCCGCCGCGCCCGCUCCACCGCCGCCGCCCUGCCUCUCCGCCCUCUCCCUCCCUCNNNNNNNNNNNNNNNNNNNNNNNNNNNNNNNNNNNNNNNNNNNNNNNNNNNNNNNNNNNNNNNNNNNNNNNNNNNNNNNNNNNNNNNNNNNNNNNNNNNNNNNNNNNNNNNNNNNNNNNNNNNNNNNNNNNNNNNNNNNNNNNNNNNNNNCGUCGCCCCGCCGCCCCGACACCACCGUCCGUCGCCCCGCCGCCCCGCCGCCCCUCUCGCAGCAAGGUAUGCGGCUGGUUCGUCCCCUGUCAUGGUUCUCUCUUCGUUUAUUUUCCUGAAAUCUCUGCUGUUCAUUGGCCGAUGAUGUCUUACAAGUAAAAUAUCUGGCAAACUUGUGCUGUAAACUGUACAUUGCUGAGGCUGUGGGCAACCUGUUCUUCUCUUUGCCAUACUAGUGCUUUUGUUCAUUGGCCGAUGAUGUCUCUGUUGGUUUACGUCCCCGGCAAAUUAGGUACCCGUGAACCAUUUAUAGGCCCAACUUUCUUACUCUCAAUGACCACAAUGUGCUUAUUUUGUUAGGAUUGUGCAUUUGCGCGAUUUGUGCAGUGCUUAUUUGUUGGCACCUCACCAGCUUUCAAAUUCAGCAUUUGUAACACAGUUCAAUUUGAUCUAAGGGCCUAUCUUGUCUCAUUUCCAACAUGUAAUAAACUUCCCCCGAGGCCAUAGAUGAGAAUACUUCUUUCAGUACAUUUUGCUGAUUUCUCACUGUUGAAUACUUCAUUUCUGUUUGCCUUUGGCCAAAGAUGCAUUCAGUUCUUUCUGCCCUUAGCGGUUUGAUUCAAGUUUGUCAGGUUCUGUUAACUAAAAAGGUUCAGAUUCAGAAACAUUGUUGGACUACUAGGAAGUUGGACUACUAGGAACAUGUUUAGAUUCAGGUUCUGUUAACUAAAAAAGUUCAGGUUCUGUUAACUAAAAAAGUUCAGAUUCAGAAACCUGUAAUUUCUACUUUUAUGCCUCUGUUACUCCAGUCAAAAUUUUAUGUUUGAUGCCCAUGGUAGUUGAGCUCUCACCUCACCUCACGCAACAUGCAUGAUGCCACAAUGUCUAGUAUGUACUGCCAAGCAACUGGCAAAUAAUUAUAACUUAGAAUAAAUAAAUCUGAUGUAAGAUAAGCAUGGCAUGAGCUUUAAUUAAAUAGCAUAAUACACGUUGGUAGUCCAUCUCUCUCAAAAAAAAUACAUGUUGGUAGCAGAAAAAAAUACAUGUUGGUAGCAGAAAUUUUUUUGAGCCCUUAUUAGCUACUCACACUAUUUGCCCCGCAGUUUCUCUGUCAUGGCUACCAAGUGAUUGACGGUGGGCUAGAAAAAUAAAACCACCAAACUAUCAGUAAAAGAUGUGAACCAACAUCUUUCAUUGUUAUGCAUAUCAAACACCAAGGGUUAUUUUCACUUAAAGUUUUAGAAUGGGUGCAUUACAAUUCAGUCUGAUAUCUAAUAAGACACUCUGGGCUGAUAUAAUUAUGGAACAGAACCAACCAUGAUAAAUAAAAGGUGAUGUUGUCUAUGCAUUACCAAAAAUGUAUCUUUGUGAACAAAUAAAUUGGUACCAACAGCAAUGCCAUCUUACUGUAGAAUUAGAAUACAUGGACAUGAUCAGCUCAGCUCCCAAACUGCCAUUCAUCACAUCAAUUUCCCCUUAUGUAACUCCAGUCAAAAUUUUAUGUUGGUCUACCUAGUAGAUGCCCAUGGUUUGAUUUUAUGUUUGUUCCUAUCAAUACAAAUGCUGAGCUAUGUUCCAUUUUUACUGUUCUUUGUGAUAGUUUUUGCAACUUUACUUCCCAUCUUAAGGCAAGCCCCAUUUUUACUGUUCUUUGUUAGCAGAGCUGCUUGUUUCUAAGAACUUUGAUACUAUUUGGAUCAAAGUUAAAUGAGCACAUAGAUGACAAAAAAAAGUUCAGAUUGUAAAAUGUUCAUUUUGCUGCUAGUGCCCAUUUUGAGUAAUUGCUUAGAGGGAUGAUCCUGUGUGAGCUGGUGGAGUGAUUUGUUUUCUACAUAAAGCUCUUUAGUCAGGCUGGUUUUCGUGAAAUACACAUGAAGCUUCACCAGCUCCUGUGGGUGUGGGAUCCAUGUGACAUGUGACAUUGCAUCCAUGUCCACCUGGGAUAAUGAUUUUGCAUGUACCCCGAGAGGCCCUUAAGUUUGCCGGAAUGUCGAUUAACUUCCGUUCCGGCAAAUUCGGGUACUCCAUAUGUCCUAUUUUCAGCAAAGGUCAUGCUGAAAUUUUCCGUGAAUUUUAGCAUGACUUUGCAAAAAAUAGGACAUAUGGGGUACUUGUGACUAAUGCAUGGGCCGGGGUAUCAUAGUAGUUAAUUAAGUAGGAUCAAGUGCCCCGGCGUACUUGUGACUGAUGCAUGGCUUUUAGGGUGCCUCGGUGUUGAUAAAAACCGAAAUGAUGAAAGCUUAGGCUUUUAGGGUGCCUCGGCGUCGAAAAACCCUCAAUGAUAAAAGCUUAGGUCUUAGGAUGCCUCGGUGUCGACAAACCCUAAAUGAUGAGACCAUGUCUUGUUCCUUGACAAUAACCAACUUUUUGACCAAACUUUGUUUCUAUUUAGAGAGAAACAUGGCCCACAACGAUGAGGCCGGGGGUUCGGGCGGCAAGGCAUUCUGGGAGCUGUCCCAGGAGAUGGAGGAACAACCUCACUUGUAUGAGGCCGCCGCCUUCCCCACCGAUCCUGAGACCACUGAUGGUGCCGCCGAGGAUGACCACACUGAUGCCACCACUGAUGGUGCCGCCGAGGAUGCCACCACUGAUGAUGGCAGCGCCCGCACAGAUGGCAGCCAACCGAAGAGGCAACGGAAGGACCGACGCCCGAUCGUGCUCCUCACCCUCAAGGAGGAAGUUACUGAAGUGGACUCCAACGGGUAUCCAACGGCGCCCGAACGAAUAGUCAAGGGGUACUCGCUUCAGCUCGGGUGCAUUGUCCGGAGCACCGUCUCGAUCAACACCGAGAACCUGAGGCAUCCUGACCGAGGGAAUUUGUGCCACCUCCUCUUCACGAAGCUGCACGAAUGAUACAAGUUCCCCGCUGAAUUUGCAAACAGAAGCCUCAAAGGGAAUAAAGUGAACAAUGCUGCCCUCACGAAGAUGAGCAAGGCCCUGUCUACUUGGAAAAGCAAUGUGAAGAAAAUGAUCGAUAAAGGUGAGAGUUAUCAGAAGAUCAAGGAGAAAAAUCCUUCGAUCACCAAAGAUGACUACAAUGACUUCAAGAUCAAUUGCUCGAGCACCGCAAGCUCCCAAUCAAGUGAGUGGGGGAAACAAAUGCGGGAGCUGAACAUAGGGGAACACACACUCGGUCCCGACGGUUACAGAGUGGCGGAGCCUAUAUGGGACAAGGAGGAGGCGGACCGUGCCGAGCAAGGCCUACCGCCCCUCUUCGAGAAAUACAGCGGUAACAAGCAGACCAGGAACUUUGUCAGGGCCCGGUACAAGAAGGACCCGAAAACAAAGGAGCUUACCACGGAUCCGAAGACCAGGCAGCUUGAGCUUGUUCUGGUAAGGAAUACACCCCCGCGUAAUUAGCUCCAUAUGGUUGCAUUCUAAUUAAUGAAGCCAAAUUUCUAAAUGGUUCACAUUCCUUCCGCAGGCGACUGAAAGCAGUAGCGCGGGGUCGACUAAGAGCAACCCUUGGGACACCACUCUAAAUAGGGCGAUGAAUGUAAUGAAGAAGAAGGAUAAGCUCAGUAAGCCGACGUCAGCUGGUCGUGUGGCCGGCAAAGGCUUGUCGACAAAAUGGGGGUCAUACUAUACCGCUGGUGUGCGGAAGGAGAAAAAGACCAGCUCGGAAAGCCAGGCGCGAGAGGAUCAAGAACUCAAGGAACAGGUGACGCGGAUUCCGGAGAUUGUCCAAGAGCAAGUGGAACAAUGACUCGGAGCGACGAUCACCGCCAUUGUGCCUACCUUGAUCUCGGGGUUGAGUGCGUGGAUUGCGGGCGGCCAACAGGGGCCGCCCCCGAUUCCUAGCUUCACGGCCAGCAACUCGCAUAAUGCGAUGGCGGGGCCAUUGGUGCCUCCGGCGGAGGCGGCAUUGGUGUCUCCGACGCCGGCACGGGAGCUUAAUGCACCCGGGUGUACGCCGGCCGGCACCUCUGCAGCAAGCGGCCCCUCCGUCAACUGCACGCCCGCCGUUGGCGGUGCGUCGACAUUAGCCGAGCUCGACGCCAUCAACACGGUAACUAAUUAAGCCUCUCUCGGCCGAGGACUUCAUCUCCUUGCCUUUGACUAGGCAUCCCUGACGCCCUACAUGUUUUCGCAGGGCGCCGCCGACGUUCCGUGCACUCUCCUCCACUUCGUGAACAACGAGUUGGUCGAUGUCGCCAAGGGCAAAAUCGUUCAACCGGCAACCCCUUGUUCCACGGUACCCAGAUGCCACCCAACUUGUUUAGGGUUCAACUGGUUCGGGUGUUGCCAGGCUGCGACGACUUGUUACCUCUGAUUCGACCCGUUGGGGCCGACGAUGAAGACGUGAUGACCCUCAGCGCCUGCCUGAGCUGGCCCCUAGUUUGGCCGAAGAGCCAGAUUCGUUUGGGGGCGGGGGACACCACCCCAAAGACAACACCGCCAGUCGUGCUGGUGCCAAGUCGGCCCCAUGGCAAGACCGCCGUAACGGUGCCGGACAUCCCUAUGCCACUGGAUCCAAACAUGCAUAUGGCACAGGAUCAGAAUGACGACGACAACGACGAUGAUACAUUUGGCAACGUCGAUCAGUACUUUGCCGAUCAUGGGUACGAUGGCGACUUCAUGGGGCCUCCUUCUCAAGAACCAAACCCAACAAAAGACGUGUGCGAUCUAGCUGGUACCGCAGAGAAGCCAAGUUGCAACAGGCGCCGUCUGGCGUUCAGCUCUCAGGAGACGCCUCCAGCUGCCGACUUCACCGAUCCUCAGAUAGGCGAGGUGCGAAAUAUUAUCAGCCCCAACACACUCAAGAAGGCGGUCUGUGAGCAGAACUCGGUCCCAUUACAGGAGAAGAAGAAGGCACGCAAAAGAAAGACUAAGAAGGGUGCGAGCCAGCCGGCACCGAGUACGAUCCGUGCUCAGGACGGGCCACCUUCACCGCAGGAUAUCUCGAGGAGGGUGCAUGUGGCGGGUAGGGCGAUGCUACCGACAAAUAUGCUCAAUGCUGCAACCGGUGCUAUGCGGAGUCUGCAUGACAGUGUUCUUGCUUUGGAGAAGCGGCGUCUCAGAGAGAAGGAUGUGGCAUACCCGGUUUUCGCGGCCAAGGUGCCAAAGGGCAAGGGCUUUGUGGAUAACUCCAUCGGGCGUACGAUCGUCCUGCGUUUUGAUGACAUCCACGCUAUGUUGAACCUUCAUCCGCUGCACUACACCUUCGUUCGGCUAUUUUCGCUGAGUAUGGAGAUGCGGAUCAUUCGCGACAAGACCCCGGACAUCGUGAUAGUCGACCCCUUCUACAUGCGUGCCAAGAUCUUGGGCAGCGCUGGGGACCGGCAAGUCGCGAGUUCUUACCUCGAAGGCAUCAUUCUGGCAAACCAAGAUAAGGAUAACUUCCUCGUGCCUUACUUUCCCGAGUAAGUCCUCCCCUCAACCGGCCCGUAACAUAUGAAUUCUUACAUUUCGAUCGUUUUUCUUUUAACAUUCCGUGUUUUUUGCAGUGACACACGUUGCACGCUCAUCCUCCUAAGCCCCAAAUAUUCCAUGGCCACAUAUUUCGACCCGGACUGUUAGUCGAACGUAGACUACACAAAUGUCAAGAAGGUUCUUGAUGAUGUUCUCCCCGGCUAUGCCAAAUCUGGAGGCACCUUCACCAGGCCUAAUCGUAAGUACGGCAAGCAUGUUUUCUCCCACAAUACGAUGUUCUACUGCGUCAAGCAGCCGCCUGGUGGUCAGAAGGGUGCCUACUACGCCAUCCAUCACAUGCGGGCGAUCGUACGGGACCAUCAUCAACUUCUGCUACCGAGUAAACUCAAAGAUUGGGCAAAGAGCGUGUCGGCAAUCGAGGACGCGGACCUCCGACAAGAAUUCUUUCGCAUCCAGUCGGAGUUUGCGGAAAUCAUCCAUCAAGAUGUCCUUCGUACCUCGGGGCAGUUCUACCUCAACAAUCAACCGUCCAAUAGUGACAUCGACAUAAUGCUACAAAUGCAGGCUGACAACGACCGUUAUUUCAUGACUCCCACGAUAGACGGCGGCUUCAUCCACGCUCCGGUCCCUUGAGUCGAGUCGAAAGCAGUGAUGCUGUGUCUAGUUCUGAAACAUCGAUUGGCUCAUGUUGUAAUUAAACUUUAAUGAACUUGUAGUAUGUCUCUUUGGUUUCGAGAGUCGUUCAACUUAGAUGUAAUCGAUGCUAUUAAUGUCUUGCUUUUCUCUUCCGAUUGUUCUGUUGCAUACUUAUAUAUUGCUUAUGUAUUGUCUGUGAAUUGGUACUAACGUUUCGUUUGGCUAGUGCAUAGCGAUGCCGACGUAUGUCGUGUACAAGGGUAAGGUUCCCGUAGUCUACGAUGACUGGGAGGAGUGUCGGAGACAGGUUCACCGAUUCAGCGGUAACAGUUACAAAGGGUACACCACUAGGGCCGAGGCCGAAUCUAGAUACGCCCGCUAUCUAGCGGGAGAGGGGAGGGAGCGUUGGAGGAACCGGAUGAAGACGAGUUUCAUCGUGAUGAUGCUCAUCGUGAUGACCGCAGCUCUCUUCUAUGUGAUGGUAGUUUAGAUGAUCGAUAUCGACUUGUAAUGUGAAGACAAACUCGCUACUCGCGGUCUCGAGACUUGUAAUAUAAUGUUCUAUCUUUGUUCGGUCUUUUUAAUUCGGAGACUAAUAUGAUGAAUUGUAUUCGGAGACUAAUAUGAUGAAUUGUAUUCAAAGACUAAUCUUCUAUUGUAUUCGAUGAAUCUGUUGUUGAUGUGUGCUGUCUAUAUUUUGUCAAAUUAUACAUUUUGUAACCUGUGCAAAAAACAGAAAAUAAAAAAUAAAAAAAACCUAAUAUUCAUACUAAUGACGCAUCACAUGAUAGUGCGCCAUUAGUAUGACAGUGCAUACUAAUGGCGCAUCACUGGGCAGUGCGCCAUUAGUAUGCCGCGGUUACUAAUGGCGCAUCCAGCGGUGGUGCGCCAUUAGUAUGCCAAAGCACCUGGGUAUACAUGGCCCCUGGGAGGCAUACUAAUGGCGCACCCUUGCCUAUACUAAUGGCGCACGCGCGGUGCGCCAUUAGUAUACCAGAUACUAAUGGCGCACCAGGUGGUGCGCCAUUAGUAAAAAUUACUAAUGGCGUGCUAUUAAUGGCGCACCACAGAUGCGCCAUUAAUGGCCAUUUUAGGUGCGCCAUUAGUAGGGGUUUUUCUAGUAGUGUAAUAAGCGAGAUGACGCAGUUCCUGACCGCCCCGCUACCACUACUGGUUCCAGCGUGGCGUUUGAAUUAUGCCGCGCUAGAUGCCUUUUGUCCAGCGAGGAACAAGUGGGGUCAAGCGUGCUUUGGCAAUUCCCGCCGUCAGAAGACUUCCUUGUAGUCCGGUGUAGAGGUGAGGUUGUAGGGAGAUGCAUCGACUAGGAAGGAGUGGCCACAUGAACGAGCAUAUGUAUGAUGUGAUUAAGUCUCUCGAUCGGGUAUCUGGUGCCUUACGUACGGUGUCUUAUUUUUGUCAAGCUAUGACAUCUUUCAGUUUGAGUGUCUGAUAUUAGGGUUGCAUACGUUUUGUUAUUCAGUUGCCUGUUGUCAACUCUAUGGUUAUAUCACCUCGAUGUGUGAGUCAAUGUGUUUGAACCAAUGUAGAGUUUCAUGUGAAUGUUACAAGUGUGAUUGAUAUCUUCAUGUUAUAACCGCAGUUGCCUUGGUAAGAAAUUGAAAGAGCAAACCGUUAUCGUGUUAGGAAAAAAGUCAUCGCUCAAUAUAAGUUGCUUCUCUAGAACAACCACACCUUUCCCUCAAAAAAAAGAACAACCACACCUUGUGAAAGAAGAUGGCAAACACCCAAUUAUGUCUGGUUAGAUAUGGGCAUGGCUAUGGGUAGCUUAUAGCGACACGGAAGCUAGCAUCGCCUGAAGAAACACCCGGAUGGGCCGGCCUAGAGACAAAUUUCUUCAUUUCUACCCUUAGUUUUGUUUUUCUGCCCUUUUUUCUUUAUAUUUUAUAUUUUUCCCGACAUGUUCACUACUUGAUGCUCAACUGGGAUCUCAUCUGAUGCGGAGCAUCCUAUGGACAUCACCAUGUCAAGAGUCCGUUCGGCAAGUGACACGUGUGACAUCUACUUCUCAUACAUAAAGGUGAAUCUUCUCCUUUACACGUGUUUACUUGACCCCUUCGAGGAUGGUAUACUACUUGACACUUCUCCCGUGUGCAUGCAUAGGUAUUGUCGGAGCUUCAUGGAUGUCGAGGAGGAGUGCAAGCGCCAAGGAAUGACUACACCGUCCGCGAGGGAAGCAUGGAAGAGAAGGAGGAAGAGAACCUGGCUACUCCAGAACGAGCGGUACUACUGCCCACUCCAAGCGGUACUACCGCCGAGGCCACCCAAGCGGCACUACCGCCCAGCAUCCGCCCUUCUACUGCUCAACCCGACAAACUCCAGUGAUCGAGCGGUGUAAGUCCGGUACUACUGCCCCUCCAAGCGGUACUACCGCUCAAGCGGUACUACCACCCAUGAGUCCGGUACUACCGCCCUGCCUCUGCCCAGCCGUGGGCCUUUGGCCUUGUAUCCCUCUCCCACUUACCCCUUCGUGGCUUAGACUAUAAAUAGGCCACCUCCACCUCCUUUCUAGGGUUAGCACAGAUUUAGCUCAUUUUGAGAUAGAGCUUUGCUCAUCCAUACGGAUCUACUCCUCGUGAGAGACCGCGACCUCUUCGGAGAAGAUCCAUCUUGGAUUCAAGACCCCCUCGUGGGAAGAUCCGUCUAGGAUACCAACAAGACCUCCUCUUGGAGAUGAACCUUACCUUGUAUCUUUCCCUUUGUUGUUCAUGUACCCUUGUGGAUCUUGUGUGUUUGAUUGUCUAGUGGAUGUGUGAUUGGACUUGUACUUGAGUGUUUCCCCUUGUGAUUUCUCUCCGUUCUUCCACGUGUUCUUCAUAGGGAUCCGCUCCAAACGUGAAAGAUCGGCCUCUAGGGUUCUAGCCUACAUCAUCUUGGAUCAGAGCAAGGUUGAUCACGGAUUUGGAGCCCCUACCCCUCUUUUUCUAGCCUUCUUUUGCUUGCUUUCGUCCUAAAAUCCCCACAAAAAAUAGCCCCAAUUUUUUUGUGAUUUGUUCGUUUGAUGAUUUUUUGUUGAUUUUGAUCCAUGGAUUUGCUUGGUUUUGAGUGGAUCUAGCAUCUCUCCAAGUUUCCCCACCUUCCAUCCACGAAAUCCAUCCAAUUUUGCCCCUGAAAUCAUCCUUUUCCGCCCCAAAUUCGCCCCGAUUUCGAUCUGUGAAUUUUCCCGACACGAGCGGUACUACCGCCCUCGAAGCGGUACUACCGCCCUCGAAGCGGUACUACCGCUGAGCACCACAAGCGGUACUACCACCCUCCCAAGCUAUGACGCCCGGAUAAUUAAGCUACAGUAAUCCCCUUCUAAUGGUGCCAUGUCAUCACAUUACUGUUGCUAAUCCUCGCUUGAUCCAAAUCUUAGUUCAAACUCAAAUUCAAAUUAAAGACCAAAAUUCAAAUUUCUCAAGCAUGCAAAAUAAAAUGUUCAAAGUGUGGCAAAUAAUCGCUGGAUAUUUGUCAUGUUGCAAACAACCUCUUUUGAAUUCUCAAAAUGCCCCUGGGAAUUAAUUUUUGGUCCAGUAGUAAAUUAAAUGGCAUUUGCAAAAUAAAGAAUUGUUUAUUUAACUCCAAUUGCCUCCAAACUUUAUGUGCCACUCCAAAAUAUUUGUGGCUCUGUCUAAGAUCGCCAAGGAAUUAAAAGGGCACUUCCCAUAUUUUCCCUAAGUAAAUAGUGUGCCCAAAAUAUUCUCUUAACCAUCUCUAUUUUUUUAAAUAAAAAAAGGCGAAGAAGAACUCCCCCGGGCCUCGGGCCACUCCCACUUACCAGCCCACCUAAGCCGGCCCACUCCCCCGCUCCCCUAGCCUAUAGGCCACGGCCGACCGAACCCUAACCCCGCAUGAUCCCCCCACUCCCCACUCCUCUCCCCUCUCGAUCCGAUCUGGAUCGGACCGAAACCGGCGCAAUUGGUCGAUCCAUGUAUAAAGUAAAAAUAACUAGGCCCAAUUGGUCGAUCCAUGACAGUUUUCGUGACGGUACUUCCACGUCUGUCAUGAGGGGGCUACCCUACUUGGCCCCAAAUGGAUCUUGCUAAUUGGUGACGGUUUCCGUGAUAGAUUUCUGGAACGUCACCAGAAAUCCGUCAUUGAUUAACAGAUUUCCGCACAAUCCCCCCACUCCCCACUCCUCUUCCCUCCUGAUCCGAUCUGGAUCGGACCGAAAUCGGCGCCGCGACGCCAACCGCCGUCGCUGGAGGCGUCCCCGACUCCACGCCGGGCCGCCCCGUCACUGGACCUCCUCCCCGUCGCCACUCGUCACUCGCUGGACCGCCUCGUCCCCACCAAUGCCGCCCCCACCCCAACGUCCCCGACGCCUUCGCCGUCGGCACCGCCCCAAUGUCGCCGCCACCCGACGCCGGCGCCCUCGACAUCGCCACCCCGAGCCCACUGCCACCCCUACGCUCCGCUAUGAGCCCCUCGCUGAUUCCCCCUCCUUCCCGUCGUCGUAGGUGGCUGCGCGCGUCGUUGGCCAUCGUGGCCGCGCUCCGGCCGUUCCCCAUCCGUGCGCUGGCCUCGCCUUCCUCGGAUUGCAAACAUUGAACUUUUCCCCUCGGGUUCAUCUAUCUGACAGACGUUCGGGACCAGAAAAACUUUCCCGGAUGUUUCCCCCUUCGCCAGUAUCACCUAGCACCGCGUUAGAACACUUCUAGCCCCGCUUAUUGUCUUGUUAUGCAUAUGUUUGCGUGUAUUUACUGUUUCUUCCCCCUCUUCUUCUCCGGUAGACCUCGAGACCGUUGCUGAUGCCCCUGUGGUCGACUACGUCGACGGCGACCCUCCUUGUCUGAGCAACGAGGCAAGCCCCCCCUUUGAUCAUCCCGAUAUCGCCCAUUCCAUUCUCUAAUGCUUGCACUAGAUUUUCUACUGUAUUUGAUUGCUCCUAUUCUGAUGCAUAGCAUGCUUUUCUACCUGCUGUUGUACCUUACCUGCUUAUCCUAAACUGCUUAGUAUAGGUUGGCUAGUGAUCCAUCAGUGACCCCCACCUUGUCUUUGUUGCCCCUGCUUCAUCAUUGACGACUCGAUCAACGUGAUCGACGACCGGAGCCUGACACCUCACAUCACAUCACGCCCCUUUUUGUUGCUCGACUCUGCAGAGUUACCAUCGAGUGCCGAGGGUGGAACCUCAUACAUCACUCCUUAUGAGAUCUCUGUAGUGUAGCUAUUCGGUCGUGGUCAUCGAGGGUGGUUCCUCCUUCACCAUUCCUAAUACGGCUCUGUCGUGCAACACCUCAAGUGUGAACCUCGAGGGUGGUUCCUCUUACGUUCACCUUGAUGAUUACAUCGAGUGGAAUCCACCGGGGGUGAUUCCUCGGAUUUUCCCCUUUAUGUCUGGACACACAGUUACCUUGACUUCACUUGAGACCGUUUUGAAAGCCGGGCAGGCCCGGAGAGCACCCGUGCGGUGUGACGGUGGCGGCUGGCUGUUUAGCGGUAUCACCCGGGAGGGGGUGAUAGCUCCGGACUUGUCCCGACAGCCGUCACUUCUUUUAAUAAUGCACUAACAGGUUUGGGUAUUUUUUCUAAGUUCACUAACCACGACGCUAGAAUAGUUAUGGGUCUCGAUGUUGCAGUAUCAGCCGAAGCUUUCUCAGACGUCCAGUUCAGCAUUGUGGCCGGGCCGAAUCAUGCCAUCCACUUCACGGGUGGUGCUGGUAUCCCCUUGCGCACAACGACCCAGAGUGCAACGGGCGAUGGGCCCAGACCCCGGAGUGCUUAGGAUGUAGACCGGCAGGGACCUCUCUGCUGAGCCUAGGUAGGGCAGCUACGUGUUGAUCUUCCGAGGCCGGGCAUUGACCCCAGAAAGGUGUGUCCUUCCAGAGUGAUCGAGCGUGUUGGGUAACGUGGUGCCCCCCUGCAGGGAAGAUUAUCUAUUAAUAGCCGUGUCCACGGUAACGGACGUUCAAACUUAUAUCUUGAUCUUAUACAACUACAAAUGGAUACUUGAGAUAUGUGGCUCCGGGAUUGCUUUCUCGCAGGGAGUCGAGGAAGGAUCUCUGGGCGUUGUUGUCACAACAUGCUUGUUAAUUAAACUGCUAUUCUUUACUCUUCUACAUGCUGCAAGAUGCUUGGAGCUACUUGAAGAUGCUAGUCUUCAUGAGGCUAGGCCUUCCCCUCUAUUCUGGCAUUCUGCAGUUCAGUCCACAGAUACAACCCUUCCAUUUGAUACCAAUGCAUACUUAGUAUAGAUCUGAUGCUUGCGAGUACUUUGGAUGAGUACUCACGGUUGCUUUGCUACCCCAUUUCCCCCUUCUUUCUUCUUUCCGGUUGACGCAACCAAAUGGUGGAUCCCUGGAGCCAGAUGCCAGCGCUGAUAGAUGCUACUAUGUGAAGAUCGCCGACGACCAGGAGUAGUUAGGAGGUCCCAAGCAGGAGGCCUUGCCUCUUCGAUCAUUGUUGCUUUUGUGCUAGCCUUCUUAAGGCAUCUUUGUUUAACUUAUGUCUGUACUCAGAUAUUGUUGCUUCCGCUGACUCUUGUGUAUCGAGCUAUGUAUUCAAGCCCUCGAGGCCCCUGGCUUGUAAUAUAAAGCUUGUAUUAUUUUGAUUUGUGUCUAUAGUUGUGUUGUGAUAUCUUCCCGUGAGUCCCUGAUCUUGAUCAUACACAUUUGCGUGCAUGAUUAGUGUACGAUUGAAUCGGGGACGUCACAAGUUGGUAUCAGAGCCGACUGUUUGUAGGAUCCCCCUUUCCAACUCCUUGGCUGAAGUUGAGUCUAGUCUUUGAAAAAAAUUGUUUUACUAACAUGGUUGUGUGGCUUACGGGCCCAUGUCGCCAUUGGGUGGUAUUAGGAUCUUUUACUCCUCGACCUUUACUCUGGGACUCUAAUCGCUCUUCUAUUCGGGUUAAAUGGUCUCGCAAACUAUAACUCUAGGUUCUCGUAAAUACUUUCUCCCGGAGAGCCCCUUCAUUCCAGAUGAUGGCCUGCUUCACCAGAUGAUUUCGAAGAUACCCUUCUGUAAUUUCCUGAGACUUUUGUACUCAUUGCUUUUGCAGUUCCCUACCUCUGAUAUAUCCUUACGGAUAACUUCAUACACUUGUCAUUCAUACAAUCAUUCCUAGUUGCUCUUGUUUUUACAAGAUACAUUGAAUUAUUCUCCGACUUUUAAGAAUCCCUUGCUUACUGCCCUGCAGUUCCUUGCCGCAUGAAUACCCCUACGGAUAAUUACUCGCACUUGCCGAGUAUCCGUUCGUCCAUAGUUGUUCAUGUGUUUCACAACAUUCUUUGGAAAGCUAUUUGAUCUUUUCAAAAAUCCUCAGUAGCCUAUUACUCUUGUUCCUCCUUACCUACUUACAGUAUGGUUACUUCCAUUUGUCUAGCAAUAUUCUUUAAAAUCCUUUGCGAUUGACAUCCUUACCCUAUUGUUUCAACAUGUGUGUGAAUGCACGCAAUCAUCAAUUGUUCCCUGGAAUUGUCCUUCUGGCUCAGACGUUACCCCGGACACGAGCUGGUGUUCGACAAAACAAACCUUGAUUGAUUUUGAAUCUAUGUCUAUACAACUUAAUUGUCUUUGAUCAGAGCCUCUGCUUUUGAUCCCCCAUUUUGAAAAUCAUAAUCCCCUUUGCAUUCGAGCAUAGAAUUAGUCAGUUGUUUCUAUAACCUGACCUCCUUGAAUUCUUUCUUCUUCUGGUUGAGUAUCGAUACUCACAUCAGAUCCAUUGUGGACCUCCAGGUCCUUUGUUGGUUUUUAUCCGACAGCAUCCUUCAUAUUCAGUAACCUUGUGAGCCUUUCCUCGAAUACACAAUGCCUUUGGUAAAUUGUAUCCCCCACUCUCGUCAACCAUACUCUGCUUCCGGGCUUGAGUUAUUUACUCGUGAAGUUUGUGGUAUAUGUUCCUAAUAUGUCCCUAUGGGUUGAAUCUAUGUCUUCCCUAAAUCUGUGUGAACCCUACGACUCAUACUCUACUGGUGUUAUGCCAGAUAAAAUCUCAACAGUACGGCUUCGUUGAAAAUGAGAAGUGAAUGAAAGGUUAUGCAUCGAAGAAGUGGGAGUCGACCUUGAGCCUUGUGUUCAUGCCCAUGGACACGAUGUGGAACUUAACAUGGAAGCUUCUUUUUAUAAUAAUAGCCCCCUAGCGAUAAGUACAUCUUGUAUCCAUGUGUGGUCCAUUGCAAUCGUGGUUCCGACCAUAUUGUUCUUGUUUGAUCCAUUUAUCGGACAAGUUAAAGUACUUGUCUUCUUCAAAUUGUUUCACAUGUUCAACCUCUACAUUGAUAUACCUUCGAGCAUUAUCCUCUGGUAUCUCGAGAAUAUCACGGAACUACAUAACUUCUUAUGAGUUCUUGAUCAACUAUUAUUUCUCACUGAUUCAAAUUUUUCACUAGUUGGGAGUUGUUAGACACUCGAGAAUACAGUUAACUGAUUCAAGUCUACGCUUUCCUUUCCAUUGUUCUGUUUAAUCUUUCUGGUAACCUAUCUUAUCUGAGAACUGAUAAUUCCCUGCUUAUGUAAACACCUCGGUGUACAAGCUCUGUCUGUAAGACCUUGUUACUAUUGUUGAGGACAUUCCGAUAGCUACCGAUGGACGAGAACUUUGCCUAUUGGUCCGCCUCAUCUUAACGAGCAGGAAAAUGGUUCUCUUUGUCCCUCUCCCUUGGUACCAACGUUGUUGCCAACAUAACUGACAAGUUGUCCUCUGACCUGCCUUGCUAUCAUGACCAUGCAAAAUGCUAGCGCCCUUCCUGCUUUUAACCCACAAGGUGGGCCUGAGGGAGUCCUGGACUAGGCGGUGUCCGGACAGCCGGACUAUCAUCGUCCGCCGGACUCCAAGACUACGAAGAUACAAGAUUGAAGACUCCGUCCCGUGUCUGGAUGGGACUUUCCUUGGCGUGGAAGGCAAGCUUGGAAAUACGGAUAUGUAGAUCUCCUACCAUUGUAACCGACUCUGUGUAACCCUAGCCUCCUCCGGUGUCUAUAUAAACCGGAGGGCUUUAGUCCGUAGGACACAACAUACAUUACAACAAUCAUACCAUAGGCUAGCUUUAGGGUUUAGCCUCCUUGAUCUCGUGGUAGAUCCACUCUUGUACUACCCAUAUCAUCAAUAUUAAUCAAGCAGGAUGUAGGGUUUUACCUCCAUCGAGAGGGCCCGAACCUGGGUAAAACAUCGUGUCCCUCGUCUCCGGUUACCAUCCGCCUAGACGCACAGUUCGGGACCCCCUACCUGAGAUCCGCCGAUUUUGACACCGACAUUGGUGCUUUUAUUGAGAGUUCCUCUGUGUCGUCACCAAUAGGCUCGAUGGCAUCUUCAACCAACAACGCUGUCCAGGGUGAGACUUUUCUCCCCGGACAGAUCUUUGUAUUCGGCGGCUUCGCACUGCGGGCUAAUUCGUUUGGCCAUCGGAGCAGAUCGAAAGCUACGCCCCUGGCCGUCAGGUCAGAUUCGGAAGUCUCAACUUCACGGCCGACGUCCGCGGAGACUUGAUCUUCGACGGGCUCGAGCCACAGCCAAGCGCGCCGCACUGUUACGAUGGGCAUGAUCUAGCUCUGUCGCCGAACAGUGCCUUGGUGGCCGCCCACGAAUCCGCUUCGGCCUUUAGUCCGGGGCCGAUCGCCCAGACCGAGGAACGGUGGAUGGACACCGCCUCGGGGGCUUCAACUUCCACGGCGAUGGAGCCGAACACUAAUCUUGUCCCUCGCAAAACUCGUGAUUCCGAGGUGCCGGACUCCUUGCCGGACUCCGAAGCUCCCACGCCCCUACCAACCGAAUCGGAUUGGGCGCCGGUUAUGGAAUUCACCGCCGCGGACAUCUUCCAAUACUCGCCUUUUGGCGACAUCCUGAAUUCGCUAAAGCAUCUCUCGUUAUCAGGAGAGCCCUGGCCGGACUAUGGCCAGGAUGGUUGGGAUACGGACGACGAAGAAAUUCAGAGCCCACCCACCACCCACUUUGUAGCCACUGUCGACGAUCUAACCGACAUGCUAGACUACGACUCCGAAGACAUCAACGCUAUGGACGACAAUGCCAGAGACGAACAGGAACCAGCGCCUACAGGGCACUGGAAGACCACCUCGUCAUAUGACAUAUACAUGGUGGAUACCCCAAAAGACGGGGACGGCGAAGAAACAGCGGAGGCAUAUUCUUUAAAGAAACAGCCCAAGCGCCGGCAUCAGCGGCGCUGCUCUAAAUCCCGCCACGGCAAGAAUGGAGAUUCCAGCACAGGAGAUAAUAAUACCCCAGAAAGUGCCGAAGAUAACCCCCUCCAGCAAGACUCAGCGCAGGAGGAUGCAGAAGCAAGCCCUCACGAGAAGGCGGCAGACAAAGAGGUUGAGGAUUACAACUAUAUGCCUCCCUCCGAAGACGAGGCAAGCCUCAACGAUGACGAAUUCGUCGUGCCCGAGGAUCCCGUCGAACAAGAGCGUUUUAAACGCAGGCUUAUGACCACGGCAAAUAGCCUAAAGAAAAAGCAGCAGCAGCUUCAAGCUGAUCAGGACCUGCUGGCCGAUCGAUGGACCGAGGUCCUCGCGGCCGAAGAGUAUAAACUCGAAUGCCCCUCCAAAAGCUAUCCAGGACGCAAGCUGCUCCCCCGAUUAGAGGAGGAAGCAUACAUACCUCCAUCACCAGCGCACGAUACGGCUGACCGACCACCCCGUGGUCGUGACAGAGAGGCAUCCAGGCCCCCAACCAAGACCGUACCCCGGCAUCGCUCGAAAAGUAUGAAGCCAAGAGGGAACGCGCCGGACUUGCGAGAUAUAUUGGAGGACAAAGCAAGGCAAUCCAGAUCCAUCUACGGAUCACGGGGGUGCCCCACGACCCAUGACGAAUACCGUCGCGCCGGAUACAAUAACCCCGGCCGGGCCGAACACAGCAGACAACGCUCUCUCGAGUUGCAUCGUGAUAUUGCUCAAUAUAGAGGCGCCGCACACCCGCUAUGCUUCACAGACGAAGUAAUGGAUCAUCAAAUCCCUGAAGGGUUUAAACCCGUAAACAUCGAAUCCUACGAUGGCACAACAGACCCUGCGGUUUGGAUCGAAGAUUACCUUCUCCACAUCCAUAUGGCCCGCGGCGACGAUCUACAUACCAUCAAGUACCUCCCACUCAAGCUUAAAGGACCAGCUCGGCAUUGGCUCAACAGCUUGCUCGCAGAGUCAAUUGGGUGUUGGGAAGACCUAGAAGCCGCAUUCCUUGAUAACUUCCAGGGCACGUAUGUGCGACCACCAGACGCCGAUGACCUAAGUCACAUCAUUCAGCAGCCAGACGAAUCGGCCAGACAAUUCUGGACACGGUUCUUGACAAAGAAAAAUCAAAUCGUCGACUGUCCGGAUGCAGAGGCCCUUGCAGCCUUCAAACAUAACACCCGCGACGAAUGGCUAGCCCGGCACCUGGGGCGGGAAAAGCCGAAAUCCAUGGCAGCCCUCACAUCAUUAAUGACCCGCUUUUGCGUGGGAGAGGAUAGCUGGCUAGCUCGCAGCAACAAUCUCCGUAAAAAUUCUGGCAGUCCAGACACCAAGAACAAUAAUGGCAGGUCACGUCGAAACAAAAACAAACGCCGCAUCAACGGCAAUGAUAAGGAGGAUACGGCAGUCAACGCCGGAUUCCGAGGCUCUAAACCCGGUCAACGGAAGAAGCCAUUCAAAAGAACCACUCCGGGUCCGUCUAAUUUGGACCGAAUACUCGACCGCUUAUGCCAGAUACAUGGCACCCCUGAAAAGCCAGCUAAUCACACUAAUAGAGACUGCUGGGUGUUCAAGCAGGCAGGUAAGUUAAUUGCCGAAAACAAUGACAAGGGGCUAAACAGCGAGGACGAGGAGGAGACCCGACCGCCGAACAAUAGAGGACAAAAGGGUUUUCCCCCACAAGUGCGGACGGUGAACAUGAUCUACGCGACCCAUAUACCCAAUUGGGAGAGGAAGCGUGCACUAAGGGACGUCUAUGCGAUGGAGCCAGUCGCCCCGAAGUACAAUCCAUGGUCCUCUUGUCCGAUCACUUUCGAUCGAAGAGACCAUCCGACCAGCAUACGCCAUGGCGGAUUCGCCGCAUUGGUUCUAGACACAAUCGUCGAUGGAUUUCACCUCACGAGAGUCCUGAUGGACGGCGGUAGUAGCCUGAACCUGCUUUAUCAGGACACAGUGUGCAAAAUGGGCAUAGACCCCUCAAGGAUUAAACCUACAAAGACAACCUUUAACAGUGUCAUACCAGGUGUGGAAGCCAACUGUACAGGCUCAGUCACACUGGAAGUGGUCUUCGGAUCCCCGGACAAUUUCCGGAGCGAGGAGUUAAUCUUCGACAUAGUCCCGUUUCGCAGCGGCUAUCACGCUCUGCUCGGACGAAUCGCGUUCGCAAAAUUCAACGCGGUGCCGCAUUGUGCAUACCUCAAGCUCAAGAUGCCAGGCCCUCAUGGAGUCAUCACGGUCAAUGGGAAUACGGAACGCUCCCUCCGAACGGAGGAACAUACAGCGGCUCUCACGGCAGAAGUACAGAGCAGCCUUUUAAGGCAAUUCUCGAGUCCGGCCAUUAAACGGCCGGAUACAUCAAAGCGCGCCCGAAGCAAUACCAACCAAGACCACCUGGCGUGAUCAGAGCACGCGUAGCAAUGCGGCCCCAACCCCCGCCCGCGCGUGAUUGCAAGAAUAACCCUCCGCGUACAUCAUUACGCUUUGGAGAUACCAUGGGCGCAGGGGAAGGGGCACGAUCACAACGGACCCAGAGUGCAGUUCGACCGCACCAGGGGCUCGCAAGUGUGCCCCCUUUUUUUUAUUGUUAUUUUCCCUCUUUGUGUACACAGGACUCCGUUAGCCAGAGGCCCUAUCCGGCGGUGAACCUGCCGAACUCAUGAUGCAAUAACCAGGGAAGAAAGAACGCUGCGACGAACACUCAGGUGGUCUCAAUUACAAGCAUUAAAUUCGAUUAUAUACACCAAGUCCGCAGCUUACCCUUGGAGGGGGACAUGUUUAAUUAGUCCAAAUCCCUUGCUUACCACACUAUUUGUAUCAGUCCGCACUCAUAGCAGACUUUCUUUCAUAAAUAAUGCAGCACCUUUUUGACUGCAAUUACAUUACCUUUUAUAUAUAUAUGCUCAUUACAUGACAUCUUGCACCCGUAUAUUUUGGUACGGCCUAAUACACCAGGGGCUUAUGUUCCCCACAUUAUGGUGUGAUAAGUCCGAACACUUUCGUAAGUGCAGCACCCCGAACUUAUAGCACUAUAUGAAUCGGCUCCGAAUCAUGUCUUGGGUCAAUAGUUGGGUUUGCCCGGCUCCCACGUUUUGGUGCCUUACGUUCCGUUCUGUCGGCUAAGGUGGCACUGGGAGAACCACUGCGAUUGCGCCCCGGUUGAGCCGGGCGAGCACCUCAGUGGAGAAAGCUAAAACUGACCGGCAUGAUAAGGCGAGAGACUGGUCGCUGUUCGAGAGGUUUUUUCGGGUCCUUAAAGACUCACGCCACUUCGAGCGAAGUUCCGGACCAUGUCUGACGAAGGCGUGGAUAGCGCCCCGGAUUCGGCCUUUCGGAUACCAGGGGCUUCGCCGAAAUUUAAAAUUAUAGAAUUCUAUGGCUAAGUGAGAGUGUUCAAGCAUUAUAAGUCCGGUCGCCUUGUUCGUUGUGUUGAGCACCUCCCUAGAUGGACCCAAAAAUGGGAAUAAGAGUGCUCAAGUUUAUCCCGAACACCCCAGCACUCGUGGCUCGGGGGCUGAAGCCAAUGACUUUCCAUCUCUCAGAUUUUAUAAACGGCCGCACAGAAGGUAAUAUUUUAAAUUAAAACAAGCGUUGCUCAUGGCGCAUCUGAACGAAGUUUUCAGCGCACAGGAUAAUACAUAGCGAGUUCACUCAAAGAUUACAUUUCUAGGGCACUCAUCCGCAAUAUCGCGGGCUCCCUUCAGGACAGUUUUAUAAUACAUUUCAGGCGUGCGAUACUCCUUGCCCGGCGGCGGUGGGUCUGUGAGAAGCUUCUCCGCAUCCAACCUGCCCCAAUGCACCUUUGUGCGGGCAAGGGCCCGACGAGCACCUUCAAUACAGGCGGAGCGCUUGAUGACCUCCACCCAGGGGCAUGCAUCCACCAGCCGCCGCACGAGGCCGAAGUAGCUACCAAGCAUGACCUGUUCAGGCCACAGCCGGACUAUAAGGCCCUUCAUGGCCUCUUCAGCUACCUUGUGGAGUUCGACCAGCUGCUUCAGCUGGUCGCUUGGGGGCACCGGAUGGCCUGCCUCAGCGUACUAAGACCAGAAGACCUUCUCCGUUGAGCUCCCCUCCUCGCCACGAUAGAAUGCGGCGGCAUCGGAGGCACUACACGGCAGAUCUGCAAACACCCCUGGAGAGCUCCGAAUGCGGGUAAUUGUCAGGUAGUUUACAUUAACAUGCUUGCUUUGCAUGAAAAAUGCCUUACCCGCCGCUAUCUUCUUUACAUCUUCAACCUCCUGAAGGGCCUUACGGGCCUCGGCCUUGGCGGACUUGGCACUUUCGAGAGCCGAGGCAAGCUCGGACUCUCGAGUCUUGGAGCCUCCUGCUUUUCUCGCUCCGCCCGUUCCGCGACCGCACUGCGUUCAGCCGCGGACACAGCCUCCUUCAGGGCUGCCACCUCGUUCGUGGCCCCUGCAAUACCCAUAUUAUCCUUGUUAAUUUUAUUGCAACCAAAAUCCUUUUCCGUAAGGUGACUAUUCAAAGCGGUGUUACUCACCUUCUUUGUCCUCGAGCUGCUUCUUGGCAGUGCCGAGCUCUUGCUCGGACCGCUCGAGAUCCUGCUUCAACACAUCGACCUCCGCCGUCAGUGCGGCAGAGGUCAGUAGCGCAGCCUGCAAACCCAUAUUGACAUAUUUUAAGCAACCCUGCGUAUAUCUUGUUAGAUCCUCAGUCCGGCUUUUCUUUCCGAACACCGAACUGAGCAUCAAGGGCUACUGUCUAUGCGGUAUUACAUUACAUAAUUUUAACUUCUUACCUCAAAGCCUGUUAGAAGGCUGCUGCAGGCUUCGGUCAGCCCGCUCUUGGCGAGCUAAACCUUUUGAAUCACCGCACUCAUGUUAGUGCGAUGUUUUUCCUCGAUGGAAGCGCCUUCAAGCGCCUCCAACAAGUUAUCCGGCGCCUCCGGUUGGACGGAGGUCGCCGGUGUCAAGGUCUUGCCCUUCUUUCGAAGGGGCCGCCCGCCGGACUCUAGAACCACUGCGGGUUCCGAUGUAGAGUCCGGCACAAAGUCUGGGAGGCAGCCUGACGACGCCUCCGGAGCCUCCUCCUGAUGGGUCCCUCUCUGGGAUCCCACCUCGGCGUCCCCGUCGGCGCGGGGGGUAGAGGCGGUCGGAAGUGAAUCCACAUCUAACGGGGCCAACGACCCGCUCGAUGAAGCGGGGAGAUCAUCAUCGGCCGGACUACGGACAGAACGCGGCAUUAGAAGGACACUACGCGACACGAAAGAAAUUGCAUAUCAUGGAUCCGGAUACUUACGAUCUUGUCGGACGCCUGGCCCUUGGAGGCCACUCAUCCUCGCCAACGGUGGUGUUGGCGAAACUGUCCGGGGGGAUAGUCCUCCCCCUCUUGGACCCUUCGGCCUCCCCUAUUGGGAAAGCCUUCCACUUCUUCUCUCCCUCCUCCGAGAGAGAGUCCUCUUCCUCCUCCUCGUCUUUGGGGGAGGAGUCCGCCUCGUCGUCGGACGCCUAAUUGCGGGAACUCUUUCGAGUCCCCGCGGCCACCUUCUUGGCCUUCUUCUCCGGCACCACGUGCGGUGCCGGAACCAGCAGCCCUGCUAAACGGGCGUUCUCUGGGUCUUCAGGCAUGGGAGCCGGGCUGAUGAGCUGCUUGGCCUUCUCCAUCCAUUCCUAUCAAAGGAAAAGAGAGAUUGAAACCCUCUUAGAAUCAGUUUAAUUACCACAAGUGUCCCGUAACGUGGUUGAAUCACUUACCUCGUCAGCCGGAUGCUGCGAGCGAAAUCCGUGAUCUUCCGUCGCGGAUGCGGGGGCUUCGGCGCCCUUAAACAGCACCCUCCAGGCGCCUUCGUAUGUCGUAUCGAAGAGCCCGCUCAGCGCCUGGUGCUGUUCCGGAUUGAACUCCCACAGAUUGAAUACCCGUUCUUGGCAUGGGAGAAUCCGGCGGAUGAGCAUGACUUGGACCACGUCGACGAGCCUGAGCUUAUUGCUCACCAGCUUCUGGAUGCAGGCUCGGAGUCCCGUCACCUCCUUCGGAUUUCCCCACAGCAAGCCCUUCUCUUUCCAGGAGGUGAACUGCGUGGGGACGCCAGAUCUAAACUCGGGGGCCGCCGCCCAUGUGGGCUUGCGCAGCUCGGUGAUGUAGAACCAACCCGAUUGCCACCCCUUGACGGAGUCCACGAAGGCCCCUUCGAGCCAAAGGACGUUGGGCAACUUACCCAACAUGGCGCCUCCGCAUUCCGCUUGCGUGCCCUUCACAACCUUCGGCCUCCCCUAUUGGGGAAGCCUUCCUCUUCUUCUCUCCCUCCUCCGGGAGAGAGUCCUCUUCCUCCUCCUCGUCUUCGGGGGAGGAGUCCGCCUCGUCGUCAGACGCCUGAUUGCGGGAACUCUUUCGAGUCCCCGCGGCCACCUUCUUGGACUUCUUCUCCGGCACCACGUGCGGUGCCGGAACCAGCAGCCCUGCUAAACGGGCGUUCUCUGGGUCUUCAGGCAUGGGAGCCGGGCUGAUGAGCUGCUUGGCCUUCUCCAUCCAUUCCUGUCAAAGGAAAAGAGAGAUUGAAACCCUCUUAGAAUCAGUUUAAUUACCACAAGUGUCCCAUAACGGGGUUGAAUCACUUACCUCGUCAACCGGAUGCUGCGAGCGAAAUCCGUGAUCUUCCGUCGCGGAUGCGGGUGCUUCGGCGCCCUUAAACAGCACCCUCCAGGCGCCUUCGUAUGUCGUAUCGAAGAGCCCGCUCAGCGCCUGGUGCUGUUCCGGAUUGAACUCCCACAGAUUGAAUGCCCGUUCUUGGCAUGGGAGAAUCCGGCGGAUGAGCAUGACUUGGACCACGUCGACGAGCCUGAGCUUAUUGCUCACCAGCUUCUGGAUGCAGGCUCGGAGUCCCGUCACCUCCUUCGGAUUGCCCCACAGCAAGCCCUUCUCUUUCCAGGAGGUGAACUGCGUGGGGACGCCAGAUCUAAACUCGGGGGCCGCCGCCCAUGUGGGCUUGCGCAGCUCGGUGAUGUAGAACCAACCCGAUUGCCACCCCUUGACGGAGUCCACGAAGGCCCCUUCGAGCCAAAGGACGUUGGGCAACUUACCCAACAUGGCGCCUCCGCAUUCCGCUUGCGUGCCCUUCACAACCUUCGGCUUGACGUUGAAGGUCUUGAGCCACAGGCCGAAGUGGGGCCGGAUGCAGAGGAAGGCCUUGCACACGACGAUAAACGCCGAGAUGUUGAGGAUGAAGUUCGGCGCCAGAUCGUGGAAAUCCAGGCCGUAGUAAAACAUGAUCCCCCGGACGAAUGGGUGGAGUGGAAAGCCCAGUCCGCGGAGGAAGUGGGGAAGGAAGACGACCCUCUCAUGGGGCCCAGGGGUAGGGAUGAGCUGCCCCUCGUCGGGCAGCCGAUGCGCGAUAUCGCCGGAAAGGUAUCCGGCGCUGCGAAGCUUGGUGAUAUGCUCCUCCUUAACGGUGGAGUCCAACCAUUUGCCUCCCGCUCCGGACAUAUUCGGAGAAGGUCGGGGCGAGAUGCGCGAGCUUGGGCGUUGGAGCUUGAGUGCACGGAGAUGGAUAAGCAAAGGAGGAAGAAGGCGUAGGUGAGAAGGUAAAUCCUUAUCCCUUAUAUAUAGGCGGACGAAAACUAUGCGUCCCCACCGGCCUGAUAAAACUCGCUUAUCUCCCAAGCGCCACCAUCAAUGGCGCGGUUGGGUUACCCACGUCCGUAUUGAUGGGAAUCCCGGAAUAAGGGGAACACAAUCUCUGCUUCGACAAGACGUGCCAAGGAAACCGCUUCGCUAAACGUGCUGAGGUGGUAUAGUAAAAAACGAUUCAAACAAAGGCUUGGUAGCGGUGUGAUGUCACGCCGCAUAAUACGUCAGCAGAUUGGACUGGUGUACAUUUUAUUCUCUCUACGGUGGAAUGUGGAAUUUAUUUUGCAGAGCCGGACACUAUCCUGGUGUUCAUGAUCUUCUCUGGAUUAUUCAAGGGAGGAACCCGCCUUGCAAUGCCGAACAUUAUGCGCGCCGGACUUAUCGUCAUUGAAGCCUGGUUCAGGGGCUACUGAGGGAGUCCUGGACUAGGGGGUGUCCGGACAGCCGGACUAUCAUCGUCCGCCGGACUCCAAGACUACGAAGAUACAAGAUUGAAGACUCCGUCCCGUGUCCAGAUGAGAUUUUCCUUGGCGUGGAAGGCAAGCUUGGCAAUACGGAUAUGUAGAUCUCCUACCAUUGUAACCGACUCUGUGUAACCCUAGCCUCCUCCGGUGUCUAUAUAAACCGGAGGGCUUUAGUCCGUAGGACACAACAUACAUUACAACAAUCAUACCAUAGGCUAGCUUUAGGGUUUAGCCUCCUUGAUCUCGUGGUAGAUCCACUCUUGUACUACCCAUAUCAUCAAUAUUAAUCAAGCAGGACGUAGGGUUUUACCUCCAUCGAGAGGGCCCGAACCUAGGUAAAACAUCGUGUCCCUCGUCUCCUGUUACCAUCCGCCUAGAUGCACAGUUCGGGACCCCCUACCCGAGAUCCGCCGGUUUUGACACCGACAGGGCCCAUAACCCACAGUUCCACAGGAUCGAAACCUGACUCAUGUACAUCCCUGUUUUUCAAAGUUGUUCCUCGCGCUUGGAUUCGUAUGUAAUUCACGAGCCACCUUCCUUGUGAUCUGUUCUGGUAUCAGAUGCAAUACUUAUUCCCAUUGCUCUAAACCCCUUUCACCUUCUUACCUUGCUCUCGAUGACUAUCCUGAAUUCCAACUCAAGAGAUGCCUCUAUGCCAUGUUGAGGUACCUAUCUUGUGUUGAGCUCCAUCCCUCCCGAGUCUUUCCCCCUUACUCACCCCUUAAAUCUCGAGACGAUAUUUCUUGUAGUGGAGGAGAAUUGUGACGCCCAAAUAAUUAAGCUACAGUAAUCCCCUUUUAAUGGUUCCAUGUCAUCACAUUACUAUUGCUAAUCCUCGCUUGAUCCAAAUCUUAGUUCAAACUAAUAUUCAAAUUAAAGACCAAAAUUCAAAUUUCUCAAGCAUGCAUAAUAAAAUGUUCAAAGUGUGGCAAAUAAUCCCUGGAUAUUUGUCAUGUUGGAAACAACCUCCUUAGAAUUUUCAAAAUGCCCCUGGGAGUUAAUUUUUGGUCAAGUAGUAAAUUAAAUGGCAUUUGCAAAACAAAUAAUUAUUUAUUUAACUCCAAUUGCCUCCUGUCGUGGGAAACGAACACCUAUGGGGCAGGGCCCCUUUUCGGUCUGGCAAGGGAGCGGAGGGCACACGAAGAGCAGAUCGAGGCGAAGCACGCGGGGGAAUUUUACCCAGCUUCGGAGCUCUCCGGAGAGAUAAAACUCCUACUGCUGCUUUGUGUUUCUAUUCUGUUCUUGCUCAAGAGUGUGGGUGUGUUGUAGUUUCGAAUGAGUCGAACCCCUUCUACGUGCGCAUGGGCCUCCUUUUUAUAGUCUAAAGGGGUCACCGACAGGUGGCAGCAUAGAGAGAGGGGUAAAAAAGUAAAAACGCGGGUUGGUACAACCGCUAUCAACAGUGCCCCCUACCUAACUCUGACAGCAGGGGACAAGGGCAUUUAAUGCCCAUCCGGUCGCCCAAACAGUGCAGGAAGUGACCGUUAGGGGCGCCACCAAUCGCCACGAUGGCCUCCUAGUCAUCUUCACUUGCCACCUCGCACCGCUUGGCUGCACAGCUACCCGCCACGUGCACCGGGAGCGAUCCUGCGGCGACACGUCAUCGGAUGCGCUGGAGCAUGGGCGCAGAGUUGUGGCUUUGCCGCGGCAAGCGCCUUGCCGCGGUCACUAUCUUGUUGCACCCGCAAGCUUGCCGCUCGCCGGGUCUUGGUUGGCCUUCCCGGCAAGAUCCUCCUGCCGGGGUCUUGUCCUUCCCGGCAAGCUUCUCUUGCCGGGGCUUCGUCUUCACAGUUAACACUUUGUUCUUGAAUGGCAGUAAAUAGGAAUGACGAAGGAUCUUGGCGGACGCCCGGCAAGCCUUGCCGCAGGACGCUGCGCCUGCCCGUGCACAAGUUCGGGGUACUAAGGUACCCCUACUUUAGUACACCGACUGGAGCCCCCGGGCCUGGGCCAUACACGGUGCUGAGCGCUGUUGGGCCAGGCCCAAAACAGGACACGGGCACGCGCGGCCUGGGUCCUAACUAAAUCCACUCCGUAUCCACCGCGUCCUCCCGUAACGGCACGCGUCAAUCGCGGCGUCGUGGGAGAGAUCGUGGGUGGAAGACGUUCGCGCGUAUCCACAGCCUGAUGGAGGGGUUUACCCUCCAUUUUAAGUUAAUGGAGGGCGAUCUCCUCUCCGUCAAGGUCUUCGGGUGCUUCGACACUCGGGCGAAGUGCUGCGUGGACAGCUCCUCCGAUAGCAAAGGCUCCCCCUCGAGCGAGAGCGACAAGGAGGAGAGCAACAGCGAUGAUGAGGGUAGCGGGCGGCGGGAUGGCGGGCCCGACUAGGUGUCGGGCGCCGCUUCGUGCGUCACCGGUGACCCCAUCAUCCGUGUCGCCGGCUCCUUGAACUCCCCGGGGUCGUCUCCUUGGGCGGCUGGCGUAGGGAGGCUGCGGAAGGGGAAGAGGGCUGGCGACAAGGCCGUCAAAUCGGAGUACGAGGGCGUAGUGCCCUCGACAGCGUGCUGACGUCCUGCCGCCCCAUCUUCGAGCCCCGCUUCCAGCGCCGCCAUCACCGUCCGGCCUUCGGACGGCCCCCGGGAUGUUCUCUUGGUGUCUUCGCCUAGGCGCCUCUUUUGCCCUUUUCGCCUCCUUGACCUACAUCCUGAAGAGAGGGACAGGAAAGGGAUUACGGGCAUCUUAUCUUUUUAAUUUGUAAGCCUUCGGGCCCUAGUCGCAUCUAAAACUUGUAACCCUCUCUUUCAUGUUUUUCAUCCUCUAUGGACUGUACCUGAGUGUGAUGUUUUUUUAAUGAAAAAGGGAUGCUUGCCGGGUUAUUUGUCUCAUGGGUUGAACCCACGCCAAGGAGCAAAUCCUUGGUAUCCCUCGGACAGGCAUUUCAUCUCCCGCCAACAGGCCCUGCCGCCUUCCCACGUCGCUCGACCUUUCUCACGCCUUUGACGGAGGCGGGAACGAGGUGGGUGCGGCCUCCUCAUUUCAUCCCUUUGCUGCUGUGACUACGACCAAACUUGGCCCCGGGAACGAGCCCCAGGGCCUAGAGUUGAGGGAGCACGGCAGUUUUCGGGAAGAAACGCGGUUUCGCAUUCCCCAGUCCAUAAGAGGAUGCAUGAUGAGGGACGAAAGACUUAUCUGAUAUCGCAGCCCCCGGCAACUCUGGCUUGCCGUGGAUGAAUCUUGGUACUCGCAGCCCCCAGCAACACUGGCUUGCCGGGGCCCAGGUGCCGGCGCGCCCUUCUUCUCCUUUCCUUGUCGCUGUUAUUUCAGUUAUGAGAACAAUUUAGUCAGUGCCGCAAUAAGUUACUCUUGUAAUAUAACUUUAUUCUGGGCAAUGCUUGUUAUGUUACAUCCUUUAUUUGAUUCCAUUCCUUGUAUGUUUGUACCCUUACGCUUUUACGGAACUUGCCGGUGCAAACACGCUUGCCACGAGCGCUGAGUGCAAAACAUCAGCAGCCUUCUAGCGGUGUUGCCUCCGGCAAGAAACCUUGUCGGGGCUAGUCGCAGCACACUUUCAUUGUUGAGCGGACUCAAAACAAAGUAAGGGUGCAACUUAACCACGAGCCGGUUCCUCUGCGCACAGGUUUUCCAUACAAGGCAUGGUCGUUCAAGGAAUAUAACUUAAAAAUUUAAAACUGACUGUGCUUAAACUUCGGCAACUUAGCUUUUUUGUUGUUUGUGUCCNNNNNNNNNNNNNNNNNNNNNNNNNNNNNNNNNNNNNNNNNNNNNNNNNNNNNNNNNNNNNNNNNNNNNNNNNNNNNNNNNNNNNNNNNNNNNNNNNNNNNNNNNNNNNNNNNNNNNNNNNNNNNNNNNNNNNNNNNNNNNNNNNNNNNNNNNNNNNNNNNNNNNNNNNNNNNNNNNNNNNNNNNNNNNNNNNNNNNNNNNNNNNNNNNNNNNNNNNNNNNNNNNNNNNNNNNNNNNNNNNNNNNNNNNNNNNNNNNNNNNNNNNNNNNNNNNNNNNNNNNNNNNNNNNNNNNNNNNNNUGUGGGCGCAGGAAUCUUCUCUUUGAGAAAAAGGAAGAAGAGAAAAUAAAGUUAUGGAGCCUUAAGGCUUGUUAUUGCUUACCGGGGGCAAGUUCUGCACAAAGUGUCAGUGUAUACAUGCUAAAAAGAAAAAGGCAUGAAUUUUGACAAUAUGUACUAAACAUAUGAUCUUUAUUUAUGCACGGGAUCUGCGCCCGGCUUUGUACAAAGGGUUACAUGCAACAACGGCAAGGCUUGUACAAAAGGUGGUUGCCAGGACAGCAGGUUCCGGCAACCGCGCCUUAUGGGUAAAACUUACGAAGAUGAUCUAUGUUCUAGGAGUUGCUCACCGGAAUGCCAUCUUCGGUCUCAAGGCGGACAGCGCCAGGCCUAGUGACUCGCUUUACCCGAUAAGGGCCUUCCCACUUCGGCGUCAACUUGUUGGAAUUCUUGGCAGAUUGAACGCGCCGAAGAACAAGGUCACCUUCCUCGAAGCUUCUGGCAUUAACUUCGCGGCUAUGGUAGCGGCGCAAAGCUUGCUGGUAGCGAGCAGCUCGUACAGCAGCCUGAAGACGAUCCUCCUCGAGGAGCAGCGCGUCAUCUUGCCGCAGCUGCUCUUGCUCAAGCUCAUCAUAAGCGAGCACUCGAGGCGAUCCGUAUACGAGUUCUGUGGGGAGAACUGCCUCUGCUCCAUAGACAAGAGCAAAAGGUGUCUGGCCAGUGGCUCGAUUUGGCGUCGUCCUGAUCGACCAAAGAACCACCUGUAGCUCCUCGAUCCAAUUUCUUCCGCACUUGUGCAGCCUGUCGAAAGUUCUGGUCUUGAGCCCACGCAGCACUUCAGCGUUUGCCCUCUCCGCUUGACCGUUGCUUCUCGGGUGAGCAACAGAAGCGAAGCAGAUCUUGGCGCCAAGAUCUUGGACGUACUGCAUGAAGGUGCAGCUCGUGAAUUGUGUGUUGUUGUCGGUGAUGAUCCUAUUAGGGACUCCGGAACGGCAAACAAUUGACCUGAAGAACUUGACUGUUGACUGUGCUGUCACCUUCCUCACUGGCUCCACCUCCGGCCACUUCGUGAACUUGUCGAUGGCCACGUACAAGUACUCGAAGCCCCCGACAGCUCGGGGAAAAGGGCCAAGGAUAUCAAGCCCCCAGACUGAAAAUGGCCAGGAUAAAGGGAUUGUUUGGAGAGCUUGAGCUGGUUGAUGAAUCUGUUUGGAGUGGAACUGGCACGCUUCACACUUGGUUACUUGUGCAGUCGCAUCCUGGAGGGCUGUUGGCCAAAAGCAACCUUGCCGGAAGGCUUUACUGGCAAGUGCUCUUGCGCCAAUGUGGUGGCCACAUAUGCCUCCAUGUAUCUCCGCCAACAGCUCUUGUCCUUCUUCCCGGGAAAUGCACUUCAAUUUCACUCCGUUGAAUCUUCUUCUGUACAGUAUGUCAUCGACAAACUGAUACAUACUUGAUUGUCGGGCUACUUUCUCUGCUUCUUCUUGCUCUUCGGGAAGUUCUCCUGUUUGAAGGAAAUGGACGAUCUGCUGUGCCCAUGCCGGAGCUUGUGGCUCGACGACAAGGACUAAAGGCGCAAAUGCUGCUGCGGGAACAUCCGCUUCUACGGCAAGAAUAUGAGAUCCUGCCGGAGCGUGAUGCUCCCCGGCAAGCGUGCCGGGGCACAGCUUGUCGGGAGCGUCUGCUUCAACGAAACAAACCCUAGGGCUUGUCGGAGCAGACUGCUCCUCAGCACUUUCUAUGUUGAUCCUGGGGACCUUCUUGGCGGCGGCUUCGGGGAGCUCUGCCGGAAAGUAGUCGCCAGUAACCAACUUUCUCUUCUUGCUCUGUCCAGUUGAUGGUGUUACAGAUGGCUGAGUCAGCUUGAGCACAAAAAUACCUGGUUCCACAGGUAACUUGAGUGCGGUGCACUUUGACAGGCCGUCUGCAAUGUCAUUCUGAGCUCUUGGAACAUGUUCCAUCUGCAGGCCGUCAAAAUGCUCUUCCAGCUUCCUCACUUCAUCAAUGUAGGCCUCCAUCAGCGGACUCUGAUAAUCUGUGUUAACUUGGCGGACGACAAGCUGUGAGUCACCCCUGACAAUAAGCUUCUUGAUCCCAAGUUCUGUCGUGAUCCUGAGUCCGGCAAGCAGGCCCUCAUAUUCUGCAGUAUUGUUUGUUGCUUGCUCCUUGGGAAAGUGCAUUUGGAUCAUGUACUUGAGGUGCUCUCCGGUGGGUGCGACAAGUAACACACCCGCACCGGCGCCUUGCAGCGAGAAAGCACCAUCAAAGUACAUGAUCCAUUCCCUGUUUGCUUCCUUGACGGGGAUCCUCGUCUCCGGAGUUUCUUCAUCUGGUGUUGGCGUCCACUCCACUAUGAAUUCUGCCAAUGCUCGGCUCUGGAUAGUUGAAGUACUUUCAAACUUGAGGCCAAAGCUUGACAGUUCCAGUGCCCACUCGACAAUCCUGCCUGUUGCUUCUGGAUUUUGCAAUAUCCUCUUCAACGGAAAGCGAGUGACAACUGUGAUCUGAUGUGCUUGAAAAUAAUGGCGCAGCUUCCUCGAGGCCAUGAGAAGGCCGAAAAGCAACUUUUGCACUCCAGAGUAUCUUGAUCUAGCCACCUGCAGAAGGGAGCUGACAAAAUAAACUGGGUGCUGCACCAUCUUCUUUUGUUUCUCUGCCUGCGGCUGCACAGACUCAUCCUUGUCGGGACCAGAGCUUGACGGAGAAGCCCCCUGCUUGUCGCUGGACUCGCUUGCCGCGGCCGCUGGCUCAUCAUCUGCCUCCCUCUCUGCUACUAACGCAGCACUAACCACUUGAUUGGUUGCUGCUAGAUACAGCAGCAACUUCUCUUGCGGCUUAGGUGCGACAAGUACUGGAGUGGAGGAUAGGUAUCUCUUCAAGUCCUGUAGCGCAGCCUCCGCUUCUGGAGUCCAUUUCAUUGGACCUGCCUUUUUCAAAAUUUUGAAAAACGGCAGGGCGCGCUCAGCAGACUUAGAGAUGAACCUACUGAGAGCAGCAACGCAGCCGGCAAGCCUUCGCACAUCCUUGAGGCGCUUCGGGGCUUCAAUCUGCUCGAUGGCCUUGAUCUUGUCGGGGUUGGCUUCGAUCCCCCUCUGGGACACGAAGAACCCGAGAAGCUUGCCGGAAGGAACUCCAAACACGCACUUCUCAGGGUUCAACUUGAGAUUGAUCUUGCGCAGAUUUGCAAAAGUCUCAUCCAAAUCUUGGAUCAAAGUUUCUCUAUCUUUGCUCUUGACCACUAUAUCAUCCAUGUAUGCUUCUACAUUCCUGUGCAGCUGUGGCUCAAAAGCAUGACUGACUAGUCUUGCAAACGUUGAACCAGCAUUCUUUAGUCUGAAAGGCAUUCAUACAAAGCAGUACGUGCCACAUGGAGUAAUGAAUGCGGUGUUCUCUUCAUCCUCUUUUGCCAUGAAAAUCUGAUGGUAUCCUGAGUAUGCAUCAAGAAAUGAAAGCAGAUCACAUCCUGCCGUGGAGUCGACAAUCCGGUCAAUGCGCGGCAAGGGAAAUGGAUCUUUGGGACAAGCUUUAUUAACAUCCGUGAAGUCAAUACAAAGCCUCCACUUCCCAUUCACCUUGCGCACAAUUACUGGAUUGGCUAACCACGUUGGAUGGAGUACUCCUCGGACGAGGCCUGUUGCUUCCAACUUCUUGAUCUCUUCUGCUAUGAACUCUUGGCGUUCCGCCGCUUGCUUCUUGACUCUCUACUUGACGGGCCGCGCGUGAGGACAGACGGCAAGGUGGUGCUCAAUUACUUUCCUGGGAACACCGGGGAUGUCAGAUGGUUGCCAUGCAAACACAUUGACAUUCGCCCGCAGGAAAGCAACGAGCGCGCUUUCCUAUUUAGGGUCAAGCGUGGCACUGAUGGUGAAGGUACCACUAGUGCCGUCCUCCUUGGCGGCCACUUUCUUGGUAUCAGGUGUCGCUAUCUUUGCCCUCUUGCACUUGCCGGUGGAGCUCGAUGGUGCGUCCUCGACGGUAGCACAGCACUCCGAAGAGGUGCGCUUGCCGGAGUGGGCAUCAGAGCUACUCUUGCCGGACUUGGUCUUCUUCUUCUUCCCCCCGGGAGCUUCAGCGGCAAGUGGUUUGUGCUCUGCUGCGGCUGCUGCUUCCUGGUAGAUCUUGUCGGUGCAGAUAAGCGCAUCCUUCUUGUCGCCUUGGACAGAAAUGACGCUUAUCGGACCGGGCAUCUUGACCACGUUGUAAGCAUAAUGAGAGGCUGCCAUGAACUUGGAAAGCGCUGGACGGCCGAGUAUCCCAUUGUAGGGCAACGGGAAAUCAGCAACAUCAAAUGUGACUCUCUCUGUCCUGAAGUUCAGUUUGCUGCCAAAUGUCACUGGUAGUGUAAUCUUCCCCUUGGGCUUGCUCCUUCCCGGGUUGAUUCCUUGAAAGGUACCAGUUUCUUCGAGCUCGCUGUCGGGGAUCUGGAGCUUGUUGAGCACCGCGGAAGAGAUCAGAUUUAGGCCGGCCCCACCGUCAACCAACAUCUUCGUGACCUUGAGGUUGCGGAUGGUUGGCGAAACCAACAUCGGCAAGCACCCGACCGCAGUGAUGCGAUCAGGGUGAUCCUCAACAUCAAAGACGAUGGGCGUACUGGACCACUUCAGGGGCUUGCGCGAUUCGACUGAUGGUUCAGCUGCAUUUACCUCCCGCACCCACUGCUUGAGUUGGCGGUGCGAGGUGUGCAGAGAAGCACCGCCGUCAACGCACAAAACCUCUGUUGCCUUCUGAAACUCUUGCUCGUCGGUCUCAUCCUCGUCCAUCUCAUCAUCCUCAUCUUCAUCUUCGUCCUUGUCACGGCCACGGGGAGGUCUGUCUCCUUGCCGCUGCUUGGCCUUGCCGCGGCGCCCUCCCCGGGCGGGACGCUUCUUGCCGGAUCCUCCGCCACCUUCCUGGGCCUUCUCCUUGUCGCGACGCUCGUAUUCAGCUUUCUGUAGUUCUGCCAUUUGCUCAACCUUCUUGCAUGCUUGGAGGUCAUGGCCCUUGGUGCGAUGGAUCUUGCAGUACUGCUUGCCGGAACAAUCCUGCUUGUCGGCGGCCACCACAGCCUCGCCGGAGUCACCAGCUUUGGCCUUGUCGGCGCCGCCUCCGUUGCCGGACUGCUCAACAACUAGCACAUCCUUAGCCUUUCUCUUUCUAUUAUUCCGCCUCCGGUUCUUCUUUGCCGGAGGGACGUCCUCAUUGUCCGAUCCUUCUGCUCCUGCAUUCUCUCCGGGAAGUUUCCUCCCCUCUUCAGCUCGUGCACACUUGUCAGCCAGAGCAUAUAGCUCGCUGACAUCUCUAAUCUUGCACAUCGCCAUCUCCUCCCUCAUCCUGCGGUUACGCACGUUCUGAUGGAAUGCGCUGAUAACCGCGGCAGGGUGGACGUCUGGGAUGUUGCGCUGCACCUGGCUGAAUCUCUGUAUGUACUUGCGCAGGGGUUCUCCUUCUUUCUGGGCGAGCAGAUGAAGAUUGCUCUCCUGACCAUGGGGUUUGUGGCCGCCUGUGAAGGCGCCGACAAACUGAUGGCACAGGUCCGCCCACGAAGAGAUGGAGUUGUCCGGCAAGUGCAUGAGCCAAGAUCUGACGUUGGGCUUGAGCACCAGCGGGAAGUAGUUGGCGAGGAUCUUCUCGUCGCGCCCCCCGGCAGCCUGCACCGCGAUGGUGUAGACGCUGAGGAACUCUGAUGGAUGUAUCCUGCCAUCGUACUUCUCGGGUAUGUCCGGCUUGAAGUUCUUGGUACUGGGCCACUGGACUUGCCGCAGCUCACGGGUGAACGCAGGGUAACCUGCCGCGUACGGCAAGUCGCCUGGUUCCCCUGGCGCAUGCAUAUCGACAGUGGGCCCAGCGCACUGGUCAGAUUAAUGUCGCGCUUCUCUUCUGCGCUCGAUGCGAGUACGAGCGUCUCUGUGUCGUCGUUCUUGGAGAACUUGGCGUUGAUCGCGGCGAGCUCGCGGGUCCGACGACGCGGUGGAGUCGGUGUCGAGGUUGGAACGGCGAGUUGGCGAUCAUGGCCUUCGGGGCGGGGAGUGCACGGUGGUGGCACCCCCAGCGGUCUUGUCGGUGUCGGCUUGCGCCCGGGCGUCUUGCCGGGGCUUUCGAUGUGCUCGGUUGCCGGGGCUUGUCGCCGUUGGCGAAGCCGAUGAGGCUUUGGAUGGUGAUCCUCCAGUCGUCGAUCUUGUCUGGCGCUGGAGGGUAAUCUAGAAGCAGCUGGGCUCGGGCCAGCGCUUCCUCUGGAGUCUUGGGCGGCGGUGGCGAGCGACGCGAGGUGCGGGAUAUGCUCAAACUUCUAACAGUGUUAGAAGGAGCAACAUCUCGCCCAGGCGACCGUACUUCGCUCGUGCCAGCGUGUUGACGUGUAUGUUGGCCUUGAGCGUCCCGCGAUCCGCCGGCUUGGCCUUGUUCCAACACGAGCACGGUGCUAGGAGUACCGUGGCAUUGCCGAUCUUGCACCUCCUGGGAGGGGUACGGUGGAUGUACAGACGCUGAAGCUUGCGGGGCCUUGUCCUCGGACCUGGUGACGAUGUGAGUCCCCCCGUCGGCGCCCGCUCCUCCGCCGGCGUCCACCCCACCACCCGUUUGCUCCGGUGGCGGUAGGAUAGUCGCAAACGGAGUGGCCACCUCCGAAGCCUUCUUCUUCGGUGGCAUGUCGAUGAAGAUGUUGAUGUAGCGCGCAGAUGCCGGAUCAGGUACGCACAACCUCGACGCCCACCUACCUGGCGCGCCAAAGAUGUCGUGGGAAACGAACACCUAUGGGGCAGGGCCCCUUUUCGGUCCAGCAAGGGAGCGGAGGGCGCACGAAGAGCAGAUCGAGGCGGAGCACGCGGGGGAAUUUUACCCAGCUUCGGAGCUCUCCGGAGAGAUAAAACUCCUACUGCUGCUUUGUGUUUCUAUUCUGUUCUUGCUCAAGAGCGUGGGUGUGUUGUAGUUUUGAAUGUGUCGAACCCCUUCUACGUGUGCAUGGGCCUCCUUUUUAUAGUCUAAAGGGGUCAGCGACAGGUGGCAGCGUAGAGAGAGGGGUAAAAAAGUAAAAACGCGGGUUGGUACAACCGCUAUCAACAGUGGCCCCUACCUAACUCUGACGGCAGGGGACAAGGGCAUUUAAUGCCCGUCCGGUCGCCCAAACAGUGCAGGAAGCGACCGUUAGGGGCGCCACCGAUCGCCAUGAUGGCCUCCUAGUCAUCUUCACUUGCCACCUCGCACCGCUUGGCUGCACAGCUACCCGCCACGUGCACCGGGAGCGAUCCUGCGGCGACACGUCGUCGGAUGCGCUGGAGCGUGGGCGCAGAGUUGUGGCUUCGCUGUAGCAAGCGCCUUGCCGCGGUCACUAUCUUGUCGCACCCGCAAGCUUGCCGCUCGCCGGGUCUUGGUUGGCCUUCCCGGCAAGCUCCUCUUGCCGGGGUCUUGUCCUUCCCGGCAAGCUUCUCUUGUCGGGGCUUCGUCUUCACAGUUAACACUUUGUUCUUGAAUGGCAGUAAAUAGGAAUGACGAAGGAUCUUGGCGGACGCCCGGCAAGCCUUGCCGCAGGACGCUGCGACUGCCCGUGCACAAGUUCGGGGUACUAAGGUACCCCUACUUUAGUACACCGACACCUCCAAACUUUAUGUGGCACUGCAAAAUAUUUGUGGCUCUGUCUAAGAUUGCCAAGGAAUUAAAAGGGGAACUUAACAUAUUUUUCCUAAGUAAAUAGUGUGCCCAAAAUAUUCUCUUAACCAUCUCUGUUUUUUUUAAUAAAAAAAGGCGAAUAAGAACUCGCCCGGGCCUCGGCCUACUCCCACUUACCAGCCCACCUAAGCCGGCCCACUCCCCCGCUCCCAUGGCCUAUAGGCCAUGCUCAACCGAACCCUAACCCCGCACGAUCCCCCCACUCCCCACUUCUCUCCCCUCCCGAUCCAAUCUGGAUCGGACCGAAACUGGCGCCCCGACGCCAACCGCCGUCGCUGGAGGCAUCCCCGACUCCACGCUGGGCCACCCCAUCACCUGACCUCCUCCCCGUCGUCGCUCGUCACUCGCUGGACCGCCUCGUCCCCACCAACGCCGCCCCGAGCCCAACGUCCCUGUCGUCGUCGCCGUCGGCAUCGCCCCGAUGUCGCCACCACCCGACGCCGGCGCCCUCGACAUCGCCACCCCGAGCCCACUGCCACCCCUACGCUCCACUGUGAGCCCCUCGCCGAUUCCCCCUCCUUCCUGUCAUCGUAGGUGGCCGCAUGCGCUGUUGGCCACCGUGGCCGCGCUCCGGCCGUUCCCCAUCCGUGUGCUAGCCUCGCCUUCCCCGGCUGCGGCCACCAGCCUCCUCGUCGCGCUCCCGCCUUCGCCCACACCUGCCCCUGUACGCCCAGCCGCUGCUGCUCGCCGGAUCCGCAUGUUCGCCCCCUAGCUUCGUCUCCGGCCGUCGAGUCCGCACCCGAUGCCGGCGCCCCAGCGCGUCCAUGCGCCCGUACGGGCGGGCGCCCACGCCCAUGCCCCUCCGCCCGUUAGCCCGCCCCGCUAAGGCCUGGGCACCUAACCAAGGGGCCCCACGCCCCUGUGUAAUAAAAAAGAUUUAAAAAAAAUAAAUAUAAAUAUAAUUAGUUAAUUAGUUAAUUAAUUGUAUAGUUAAUUAACUAACUUAAUUAACCUUGCUUAGUUAGCCUAAUGAACUAGUUUAGUUAAUUUAAAUCUGUUAGAUAGGUCUAUGAGAGAACGACCCCACAUGUCAGUUUAACCAGUCAACACUCUUUUGACUGCUGACAUCAUGAUGACGUCAGGCUGACAUCAUAAUUCCAAUUUUGAAUUAAUAAUAAUUUCAGAAUAUUAUUAAAACUUUGAAAAAUCAUAGAAAAUAAACCGUAUCUCGGAUGGAAGUUGCUUGGAACGACGAGACAAAUCCGAAUGCGCAGUUCGUUCAUCUGUCACGCGUCCCUAGCAUAGCAAACGUUGAACUUUUCCCCUCCGGUUCAUCUGUCUGAUAGACGUCCGGAACCGGGAAAACUUUCCCGGAUGUUUCCCCCUUCGCCAGUAUCACCUAGCACCUCGUUAGAACACUUCUAGCCCCGCUUAUUGUCUUGUUAUGCAUAUGUUUGCGUGUAUUUACUGUUUCUUCCCCCUCUUCUUCUCCGGUAGACCUCGAGACCGCUGAUGAUGCCCCUGUGAUCGACUACGUCGACGACGACCCUCCUUGUUUGAGCAACCAGGCAAGCCCACCCUUUGAUCAUCCCGAUAUCGCCCAUUCCAUUCUCUCAUGCUUGCACUAGAUUUUGCUACUGUAUUUGACUGCUCCUAUUCUGAUGCAUAGCCUGCUUUUGUACCUGCUAUUGUAACUUACCUGCUUAUCCUAAAUUUCUUAGUACAGGUUGGCUAGUGAUCCAUCAGUGACCCCCACCUUGUCUUUGUUGCCCCUGCUUCAUCAUCGACGACUCGAUCAACGUGAUCGACGACCGGAGCCUGACACCUCACAUCACAUCACGCCCCUUUUUCUUGCUCGACUCUGCAGAGUUACCAUCGAGUGCCGAGGGUGGAACCUCAUACAUCGCUCCUGAUGAGAUCUCUGUAGUGUAGCUAUUCGGUCGUGGUCAUCGAGGGUGGUUCCUCCUUCACCAUUCCUAAUACGGCUCUGUCGUGCAACACCUCAAGUGUGAACCUCGAGGGUGGUUCCUCUUACGUUCACCUUGAUGAUUACAUCAACUGGAAUCCACCGGGGGUGAUUCCUCGGAUUUUCCCCUUGAUGUCUGGACACAUAGUUACCUUGAUACUUGAGACCGUUGUGAAAGCCGGGCGAGCCCGGAGAGCACCCGUGCGAUGUGACGGUGGCGGCUGGCUGUUUAGCGGUAUCACCCGGGAGGGGUGAUAGCUCCGGACUUGUCCCGACAUCCGUCACUUCUUUUAAUAAUGCACUAACACGUUUGUGUAUUUGUUCUGAGUUGGCCUCUGGCCUUUACGCACUAACCACCACGCGAGAAUAGUUAUGGGCCUCGACGUUGCAGUAUCUUUCGAAGCUUUGUCAGACGUCCAGUUCAGCAUUGUGGCCGGGCCGGAUCGUGCCAUCCACUUCACCGGUGGUGCUGGUAUCCCCUUGUGCACAACGACCCGGAGUGCAAUGGGCGAUGGGCCCAGACCCCGGAGUGCUUAGGAUGUAGACCGGCGGGGACCUCUCUACUGAGCCUAGGUAGGGCUGCGACGUGUUGAUCUUCCGAGGCUGGGCAUUGACCCCAGAAAGGUGUGUCCGGCCAGAGUGAUCGAGCGUGUUGGGUAACGUGGUGCGCCCCUGCAGGGAAGAUUAUCUAUUAAUAGCCGUGUCCAUGGUAACGUACCUUCAGACUUAUAUCUUGAUCUUAUACAACUACAAAUGGAUACUUGAGAUAUGUGGCUCCGGGAUUGCUUUCUCGCAGGGAGUCGAGGAAGGAUCUCUGGGCGUUGUUGUUAAAACAUGCUUGUUAAUUAAACUGCUAUUCUUUACUCUUCUACAUGCUGCAAGAUGCUUGGAGCUGCUUGAAGAUGCUAGUCUUUGUUUGGCUAGGCCUUCCCCUCUAUUCUGGCAUUCUGCAAUUCAGUCCACAGAUACAACCCUUCCAUUUGAUACCAAUGCAUACUUAGUAUAGAUCUGAUGCUUGCGAGUACUUUGGAUGUGUACUCGCGGUUGCUUUGCUACCCCUUUUCCCCCUUCUUUCUUCUUUCCGGUUGACGCAACCAUAUGGUGGAUCCUUGGAGCCAGAUGCCACCGCCGAUGGAUGCUAGUACGUGAAGAUCGCCGACGACCAGGAGUAGUUAGGAGGUCCUAGGCAGGAGGCCUUGCCUCUUCGAUCGUUGUUGCUUUUGUGCUAGCCUUCUUAAGGCAUCCUUAUUUAACUUAUGUCUGUACUCAGCUAUUGUUGCUUCCGCUAACUCUUGUGUAUCGAGCUAUGUAUUCGAGCUCUCGAGGCCCCUGGCUUGUAAUAUAAAGCUUGUAUUAUUUUGAUUUGUGUCUAGAGUUGUGUUGUGAUAUCUUCCCGUGAGUCCCUGAUCUUGAUCGUACAUAUUGGCGUGCAUGAUUAGUGUACGAUUGAAUCAGGGGCGUCACACAAGCGGUACUACUGCCCCACCCAGUUUCAGCAUUUCGAGUUUCACCGUUUUGCCCAUAACUUCCACAUCCGGAGUCCGAUUUUUGCAUUUUUUAGCUCGUUGAGUAGCUAUUGACAUCCCCCAUCCAUCUAUAUAGGUUCCAACACCAUUUGACUCCAUCAAAUUUUCCAAAAUUUGGAAAGUUUGCCUAGGCCGUCCACCAUAUCAUCUGCAUAGCCACCACCGACCACCGCAACCUAACCCAUUUUGUUCCCCUUAGCAUUUGAGGUUGUUUGAGUUGUGGCUUGUGUCUCCUAAGGUGUUUCGGCUACUUAGGGAUGGUAACUUCAACUCCAACACGUGUAUAGCCCAUCAUUCCACUUCCGCAUUGCCGAGUGCAAACCACCACCUCUUUCCACUACCACCAUUUGACAUUUACCUUUGUAGAUUUUGAGUUUGCGAUUUUUCCGUUUCCUAGGGUGUUUUGGCUAACUAGGAAUGGGUCGACAUCAGCAACAUCGCCUCUCAUCAUCGCCAAGGACGGUAACCUCGAUGACACCAUUGUAUAUUCCCUUGCCAUUGCAUUGAUAACCCCUAGCCCAUUUUGCGUCACUUGCCUAUCGAGACUAGCCGUUUGAGUAUUGCCGGCAACGUGACUUGUGCACAUUAGUGAUCAUACUUCCCAUAGCAUCAUACCAUAUCAUCGUGGUGCAUAUAUUGGUAGCAUAUCUUGCGUCACAAGUUUGUUGCCGCAUAUACACAAUUGCUAUCUUGGUUUGUGCAUUAUGCAGAAGUGGCCAUACAAAAAAGAGAAAUAAAGCUUUUAAGCAAAAGAAAGAGAGAAAAGAAGCUUGUAAGCAAGUGCCAUAGCAUCAUACCAUAUUGCACAUAAGAUUGUCAUAUCCGAUCAUCUUGGAUCAUCUUGAGAGAACAUCGGGAACCAUACAUACAUAGCAUACUUGGGAUAGAAAGUAUAUCCAUUUGGCAUCUUGUAGGUUGUGCACAAGUGUCCUAUCCGCCUAUUGAGCAAUCGUGCUAGCGUCUCUCUUGAGUUGUGCAACACGAGCGUUUUCUGUGGAUUCCACAUUUUGUGCUCAUUGCUUGGUUGCACGACCCCAUUUAUCUAUCCGUGUGUGUGUUUCCGUGUGUCAUUCUUUGCUAUUGGUCUACUUGUUUCACUUGCAAAUUUGUGAAUCUCUUUCAACAUUAUUGACUCUUGCUAACAUUUUGCAUCAAAUUUUUGUGCCACUAUCCUCACCGAGCUCCACCAUAAGCUUUACUUGAUAGGUGUGAGUGAACAAGUCCGGUACCAAUUCCACUAUUCUUUCAUUUCACAUUGAGUUAAACGGGAUACAUCCUCAACUUUGGGAAAGGUAACUUCCUAUUGUUUAUCUCAUUUCCUACUGGCAUUUCACCUUCGGUCUACAACAACAACGACGAGUUCGAUGCCACGAACAACUCCAACGACGCCAAGAUGCAAGCUCAAAUGGAGGAGAUCAAAGCCCUCAUCAAGUCCUACAAGCAAUCUUCCUCAUCUUCGAGAAGACACUCACGUGCACAUGUUUCCGAGCUACCAUCUCCGGUAAGAUCACAUCAGCAUCGACACCAUCACCAACAAGAACGUGAAGGUCAAGAGCUCAACACCAACUACCGCUCAACGACUUCACCAUCUCCCUUGGCAUCUUCGCCAAGCGACUUCAAGGCAUCUUUGAGUACGGAUAUACGGCAUCUUCGCCAACAAGAACCUCAAGGCUACGCUCAAGAGAAGCUCCCCAAGCUCAAGUCCACGACUUCCAUGAGCUACUACGACCUCGACACCGACCACAAGAUUCCUUUCUAUGGAACUCAAGAACCCGAGGAGUACCUCGAGUGGGAGCGUUUGAUGGACGACUACCUCAAGCUACAUCAAGUCCCUUCCGAAGAUCAAGUGAAGUGCGCCACAAGAAACUUCCACGACUACGCCUCGACAUGGUGGCUUCACACACCUUCGGAGAGCUACGAGAUGAGUUAGCCCAAGACGAAGAGAGCUUUGCAGCGAGAGCUCGUGCCUCCAACCUACAUGGAACAACUUCGACGCCAAUUGGAGAACACCAUCCAAGGAUCCAAGUCCAUCGACGCGUACUUCAAGGAGAUGAAGAAUGCCUUGCGACGAGACGGCGUGGAUGACCCCAUUUCGAUGAAGUUCCACUUCAUGAUGCGAUUGAACAACGACAUCUCCAAGACUAUCUUCCUCGAGAACUACAAGUCCCUGGACAACUACUACAUUGGUGCUCUCAAGGCGGAACAAGAACUCAUGAAAGCCAAGGCUUCUCCACCCCAAGCACACUUCGCGGCGACCAAGCUGUACGACAAGCAUGAGGCUAGUACCACCAUGAUGUCCAAGCCCGACGAGCUCCAAGACAAUGCUCCCAAGUUCGACUUCACCGCCAUCCCUCUUUGUGGCAUUGAUGACGCCGAGUCUACCUUGACUCUUUUUCAAGACGGUGCGGCGACGAGUACGACUACGGAGACCUUCAAGGACCAAGCUUUGGAGGCGAGCGACAAGGUGGCGAGCAAGGAUGGUGUUUCCAUCUUUGGAGGCGAGAGUGAUGAUGUGCCAUCUUCGUCCUUCAUCCACGGCGACGAUGACGAGAUGAUCGAGCAUGGGAUUUUCCCUUCGGUCAUGGAGGAGAGUGAUGAUGUGCCAUCUUCGGCCUUCAUCCACGGAGACGACGACGAGAUGGUUGAGCAUGGGAUUCUCCCUUCGACCACGGUGACGUAUGAUGACUUGAGUGACUUUUGCCACCAUAUUGAGAGUGAGAGUGACUUCACCACUAGCCCCAUAUAUGACGAGUUGCCCCAAUUCCUAUGUGAGGAGAGCCACAACCCCCACCACUUGAGUGAGAUGAGUGACUCCACCAUAUGCGACUUUGAGUGCACCUAUUUUGAGGGAGUGAGUGAACCACCACAUAGAGAGAGUGUGAUAGUUGAUAGGUCUCGUGAGGCCAUUUGCAUUUCUAACAACUUGACCUCUACCUCUAUUGUGUCUUCUCAUUUGGUGCUAGGUCCCAUUUAUGAUGACGCGCCGAUCCUCGACGACUUCGUCCUCCCUUUGGACAAGACGAUGGCCAUGGUGGAAUAUGAUGCACCCCCCACAUGGUUCCAUCAAGAUGAAGAUGACCACCAUUUGGUCUUUCCCACCUCACCUACACCACUUGAGUGGAAUGAAAAAGGUAACAUAGGUGAAGGUGAUGCUCUAGUCCCACUAGUGGACAUUCUUGACAUUGAUUGCUUGCAUGAUGUUGAUCCACCUAGUACCAUGCUUCAUGCUAGUAUGAUUUCCCCAUGUGAUGAUUUGGCCAUUUAUGAUGAGUAUGAUGAUUCUCAUGUGGAGUCUCUUAGUUGUGAUGUCAUGUUACAUAGGAUUUCUUGUGACAAUUCUUUAGGUCACAUCAUGUUUGAUAAUCCGCUUGACUUGUCGUAUGCUAUGCAUGACAUUCACCAUAUGUCAUAUUUGCAAUCUCAUUGUAGUGACUAUGCAUAUGCCAUUCAAAUUAACCCAAUUUGCACUUAUGGCAUAGAUGACAAGCCCAUGGUUAUUGGGAUUUGUUUUUCUUGUGAUGAUAUUGAUAUGGUCCCUUUGCAUCAUUUAUCUCAUAUGCCAUGUCAUGCCCACCUAGCUUCGGAUAUGCAUUGUUUUGGAUGUUGUCCAUUUUCUCCAUAUGAUGUUUCCAAUCUUGCUCAUGAGGAGACCCCCAUAGUUCCCUCAUACAUGUUAGGAGAUUUUGAUCCAUCCCAUCCAUUGCAUGAUCCCAACAAUUGUGUGCACCAUAUGCUCCCCAUGAAUAAACAUGCUAUUGAUGUGCCAUAUACUUGCAUUCUCAAUUUGUGUCCCCAUCGUGUCAUACAUAAUAACUAUUCUUUCAUGAUGGAUGACAUGUUCUUAUACCAUGCAUCAAAUUUCGUUGAGCGAUGCUUAUCUUGUGCUAACUCACACGUGCACAUACACAUCAUGAUGGAUGAUGUGUACAUUUACCACACACACAAUUUAUUUGGUUUGUGUCUCUUUUGUGUAGGUACCCAGGAAUACUUGUCAACCUCGCAAUCCCACGAGUUGACAAAACGAGCUCUAGAGAGCAACGAUGAUUUGGGAUCCCAUGGAUUGUCUUUCCCACCGCUCUCUUCGCGCAAAGACUUAGCGCAUUUCUUCUACAUGGCCCUCACUUGGCUAUGGGUUGUUUUCCAUUACAUAUUAUAUGCCCAUCUUGCCAUGUUCACUUUGCAUGAUAUGCCCAUUCCCAUGCAUUUGUGACCCAUACUUUGCUUUACACAUGAUGAUUGACUCUCAUACUUUUAUGUGUAUUUGCAAGCUUGGUGGAGAUAUUGCUUGUUGUUUCCCUAUUCCAUUUUUGACCCACCCCUAUGAUGAUACUAUGAUCUUGCUUUGUGUUCGUGCUUGUGAUAUGUCAUGUGCAUUGUCUAUCCCUAUUAUUUGCUCACAUGACAUGAUUGCCAUGAUUUACUCUGGUGUGUUGCAUCUUCGCUCCACUAGUUUGCACCACAUGAUUGAUAUGCUUGCUUGUAUUGCAUCCCCCAUGAUUCAUACUUGCUCAUUUCAUGCGAUUGAUGACAACCAUUUCCAUACUUUGCACGUGAUUGCUAUAGCUUCUUGUCACAUAUCUACAUAUGUUGCCUCUCUCAUGCUAGAUCACUUGCCAUGUAUUUAGUGCAACAAUGCUCUUAUUCUUGCUCAUGAGAUUGCCCCCAUAGCAUUCUCACAUAUGAUUGGAGUUGACAUAAUUCUUGUGAAGCAUGCUUGCCUUCCUUCUUUGCACCAUAUGCCUAGUGCCAUGAAUAUUGCCAUUGUUGCAUCAUAUUGUUCAUGCACUUGUGCUACUAAAGGUUAUGUGCAAGAGAUGAGAACCAUCAUGAUGGAUGAUGUGUUUCUCUACCAUGCGCAUAUACUCUUUGUUUUGUUGUGUGCAUGUGUAGGAUACUUGGACUUCGUCUCGACUUCCACUUCAUGUGAGUUGACCAUUCAAGCUCUUAAGAGCGAGCCUCACACAUUCUACCACUACUCGCUUCUACACCGCAUUUGCUUGCGCUUCGGCAUUGUGAAGAAUGCACAAGGACAUGCCUUCAAGGUGACAUCUUUCUUGAGCAUGGAUAUUGCGGAUCAUACUACUUGUGUAGCUUGCACUGUGAGACUUAUUGGUCAUCUUGGACCACUUGAUUGCGCACUUGCUAGAGAUCUUGCUUUGACUUGCCAUUUUCACAUUCCCAUGCAUCAUGAUAUAUAUGCCUUGUGUGUUGCAUCCAAUUCUUGGAUUACUAUCACAACCUAGCUAGUCCAUGCAUUAGAGUGUUGCAUCAUGUCUACCUUUUAUCAGAAACUUGAAUUGGGGAAGACAGAACCCCCCAGAACCCCUCUGAAUUCAACUAGUGCUUACUAAAAAUAUUUUCAAUGAACCUGAAAUGCCCUUCUAAAAAGUUCACCCUCUUUGUCUUGGGUUAGAACCUCUGGCAAAAUUGGUGCACAAUUUUCUAGGUCAACAAAAGGCCAUUGAAUUAAAUCAUAUCUACUUUGAGUUUGGGCAUUUAAACUAUAUAAAAUAUUUCAAAUGCUCAAAUAACUCCAAACUAAAAUGUUCCAUACUGGAUAUAUUCCAACUAGGGACCAUGUGCAGUUUGGUGAUUUUUGGAGUUGCCUAAGUAUUUUUAGAAAUGCAACAAACUUACAGAAACAAUUAAAAACAGAAACAAAUGGGAAAAACCCUUACCUGGCCGAACCAAGCCCCAGCCCAGCUGGCCGGCCCAGCACUGUGCUGGCCCAUGCCAGCCAGCUGCUUCGCCGUCGCCACGCAGGCACAGAGCUGACGCCGGCAAGCGUGAGCUCGCAACGGCGCCAGCUGCUUGCCGCCCGCGCCCCCGAGCACCUGGGUGAGCUCCACGUCGCCGCCCCGACCCCGUGGACACCUCAUUCGCCCCCUGCCUCUCUCCCUCGCUCUCCCGCACCAUGGCCGACGCACCCGCCGCCGCACCCCCGACGUAGUCGCGCCCUCCGUCGUCCUCGUGCUGCACCACCGUGUCCCUUCGCUCCGCCGUCAUCGACUACAUCGAGUAGGCCGAGCCCCGAGCGCUCGCUGGCCCUGUUUCAUCUUCUUCGAGCUCGUCUUCACCGAGCACCGCCACAGAUCCCCUUCGCCGUCGCCGCCGUACCAGCUCGUCCCCGACCUUGCCGACCACUCCGUUGUGACCGCCGUGAGCUCAGCCACCUCCCCAUCCUCCCCGUUUGCCUUCUCGUGCACCGUAGCAACCGCAUGGAGCUUCAUCGCACGCACCACCGACGAGCUCGUCGCCGACGUGCCUCCGGCCAUCCACCGUCCACACCACGGUGUCUAACAUGCUCACCGCAUCGUGUAGAGUCUAACGCCCCACUCCACGCGCCUCGCCGUGCCCCGUAGCCAUGGGUCCAUUUUCAUCCGACUCCGGCGACCGCCGUGGUCGUCGCCGGCGACGUUCCUGGCCACCUCGACCUCAACCACCACCACCAAACGCCGCGACUUGUUCCCGGCUACACGUAGAUGGUCUCCGUCGUCCAUUUGGUCGCCAGAACAUGCUAACCCACUUCCUCCGCCGCGUCUGGCCUCGCCGGCGGCUAGACACCGGCAUGUUUGACCCGUUGACAUUCACUGGGUGGGCCAGGUUGACUCCCCUGAGUCUAUGACAAGUGCCCCCCCCUCUGCUAAUUAACCUAGUUUAGCUCUUACUAAAAUCAGUUAGUUUAAAUAAGUGCUGACAUGCGGGACCCACUGGUCAGUUUGACCUGAACGACCCCUUUGACCACUGACGUCACCCUGAUGCACUGCUGACGCAAUAACCAAUUUCUGGAUUUAUUGUUAUAUAGGAAAUUCCAGAAAUUGUUGCAAACUUCAAAAAUUCAUAGAAAUUAAUCUGUAACUCCAAAUGCAAAGAUUUAUAUAUGAAUUUUGAUCAGAAAAAUUCAAUCUAUCCAUUGGUAAUGGUUUCAUGCAUGUCAGAACAAGUUAACCUUGCUGUUUAAUCAAAACAAGUUAAUGCACUAAUAUGACUAUGUUAAAUGAACUACCAUUUGCAUCUUUGAUUCAAAUGAGUUCAUACCUUUCUGUUCUAGCUUGCAUUAGGCCAGGACACAUUCAUGUUGCCAUGUCAUAGCAUGCAUCAUAUUGUUGUAUAUCGUCAUGUGUUGUUCAUGUUCGGUGUGUUUUCGUGAUAGGUUCUGCCUCCGAGGAUAACCCCGAAUAUCCGUCUGAAGGGCUGUAUCCUACUACCACUACAUCAGGCAAGCAACCCAUUGAUCAUUCCGAUACAAACCCAUGUUCUUGCCUCUGCUCUUGUUUACUGCAUUAAGACAAUGCGAUUCAAACUUUUGUGUGUUGUGGUAGUUGAACCCACUUCCUUUGCAUGACCUGUCAUUGCCACAGUAACUAGAUGAAACUCAGUAGCAUGUGUAGGAGUUGAUUGAGCCAUAUCUGUGUUACCUACCAUGCUAUGCUUGCUAUGCUUAGAGUUGUGUCAGGUCUGGCUCAUUGGGAUGAUGAACUAGAGUGAAAGGUUGUGUCGGUAAUGAAGUGUUGAACACGAUUUGGUAAAGGUAUCGAUGAGAGGCCAUGUAGGAGUACAUGGUGGGUUGUUUCAUUGAGGCCGUCCUUAAGCACUGAGAUCUGUGUGUGUGAUUUAAGAUUCAGCUACUACCACGCAUUGGGCCCGAAACCAAUGGACCCUCUCGACUUAUUAACCACUCUUGUCCUCUGUCCGGGAGUUGCAAGUAGUUUUUGGUGUUUGUAGCAUGAUGGGGGCCGCACGCAGUGCUGACCUUAGGGGUGGGUUGGGUUGCGGUAGGCAUGUGGCACGGUGUAUCGAUUCGCCCGUUUGGUGUCUCGGGAACCAUGUUCACAUCAUUCGGGGCCGUUAGUGGAAACCUCGGCCGGACUCCCUGCGGAUGGAACCCGAAUAGGCGAUAAACCUGGACUAGGGACUCGUGUGUUUAGUCAGGCCGUGGCCGACACCCUCGCUGGGCUUCCGCUUGAGGCUUGCCGAGUACACGUCAUGUAGCGGUGAUAAGUGGUGAGAGCGUGUGUGAAGAAGUACACCCCUGCAGGGUAUAAAACUAUUCGAAUAGCCGCGUCCGCGGUAAAGGACUACUUGGUCACCUAUGCAGUUCAUAGACAAGUAAAUGGAUACUUCUAAAAGCCUCAAGUUAAGUGUGAGUACCGAGGAUGGCCCUCUCGUAGGUUGACAAGAGAGGAUCCUCGGUGGAGUAUUGUGUUGGUGAGUAGUGGACUCGUGUGCGACAAAUGUUUUGCAAGUUGUGUCUAUCGUAGAAUAGCUUAGCCAAGAGUCAAAGCUGGCUUGCUGCAAUAACUCCACUACCUUCUUGAGAAUGUGCAUGUAUGAUAGGAUUCUGUUGUAAGACUUGCUGAGUACCUCUGUACUCAUGUUUGCUUAAAUGUUUUCAGACGACAACACCAACCCCUCCGAUGGGUUCUACGUAGACCUCGACGUUGACGAGUGACUAACCACCCAAGUGGUGAUCCGAGACUUGUGAAGGGCCGAUGUAGAUAGAAAGGCUUCGUCAAGCCCUCUUUCUUUCUAGUGUCUGUACUCAGACUAGUUGCUUCCGCAUGUGCUUGUAUGCUUGUAUGACUUGAGUCUCAGGUCAUGUGACCCCUAUCUGUAUGAACAUGUUAUGUAUGGCUCCUUGGAGCCACUUAAAUAAAGUACUUUGAGUUGUAGAGUUUUGUUGUGAUGCCAUGUUGUAUGUACUCAUAUCGGGCAUAUUGUGUGUAUGUUUGAAAUGCUUGGUAUGAGUGGGAUCCGACAAUCUAGUUGUUUAUCCUUGGCAGCCUCUCAUAUGGGGAAAUGUAGUCUAGUGCUUCCUGAGCGAUAGUAGUCCGCUACAGCCCGGUUCACCGGAGUCCUGCUAGCCCAGUACUACAGCUCUGGACACUUGACUGGACAGCAUGUGUUUCACUUCGUUCCUGUGUCUGUCCCUUUGCGGAAAUGUCACGCGGUGGCAUUCGGAGUCCUGCCUAGCCUGCUACAGCCCGGGUUACUGUUGGGAAACGUAGUAAUUUCAAAAUUUUCCUACGCACACACAAGAUCAUGGUGAUGGCAUAGCAACGAGAGGGGAGAGUGUUCGUCCACGUACCCUCGUAGACCGUAAGCGGAAGCGUUAGCACAACGCGGUUGAUGUAGUCGUACGUCUUCACGAUCCGACUAAUCCAAGCACUGAACGUACGUGGCCUCCGAGUUCAGCACACGUUCAGCUCGAUGAUGAUCUCCGGCCUCCAAUCCAGCGAAGCUCCGGAGAUGAGUUCCGUCAGCACGACAGCAUGGUGACGAUGAUGAUGUUCUACCUGCGCAGGGCUUCGCCUAAAAUCCGCGACGAUAUGACUGAGGUGGAAUAUGGUGGAGGGGGGCACCGCACACGGCUAAGGAACGAUCCAUAGAUCAACUUGUGUGUCUAUGGGGUGCCCCCCCCCCCCCGCCCCUGUAUAUAAAGGAGAAAGGGGGAGGCCGGCCGGCCCCUUGGGCGCGCCAAGGGAGGAGGAAUNNNNNNNNNNNNNNNNNNNNNNNNNNNNNNNNNNNNNNNNNNNNNNNNNNNNNNNNNNNNNNNNNNNNNNNNNNNNNNNNNNNNNNNNNNNNNNNNNNNNNNNNNNNNNNNNNNNNNNNNNNNNNNNNNNNNNNNNNNNNNNNNNNNNNNNNNNNNNNNNNNNNNNNNNNNNNNNNNNNNNNNNNNNNNNNNNNNNNNNNNNNNNNNNNNNNNNNNNNNNNNNNNNNNNNNNNNNNNNNNNNNNNNNNNNNNNNNNNNNNNNNNNNNNNNNNNNNNNNNNNNNNNNNNNNNNNNNNNNNNNNNNNNNNNNNNNNNNNNNNNNNNNNNNNNNNNNNNNNNNNNNNNNNNNNNNNNNNNNUCCGGUUUUCUCCGAAAUCACCCGGAACAAUUUCGGUGUCCGAAUAUAGUCGUCCAAUAUAUCAAUCUUUAUGACUCGACCAUUUCGAGAUUCCUCGUCAUGUCCGUGAUGACAUCCGGGACUCCGAACAAACUUCGGUACAUCAAAACUUAUAAACUCAUAAUAAAACUGUCAUCGUAACGUUAAGCGUGCGGACCCUACGGGUUCGAGAACUAUGUAGACAUGACCUAGAACCAUUCUUGGUCAAUAACCAAUAGCGGGACCUAGAUGCCCAUAUUGGUUCCUACAUAUUCUACGAAGAUCUUUAUCGGUCAAACCGCAUAACAACAUACGUUGUUCCCUUUGUCAUCGAUAUGUUACUUGCCCGAGAUUUGAUCGUCGGUAUCCAAUACCUAGUGCAAUCUCGUUACUGGCAAGUCUCUUUACUCGUUCCGUAAUACAUCAUCUCAUAACUAACUUAUUAGUUACAAUGCUUGCAAGGCUUAGGUGAUGAGUAUUACCAAGAGGACCCAGAGAUACCUCUCCGACAAUCGGAGUGACAAAACCUAAUCCCGAAUUAUGCCAACUCAACAUGUACCUUCGGAAACACCUAUAGAGCACCUUUAUAAUCACCCAGUUACGUUGUGACGUUUGGUAGCACACAAAGUGUUCUUCCGGUAAACGGGAGUUGCACAAUCUCAUAGUUGCAGGAACUUGUAUAAGUCAUGAAGAAAGCAAUAGCAGUAUACUAAACGAUCAAGUGCUAGGCUAACGGAAUGGGUCAUGUCAAUCACAUCAUUCUCCUAAUGAUGUGAUCCCGUCAAUCAAAUGACAACUCUUUUGUCCAUGGUUAGGAAACAUAACCAUCUUUGAUAAACGAGCUAGUCAAGUAGAGGCAUACUAGUGACACUAUGUUUGUCUAUGUAUUCACACAUGUAUCAUGUUUCCGGUUAAUAUAAUUCUAGCAUGAAUAAUAAACAUUUAUCAUGAUAUGAGGAAAUAAAUAAUAACUUUAUUAUUGCCUCUAUGGCAUAUUUCCUUCAGUCUCCCACUUGCACUAGAGUCAAUAAUCUAGAUUACAUGGUAAUGAUUUUGACACCCAUGGAGUCUUGGUGCUGAUCAUGUUUUGCUCGUGAGAGAGGCUUAGUCAACGGGUCUGCAACAUUCAGAUCCGUAUGUAUCUUGCAAAUCUCUAUGUCUCCCACUUGGACUUGGUCCCGAAUGGAAUUGAAGCGUCUCUUGAUGUGUUUGGUCCUCUUGUGAAAUUUGGAUUCCUUUGCCAAGGCAAUUGCACCAGUAUUGUCACAGAAGAUGUUCAUUGGUCCCGAUGCACUAGGUAUGACACCUAGAUCGGAAAUGAGAUCCUUCAUCCAGACUCCUUCAUUUGCUGCUUCUGAAGCAGCUAUGUACUCCGCUUCACAUGUAGAUCCCGCCACGAUGCUUUGUUUAGAACUGCACCAACUUACAGCUCCACCGUUUAAUAAAAACACGUAUCUGGUUUGCGAUUUAGAAUCGUCCGGAUCAGUGUCAAAGCUUGCAUCGACGUAACCGUUUACGACUAGCUCUUUGUCACCUCCAUAUAUGAGAAACAUAUCCUUAGUCCUUUUCAGGUAUUUCAGGAUGUUCUUGACCGCUGUCCAGUGAUCCACUCCUGGAUUACUUUGGUACCUUCCUGCCAAGCUUAUUGCUAAGCAUACGUCAGGCCUGGUACACAGCAUUGCAUACAUGAUAGAGCCUAUGGCUGAAGCAUAGGGAACAUUUUUCAUUUUCUCUCUAUCUUCUGCUGUGGUCGGGCAUUGAGUUUGACUCAACUUCACACCUUGUAGCACAGGUAAGAAUCCUUUCUUUGCCUGAUCCAUUUUGAACUUUUUCAAAAAAAAUUCAAGGUAUGUGCUUUGUGAAAGUCCUAUUAAGCGUCUUGAUCUAUCUCUAUAGAUCUUGAUGAGUAAUAUGUAAGCAGCUUCACCGAGGUCUUUCAUUGAAAAACUUUUAUUCAAGUAUCCCUUUAUGCUAUGCAGAAAUUCUAUAUCAUUUCCAAUUAAUAAUAUGGCAUCUACAUAUAAAAUUAGAAAUGCUACAGAGCUCCCACUCACUUUCUUGUAAAUACAGGCUUCUCCAAAUGUCUGUAUAAAACCAUAUGCUUUGAUCACACUAUCAAAGCGUUUAUUCCAACUCCGAAAUGCUUGCACCAGUCCAUAAAUGGAACGCUGGAGCUUGCAUACUUUGUCAGCACCUUUUGGAUCAACAAAACCUUCCGGCUGCAUCAUAUACAACUCUUCUUCUAGAAAUCCAUUCAAGAAUGCAGUCUUGACAUCCAUAUGCCAAAUUUCAUAAUCAUGAAAUGCAGCAAUAGCUAACAUGAUUCGGACAGACUUAAGCAUCGCUACGGGUGAGAAAGUCUCAUCGUAGUCAACCCCUUGAACUUGUCGAAAACCUUUUGCAACAAGUCGAGCUUUAUAGACAGUUACAUUACCAUCAGCGUCAGUCUUCUUCUUAAAGAUCCAUUUAUUCUCAAUGGCUUGCCAAUCAUCGGGCAAGUCAACCAAAGUCCAUACUUUGUUUUCAUACAUGGAUCCCAUCUCAGAUUUCAUGGCUUCUAGCCAUUUUGCGGAAUCUGGGCUCAUCAUCGCUUCCUCAUAGUUCGUAGGUUCACCAUGGUCAAGUAACAUGACUUCCAGAAUAGGAUUACCAUACAACUCUAGUGCGGAUCUUACUCUGGUAGACCUACGAGGUUCAGUAGAAACUUGAACUCCUCACUAAUUGGUGUAGUUGUCACAGGAACCGGUUCUCGUGAUGAACUACUUUCCAAUAAGGGAGUAGAUACAGUUAUCUCAUCAAGUUCUACUUUCCUCCCACUCACUUCUUUCGAGAGAAACUCCUUCUCUAGAAAGGAUCCAUUCUUAGCAACGAAUGUCUUGCCUUCAGAUCUGUGAUAGAAGGUGUACCCAACAGUCUCUUUUGGGUAUCCUAUGAAAACACAUUUCUCCGAUUUGGGUUCGAGCUUAUCUGGUUGAAGUUUCUUCACAUAAGCAUCGCAGCCCCAAACUUUAAGAAACGACAACUUUGGUUUCUUGCCAAACCACAGUUCAUAAGGCGUCGUCUCAACGGAUUUUGAUGGUGCCCUAUUUAACGUGAAUGCGGCCGUCUCUAAAGCAUAACCCCAAAACGAUAGCAGUAAAUCAGUAAGAGACAUCAUAGAUCGCACCAUAUCAAGUAAAGUACGAUUAUGACGUUCGGACACACCAUUUCGUUGUGGUGUUCCGGGUGGCGUGAGUUGCGAAACUAUUCCACAUUGUUUCAAGUGUAGGCCAAACUCGUAACUCAAAUAUUCUCCUCCACGAUCAGAUCGUAGAAACUUUAUUUUCUUGUUACGAUGAUUUUCCACUUCACUCUGAAAUUCUUUGAACUUUUCAAAUGUUUCAGACUUGUGUUUCAUCAAGUAGAUAUACCCAUAUCUGCUCAAAUCAUCUGUGAAGGUGAGAAAAUAACGAUACCCGCCGCGAGCCUCAACAUUCAUUGGGCCACAAACAUCAGUAUGUAUGAUUUCCAACAAAUUAGUUGCUCGCUCCAUAGUUCCGGAGAAUGGCGUUUUAGUCAUCUUGCCCAUAAGGCACAGUUCGCAAGUACCAAGUGAUUCAUAAUCAAGUGAUUCCAAAAGUCCAUCAGUAUGGAGUUUCUUCAUGCGUUUUACACCGAUAUGACCCAAAAGGCAGUGCCACAAGUAAGUUGCACUAUCGUUAUCAACUCUGCAUCUUUUGGUUUCAACACUAUGAACAUGUGUAUCACUACUAUCGAGAUUUAAUAAAAAUAAACCACUCUUCAAGGGUGCAUGACCAUAAAAGAUAUUACUCAUAUAAAUAGAACAACCAUUAUUCUUUGAUUUAAAUGAAUAACCGUCUCGCAUCAAACAAGAUCCAGAUAUAAUGUUCAUGCUUAACGCUGGCACCAAAUAACAAUUAUUCAGGUCUAAAACUAAUCCCGAAGGUAGAUGUAGAGGUAGCGUGCCGACCGCGAUCACAUCGACUUUGGAACCGUUUCCCACGCGCAUCGUCACCUCGUCCUUGGCCAGUGCUCGCUUAUUCCGUAGUCCCUAUUUCGAGUUGCAAAUAUUAGCAACAGAACCAGUAUCAAAUUCCCAGGUGCUACUACGAGCUCUAGUUAGGUACACAUCAAUAACAUGUAUAUCACAUGUAGCUUUGUUUACUUUGCCAUCCUUCUUAUCCGCCAAAUACUUGGGGCAGUUCCGCUUCCAGUGACCAGUCUGCUUGCAGUAGAAGCACUCAGUUUCAGGCUUAGGUCCAGACUUGGGUUUCUUCUCUUGAGCAGCAACUUGCUUGCUGUUCUUCUUGAAGUUCCCCUUCUUCUUCCCUUUGCCCUUUUUCUUGAAACUAGUGGUCUUGUUGACCAUCAACACUUGAUGCUCCUUCUUGAUUUCUACCUCCGCAGCUUUUAGCAUUGCGAAGAGCUCGGGAAUAGUCUUGUUCAUCCCUUGCAUAUUAUAGUUCAUCACAAAGCUCUUGUAUCUUGGUGGCAGUGAUUGGAGAACUCUGUCAAUGACGCUAUCAUCCGGAAGAUUAACUCCCAGUUGAAUCAAGUGAUUAUUAUACCCAGACAUUUUGAGUAUAUGCUCACUGACAGAACUAUUCUCCUCCAUCUUGCAGCUGUAGAACUUAUUGGAGACUUCAUAUCUCUCAAUCCGGGCAUUUGCUUGAAAUAUUAACUUCAACUCCUGGAACAUCUCAUAUGCUCCAUGACGUUCAAAACGUCGUUGAAGGCCCGGUUCUAAGCCGUAAAGCAUGGCACACUGAACUAUAGAGUAGUCAUCAGCUUUGCUCUGCCAGACGUUCUUAACGUCGUCAGUUGCAUCAGCAGCAAGCCUGGCACCCAGCGGUGCUUCCAGGACGUAACUUUUCUGUGCAGCAAUGAGGAUAAUCCUCAGGUUACGGACCCAGUCCGUGUAAUUGCUACCAUCAUCUUUCAACUUUUCUUUCUCAAGGAACGCAUUAAAAUUCAACGGAACAACAGCACGAGCCAUCUAUCUACAAACAAACAUAGACAAGCAAAAUACUAUCAGGUACUAAGUUCAUGAUAAAUUUUAAGUUCAAUUAAUCAUAUUACUUAAGAACUCCCACUUAGACAGACAUCUCUCUAGUCAUCUAAGUGAUUACGUGAUCCAAAUCAACUAAACCAUAACCGAUCAUCAUGUGAGAUGGAGUAGUUUUCACUGGUGAACAUCACUAUGUUGAUCAUAUCUACUAUAUGAUUCAUGCUCGACCUUUCGGUCUCCGUGUUCCGAGGCCAUAUCUGCAUAUGCUAGGCUCGUCAAGUUUAACCUGAGUAUUCUGCGUGUGCAAAACUGGCUUGUACCCGUUGUAGAUGGACGUAGAGCUUAUCACACCCUAUCAUCACGUGGUGUCUGGGCACGACAAACUUUGGCAAUGGUGCAUACUCAGGGAGAACACUUCUUGAUAAUUUUUGUGAGAGAUCAUCUUAAAAUGCUACCGUCAAUCAAAGCAAGAUAAGAUGCAUAAAGGAUAAACAUCACAUGCAAUCAAUAUAAGUGAUAUGAUAUGGCCCUCAUCAUCUUGUGCUUGUGAUCUCCAUCUUUGAAGCACCAUCGUGAUCACCAUCGUCACCGGCGCGACACCUUGAUCUCCAUCGUAGCAUCGUUGUCGUUACGCCAUCUAUUGCUUCUACGACUAUCUAUACCGCUUAGUGAUAAAGUAAAGCAAUUACAGGGUGUUUGCAUUUCAUACAAUAAAGCGACAACCAUAUGGCUCCUGCCAGUUGCCGAUAACUUCGGUUACAAAACAUGAUCAUCUCAUACAAUAAAAUAUAUCAUCACGUCUUGACCAUAUCACAUCACAACAUGCCCUGAAAAACAAGUUAGACGUCCUCUACUUUGUUGUUGCAAGUUUUACGUGGCUGCUAUGGGCUUAGCAAGAACUGUUCUUACCUACGCAUCAAAACCACAACGAUAGUUCGUCAAGUUGGUGCUGUUUUAACCUUCGCAAGGACCGGGCGUAGCCACACUCGAUUCAGCUAAAGUGAGAGAGACAGACACCCGCCAGCCACCUUUAAGCACGAGUGCUCGUAACGGUGAAACCAGUCUCACGUAAGCGUACGCGUAAUGUCGGUCCGGGCCGCUUCAUCUCACAAUACCGCCGAACCAAAGUAUGAAAUGCUGGUAAGCAGUAUGACUUGUAUCGCCCACAACUCACUUGUGUUCUACUCGUGCAUAUAACAUCAACGCAUAAAACCUAGGCUCGGAUGCCACUGUUGGGAAACGUAGUAAUUUCAAAAUUUUCCUACGCACACGCAAGAUCAUGGUGAUGGCAUAGCAACGAGAGAGGAGAGUGUUCGUCCAUGUACCCUCGUAGACCGUAAGCGGAAGCGUUAGCACAACGCGGUUGAUGUAGUUGUACGUCUUCACGAUCCGACCGAUCCAAGCACCGAACGUACGGGGCCUCCGAGUUCAGCACACGUUCAGCUCGAUGACGAUCUCCGGCCUCCGAUCCAGUGAAGCUCCGGAGAUGAGUUCCGUCAGCACGACGGCGUGGUGACGAUGAUGAUGUUCUACCGGCACAGGGCUUCGCCUAAACUCCGCGACAAUAUGACCGAGGUGGAAUAUGGUGGAGGGGGGGCACCGCACACGGCUAAGGAACGAUCCGUAGAUCAACUUGUGUGUCUAUGGGGUGCCCCCCGCCCCUGUAUAUAAAGGAGCAAGGGGGAGAGGCCGGCCGGCCCCUUGGGCGCGCCAAGGGAGGAGGAAUCCUCCUCCUAGUAGGAGUAGGACUCCUCCUUUCCUACUCCUACUAGGAGGGGGAAGGAAGGAGGAGAGGGGGAAGGAAAGGGGGGGCGCCGCCCCCCUCGUAGUCCAAUUCGGACCAGAGGGGGGGAGGGGGCGUGCGGCCCAUGCUGGCCGCCCCUCUCUCCUUUCCCCUAAGGCCCAUAAGGCCCAAUACUCUCCCGGGGGGUUCCGGUAACCCCCGGCACUCCGGUUUUCUCCGAAAUCACCCGGAACAAUUCCGGUGUCCGAAUAUAGUCGUCCAAUAUAUCAAUCUUUAUGUCUCGACCAUUUCGAGAUUCCUCGUCAUGUCCGUGAUGACAUCCGGGACUCCGAACAAACUUCGGUACAUCAAAAGAUAUAAACUCAUAAUAAAACUGUCAUCGUAACGUUAAGCGUGCGGACCCUACAGGUUCGAGAACUAUGUAGACAUGACCUAGAACCAUUCUCGGUCAAUAACCAAUAGCGGGACCUGGAUGCCCAUAUUGGUUCCUACAUAUUCUACGAAGAUCUUUAUCGGUCAAACCGCAUAACAACAUACGUUGUUCCCUUUGUCAUGGGUACGUUACUUGCCCGAGAUUUGAUCGUCGGUAUCCAAUACCUAGUUCAAUCUCGUUACUGGCAAGUCUCUUUACUCGUUCCGUAAUAUAUCAUCUCAUAACUAACUUAUUAGUUACAAUGCUUGCAAGGCUUAGGUGAUGAGUAUUACCGAGAGGGCCCAGAGAUACCUCUCCGACAAUCGGAGUGACAAAACCUAAUCUCGAAUUAUGCCAACUCAACAUGUACCUUCGGAAACACCUGUAGAGCACCUUUAUAAUCACCCAGUUACGUUGUGACGUUUGGUAGCACACAAAGUGUUCUUCCGGUAAACGGGAGUUGCACAAUCUCAUAGUUGCAGGAACUUGUAUAAGUCAUGAAGAAAGCAAUAGCAGUAUACUAAACGAUCAAGUGCUAGGCUAACGGAAUGGGUCAUGUCAAUCACAUCAUUCUCCUAAUGAUGUGAUCCCGUCAAUCAAAUGACAACUCUUUUGUCCAUGGUUAGGAAACAUAACCAUCUUUGAUAAACGAGCUAGUCAAGUAGAGGCAUACUACUGACACUAUGUUUGUCUAUGUAUUCACACAUGUAUCAUGUUUCCGGUUAAUAUAAUUCUAGCAUGAAUAAUAAACAUUUAUCAUGAUAUGAGGAAAUAAAUAAUAACUUUAUUAUUGCCUCUAGGGCAUAUUUCCUUCAGUUACCGGAGUCCUGUUAGCCCAGUGUUACAGCCCGGAUGUAUACGUUGAUGACCGACAUGCUCGAUGUGACUCAUGUAUGCCUGUCCCCAUAGGUUAGCGCCGCUUUGGGUUCAUGACUAGCCAUGUCAGCCCGGGUUCUCUGUCAUAUGGAUGCUAGCGACACUAUCAUAUACGUGAGCCAAAAGGCGCAAACAGUCCCGGCCAUGGUAAGGCGACACCCGUGGGAUUACCGUGCGUGAGGCCGCAAAGUGAUAUGAGGUGUUACCGGCUAGAUCAAUGUGACUUGGAAUCAUGGUCCAGACAGCAUUGGCAUCAGAGCCGGACUGCCUGUAGGUUCCUAAGCCAAACUGGUCGAUGUCGAGUCUAGAAAUGCUUUAGUUAUAUGUAGGGGAAUUUAUUGUGGGAGGAAACGUAAGGCUCUUUUUACCCCUUUACCUUAUGCCCUCUGAUCUGUGUCAUCCUCUUCUCAUUCUACGUGGGUUAAGGACUAGGCUCUCUUCUCUCUAUCAGGUUCACGUGUUACUAAUCCGUAGUAACUUAUAGGAUUGUUGGUUACCAGUCUCAGUACAGUUCCUACUACUUUAGUAUGUUAUCAGUUGAACCUGAACCUUGAUAUGAUGUUGUUGAGUGGUUUUGCAAUCCGUUGUGAAUGUCUCAAAUCUGCUCCUGAGCAUUUACAGCUGUUAUGUUGUCCAAUUUUCCCUAGGAAUUCUAAUGUCUUUGCAUUGUGGUUGUGCUUUCAGAUGGCCACUCGCGCUCAGAACCAAGUGGUUCGCCUGACGCGGUGCCUCAAUGUGCCCGGUCAUACUGCUAUGUUAGUCCGGGUCAUGAUCGAGACAGGUUACCGUUGGUAUCCCGAAUACAUUGCCGAAGAGCAAUUCCAAGACUUUAAUCAAAGCCAAUACUUCUGCACUGUCAGGAUAUUUCCUUCAUAUCCUGGAUCCACCGAGCCCCUUCACUGCUCCUAUGGACUCGGGGUCACCAUUGAGAUGGCUGUACAGGAUGCGGCCUAUUCUAUGAUGACCAUCAUGCGAGUCAGGACUGGUCUGCUUCGGAACACCGACUUCCGUUAUAUGCCAGCAUCGCUCCCAGGAGCGCAAGGGUAUCUCCAGGCUAUCUAUGCUGAUUCCACCCAUGAGGACUCACUAACUCGCACCAUUGCGGAGAUGCUCGAGGAUAAGGACCGAGAGAAUCAGGCCUUGAGGUUGGAGCUUUUCAACACCUGCGCCGAUCAUUGGGCCACUUUGACUCGGUUUGCACCGGCUGUGCAAGCUGGAUGUAUGGAUAUGAGGGAUCUGUUUCCUGUGAGAUCUGCUCUGCCAGACAUGGUGGAUUGGCGUGAUGUGGGAGGCAUCAUCCCACCCCGUGGUCCCCGUAGGCCAUCGUUUGUUGGUCCAAGACCUCAUCCUAGCCCCUAUGGUCCACAGGCUCCUCAGGACCGUCUGUUCCCGGAUGAUCACGUUGAGCUUCCAAGCUAUGGAGGGGACUUCUAUGAGGACUACUACGGAGCUGUCUGAGUUAGUAGUAGUAUCUUUAGUAUUGUAAUAGUUGUAAUUCCAUCGUCCUGCGUGACCUGUGGAAUAUGACUUAGUGUGUAUCAGUUCCGGAGGUGUAGAAAAAUAAUGUAUCGGAGCUUGGAAUGCCUCCGAUGAGAUGUAACUUCUUCCACCGUAGUUGUACUAUAGUCGGGCUUGUACUAAACUAUGUAUGGUGUGUAUGACUGUUGGUGCAUAUAUGGCAGUUUCUGUAUUACCAUGUCAUACAGAUGAACAUCUCUGCAUUCCUUGUUAUCCAUUACAUUCUGCACUUCCUUGUCCAGAUUUGCCAUCCUUGUCUAAAGCGAUGUCUUGUUUUCCUAGGAUGGUCAACACCCGUAACAACCCUGCUACUCCGGAGCAGGGUGAAGCCAGUGCAGCUAGGAAUGAAAAUCUGCCUCAACCACCUUCUCUGGUCGAAGUUAUGCUGGAGGCAGAGCGAAAUAAGCGUGAGACCAAUCGCUUGCUGGAGCGGAUUGAGCAGAAUACCGCACGCCAGCCGAGGAACGACCUGGUGUCACUUAAUGACUUUGUCAAGCUGUAUCCACCGAAGUUUAAACAUUCCGUCGAGCCCCUUGAUGCGGAUGAAUGGCUUCGCAGCAUUACCCACAAGCUACGUUCUGUCAAUGUGGCCGAAGCUGAUAAGGUUAACUUUGCUACCUAUCACCUCGAAGGCCCUGCUAGCCUUUGGUGGGAAAACUUUGAGGCUAUGCGCCCGGUCGGCCAAAUUACUACUUGGGCUGAAUUCAGUAUGGAGCAUCACAUUCCGGAAGGUCUUAUGGAUCGCAAGCGUGAAGAGUUCUGCAACUUCACCCAGGGUAGACUGACUGUGGAUGCAUACAGUCGCGAGUUUGGAUAUCUAGCACGAUAUGCUCCUAAAGAGGUAUCCACCGACGCCAAGAAGCAGGCAAGGUUCCGCAAGGGACUUAGCCCCGAGCUUCGUCGUGAUCUUCGUCUGCACGAGUGCACCUCCUUCCAGAAGUUAGUCAACAAGGCCAUCAGUGCUGAGACAGGGCAGUCGGACUUUGAAGCUUCACGCAAGCACUCCCGUGACUUUGGACUUCAUCCGGCUGUGCAUCUCAGAAGCGCCGGGUCUGGAUUCCAAGCACUGCUCUGCCACCCAGGUUCACCCCGAGGCCAUCCUUUGACGCGCCUCGCCCCAACCAAUAGUAUACACCGCCCAAGGCCUAUGGUGGCCCCACUGCUAAUGCUACUCCAUGCCCCAAUGUGAUAACUUGUUUCAAGUGUGGGGAGACGGGUCACUACAUUCGUGAGUGUCCCCAAAACAACCCCAACCAGAUUGGAAAGUCUGUUGGCCGUGGCAAGCCAGCAGGAAAGGUGCUCUACGCCAAGCCAGCCACCACUGCCCGUGGCCAUGUCAACUAUGUCUCAGCAGAGGAGACUCAUGAGGAUCCCAACGUCGUUCUCGGUACGCUUCUUGUUAAUUGCCACCCGGCAACCAUUCUCUUUGAUACUGGAGCAUCUCAUUCAUUUAUAUCUGAAAGCUAUGCUCGAUUGCACAACACCACAUUUUGUGACAUGCCCACCUCCAUGGUAAUUCAAACCCCUGGUUCUAAGUGGCAAACCUCUAAAAUCAGCCAUGGAAAUGAAAUCCUUGUCGACAGAUUAGUCUUCCUUGCAUCACUAAUAGCUCUCAAGUCCUCGGACAUAAACAUCAUCUUGGGUAUGGACUGGAUGUCAGCCCAUUACGCUAAGAUCGAUUGCUCCACUAGAACUGUUCAACUCACCCACCCUUCGGGCAAGACAGCCAAUGUUUUGACCCGAGUGUCUAAGCGUCAGCUUUACUCUUUAAAUGCCAACCCCCUUCCAGACCUUGAAGAUAUUCCGGUAGUCCGUGACUUCCCGGAUGUCUUUCCAGAGGAACUGUCAGGUGUUCCACCUAACAGAGAUGUCAAGUUCGUGAUAGACCUUGUUCCAGGAACCAUGCCAACAUCUAGGAGACCUUAUAAGAUGGCACCCCUAGAACUAGCUGAGCUUAAGAAACAACUCGAUGAGUCCUUGCAAAAGGGUUUCAUCCAUCCUAGCUCUUCUCCAUGGGCUUGCCCCGUCCUUUUCGUCAAGAAGAAGGAUGGAACGGAUCGGAUGGUUGUAGAUUACCGGCCAGUCAACUUGGUCACUAUCAAGAACAAGUAUCCGCUCCCCAAGAUCAACGACCUGUAUGAUCAGCUCGCUGGAUCCUCAGUCUUUUCUAAAAUGGAUUUGAGGUUGGGCUACCAUCAAAUCAAAAUUAAGAACGGGGACAUUCCUAAAACGGCCUUUGUUACUCGAUAUGGCCAAUACGAGUACACCGUCAUGUCCUUCGGUCUAACCAAUGCCCCAGCCACCUUCUCUCGGUUAUUGAACUCGAUCUUCAUGGAGUAUUUUGAUAAAUUCGUCGUGGUUUACCUUGAUGAUAUACUCAUCUACUCCAAGAAUGAAGAAGAACAUGCCGAACAUCUAAGGCUAGUGUUGAUGAAACUUUGAGAGCAUUGUCUUUAUGCCAAAUUCUCUAGGUGUGAGUUUUGGUUGCCAGAAGUAACCUAUCUAGGACAUGUAAUCUCUGGUAAGGGCAUUGCUGUCAAUCCCAAGCGAGUUCAAGCCAUCCUUGACUGGACUCCACCUGAAACGGUCAAGCAAGUUCAGAGUUUUGUUGGUUUAGCGAGCUAUUGCCGCUGCUUCAUCGAGAAUUUCUCCAAGGUUGCUAAGCCUCUAACCGAACUCCUCAAGAAAGAUAAAAAGUUCGAAUGGACGCCAUAGUGCGAGUUCAGUUUUCAGGAACUGAAAAGACGCCUGACAUCUGCUCCUGUACUUGUUCCACCAGAUUUCUCUAAGGACUUCGUUAUCUACUGCGACGCCUCGCGACAAGGACUAGGUUGCAUACUCAUGCAAGAUCGUCAUGUGAUUGCCUACGCUUCUCGACAGCUGCGUCCACAUGAGGAUAACUAUCCCACACAUGAUCUACAGCUUGCAGCAGUGGUCCAUGCACUCAAAACCUGGCGACAUUACCUUCUCGGUAAUCGUUGCGAGAUUUACACCGAUCACCAAAGUCUGAAAUACAUCUUCACCAAACCGGAUUUGAAUCUCAGACAAAGACGUUGGGUCGAGUUGAUUACGGAUUACGAUCUAGGAAUAACCUACACCCCAGGAAAAGCCAAUGUCAUGGCUGAUGCAUUAAGCCGUAAAUCUUAUUGUAACAACCUGAUGUUACAACAAAGCCAACCAUUUCUCCACGAGGAAUUUCGUAAGCUUAACCUUCACAUCGUUCCUCGAGGUUUUCUUUCCACCCUGGUGGCGAAACCUACCCUUACGGAUCAGAUCAUCAAGGCACAGAAGGUAGAUCCGGGAAUAUCCCGUAUCAAGAGAAACAUCAAAAGGGAGUUGGACUGUUUCUCCAUAGAUGAUCAAGGUGUUGUGUUCUUUGGAGGCCAUCUAGUGGUUCCCAAGGUAUGCAACCUGAGGCGAUUGAUCCUUAAGGAAGCUCAUGAAUCCCCUCUCACUAUUCAUCCCAGUAGUACUAAAAUGUAUCAAGACCUACGCCAGAGGUUUUGGUGGACUAGGAUGAAGAGAGAAAUCGCUCAAUACAUUACCAAUUGCGACGUCUGUCGUCGAGUUAAAGAAGAGCAUCAACGACCUGCUGGCACCCUGCAACCUUUGGAAAUUCCCGAAUGGAAAUGGGAUAAAAUCGGUAUGGAUUUCAUUACCGGGUUUCCCAGGACCAAGAGGGGGAAUAAUGCUAUCUUCGUUGUUGUCGAUCGUCUUUCCAAAGUAGCCCACUUCCUACACGUUCGUGAGAGUUUAACCGCUAGCCAGCUAGCUGACUUAUACAUCUCCCGAAUAGUGUCUCUUCAUGGUGUUCCAUUGGAGACUAACUCAGACCGUGGAAGUCUCUUCACCUCUCGAUUUCGGGAAAGUUUCCAAAAUGCGAUGGGAACUCGUCUUUCUUUUAGCACCGCUUUCCAUCCUCAAUCAAGUGGUCAAGUAGAACGAGUCAAUCAAAUUCUAGAGGAUAUGCUUCGAGCUUCUGUCAUCUCUUUUGGUAUGAAUUGGGAGAAGUGCCUUCCAUUCGCUGAGUUCGCUUAUAACAAUAGUUAUCAAGCUAGCUUGGACAAAGCUCCUUUCAAAGUUCUCUAUGGAUGAAAAUGUCGAACACCUCUUAACUGGUCAGAAACCGGGUAAAGACAACUCUUUGGCCCGGAUAUGAUCCAGGAAGCAGAGGAGCAGGUUCACGUUAUUCGUGAGAAAUUGAAAACAGCCCAAUCUCAUCAAAAGAGCCAAUAUGACCGCAAACAUACACUAGUAGAAAAGGGGCCAAUGGUCCAGGCCGGUCCAGCCCAUUAGUCCCGGUUCAAUCCAGAACCGGGACCAAUGGGGGCAUUGGACCCGGUUCGUGAGCCCUGGGGGCCGGCCGGGCCACGUGGGCCAUUGGUCCCGGUUCGUCCUGACCUUUCGGUCCCGGUUGGUGGGACGAACCGGGACCAAUGGGCCUCGCUCCUGGCCCACCAACAUUGGUCCCGGUUGGUGGCUUGAACCGGGACCAAAGGCGUCCCUUUAGUCCCGGUUCAAGUCACCAACCGGGACCAAUUAGUUGCCUAUAUAUACCCCUCGCCUGCGAGCAGAGCACUCCCAGUGCUCUGUUUUUCGUGGCUGGCGAGGGGAGAGCUUUGUGGUGCUCUAGCUCACGUCCUAUGCACACAAGGUGUUCGAUGGAAUGCCCGAGCCACACUACUUAAGCUUUCUCCUCUCCAAGCUCGACCUCCAAGCUCCAUUUUCCUUCAUAUUUGUCUAGGUUUAGCGGUUCGUCACGUCCCGUCCCCAUCUUCACCACCGUUGAUCGCCCGCGCCGAUCUCGUCGCCGGCACCACCGUGGUGAGCCUCUUGUUCUUAUCUUCUUUCUGAAAGGAAAAAAAAUUCUUACUUGUAUGUUUAUAUAGAUACUUGUAUAAUUUUCUUACUUUUAUUAUUGCAUCUUAUAUAGUGCGAUGGUUUUGGUAUCCGCCCCCGUCGGCCCUCGUCCUGUCUAUGAUUCAGAUGUGGUAUAUAUAUAUUAUCUUUUCAUAACUAGUGGUUCAUUUAUUGUUUAUGACAAUUAUGCCGACCAACGUGACAUAGAUUUUAUUUAUCUAGGAGGUUGUUGAACCGGAAAUUCCAACCGACCCUAUUGUCGAGAGGUUAAAUUUAGUUGAAGAAAACAAUUUGUUGAAGGGAAAAAUUAGAAAAAUUGAGGAGGAGAAGAUGAUAUUGGAGUUGCAUGUUGCGGAUGUCAUCGAUGAUCACAAGAUCAAGAUGGAUGCAAUGCGCUUGAAGAUUAGAAAGAUUAGAAAAUAUGCCAUUCAUACCGAGGCUUGGUAUCAUUAUGUCGUUGGAUCAGUUGUUACAUUGGUUGCGAUUAUGAUCGUAUUUGUUUUCGCAUUGAAAUGUUUUACAUAGUUUCAGUGUAUGGUUUAAUUAAUUUAGAUGCCCUGCAGAGCUUUAUGUUGUUAGAUGAGAACUAUGUAUGUACUUUGGUUUUAAUGUGAUGAUGAACUUCUAUUAAUUUCGUCACUUAAUUAUCUAUUCAUGAUGUUCUGUAAUGAUUUUUGACACACUUAAUUAUAUAUAAUGCACGCAGAUGAACCGGCAAUGGAUGUACGGUUCAAGACACACCUCCGAGUACAUUAAGGGCGUGCAUGAUUUUCUCGAAGUGCCUGAGGCAACAAGAAGAAUGGUUUUAUGUGUUGUCCAUGCCCUAUAUGUGGGAAUACGAAGUCUUACUCUGACUGGAAAAUCCUCCACACCCACCUUCUUUACAAGGGUUUCAUGCCACACUAUAAUGUUUGGACGAGGCACGGAGAAAUAGGGGUUAUGAUGGAAGACGGCGAAGAAGAAGAGUACGAUGACAACUAUGUGCCCCCUGAAUACGGUGAUGCUACUGAAGAUCAAGAGGAACCAGACGAUGUGCCCGAUGAUGAUGAUCUCCGCCGGGUCAUUGUCGAUGCAAGGACGCAAUGCGAAAGUCAAAAGGAGAAGCUGAAGUUCGAUCGCAUGUUAGAGGACCACAAAAAAGGGUUGUACCCCAAUUGUGAAGAUGGCAACACAAAGCUCGGUACCGUACUGGAAUUGCUGCAGUGGAAGGCAGAGAAUGUUGUGCCUGACAAAGGAUUUGAGAAGCUACUGAAAAUAUUGAAGAAGAAGCUUCCAAAGGAUAACGAAUUGCCCGACAGUACAUACACAGCAAAGAAGUUCGUAUGCCCUCUAGGAUUGGAGGUGCAGAAGAUACAUGCAUGCCCUAAUGACUGCAUCCUCUACCGCGGUGCGUACAAGGAUCUGAACGCAUGCCCGGUAUGCGGUGCAUUACGGUAUAAGAUCAGACGAGAUGACCCUGGUGAUGUUGACGGCGAGCCCCCCAGGAAGAGGGUUCCUGCGAAGGUGAUGUGGUAUGCUCCCAUAAUACCACGGUUGAAACGUCUGUUCAGAAACGGAGAGCAUGCCAAGUUGAUGCGAUGGCACAGUGAGGACCGUAAGAAAGACGGGAAGUUGAGAGCACCCGCUGACGGGUCGCAGUGGAGAAAAAUCGAGGGAAAGUACUGGGAUGAGUUUGCAAGUGAGCCAAGGAACGUAUGGUUUGCUUUAAGCGCGGAUGGCAUUAAUCCUUUCGGGGAGCAGAGCAGCAAUCACAGCACCUGGCCCGUGACUCUAUGUAUGUAUAACCUUCCUCCUUUGAUGUGCAUGAAGCAGAAGUUCAUUAUGAUGCCAGUUCUCAUCCAAGGCCCUAAGCAACCCGGCGACGACAUUGAUGUGUACCUAAGGCCAUUAGUUGAAGAACUUUUAUAGCUGUGGAAUGGAAAUAGUGUACGUACGUGGGAUGAGCACAAACAGGAGGAAUUUAACCUAAAGGCGUUGCUGUUCGUGACCAUCAACAAUUGGCCCGCUCUCAGUAACCUUUCAGGACAGACAAACAAGGGAUACCACGCAUGCACGCACUGUUUACUUGACACCGAUAGUAUAUACCUAGCAAGUUGUAGGAAGAAUGUGUACCUGGGCCAUCAUCGAUUUCUUUCGACCAACCAUCAAUGUUGAAAGAAAGGCAAGCAUUUCAAAGGCGAGGCAGAUCACCGGAAGAAGCCCUCCAUGCGUACUGGUAUCACGUACUUGCUAUGGUAGUGAUUUACACGUAAUCUUUGGAAAGUGUCCCGGCGGACUAGCUGUUCCGAAUGACGCUGAGAAUCACGCACCCAUGUGGAAGAAGAAAUCUAUAUUUUGGGACCUACCCUACUAGAAAGACCUAGAGGUCCGCUCUUCGAUCGACGUGAUGCACGUGACGAAGAACCUUUGCGUGAACCUGCUAGGCUUCUUGGGCAUGUAUGGGAAGACAAAAGAUACAACUGAGGCACGGGAGGACCUGCAACGCUUGCACGAAAAAGUGGGCAUGCCUCCGAAGCAGUAUGAAGGUCCUGCCAGCUACGCUCUUACGAAAGAAGAGAAAUAAAUCUUCUUUGAAUGCCUGCUCAGUAUGAAGGUCCCGACUGGCUUCUCUUCGAAUAUAAAGGGAAUAAUAAAUAUGCCAGACAAAAAGUUCUAGAACCUAAAGUCUCAUGACUGCCACGUGAUUAUGACGCAACUGCUUCCGGUUGCAUUGAGGGGGCUUCUACCGGAAAACGUCCGAUUAGCCAUUGUGAACCUAUGUGCAUUCCUCAAUGCAAUCUCUCAGAAGGUGAUCGAUCCAGAAAUCAUACCAAGGCUAAGGACUGAUGUGGUGCAAUGUCUUGUCAGUUUCGAGCUGGUGUUCCCACCAUCCUUCUUCAAUAUCAUGACGCACGUCCUAGUUCAUCUAGUUGACGAGAUUGUCAUUCUGGGCCCCGUAUUUCUACACAAUAUGUACUUCUUUGAGAGGUUCAUGGGAGUCCUAAAGAAAUAUGUCUGUAACCGCGCUAGGCCAAAAGGAAGCAUCUCCAUGGGCUAUCAAACAGAGGAUGUCAUCGGGUUUUGUGUUGACUUCAUUCCUGGCCUUAAGAAUAUAGGUCUCCCUAAAUCGCGGUAUGAGGGGAGACUGACUGGAAAAGGCACGCUUGGAAGGGACUCAAUUAUAUGCAGGGACGGAUAUUCUUGGUCUCAAGCACACUACACAGUUCUACAGAACUCUACCUUGGUGACCCCGUAUGUCGAUGAACACAAGAACAGUCUGCGCUCCAAACACCCGGAGCAGUGCGACGACUAGAUUACAUGUGAACACAUCAGGACUUUCAGUAGUUGGUUGGAAGCACAUAUCAGAGGUGACAACACUGUUUGUGAUGAGUUGUACUUGUUGUCCAGGGGACCAUCUUUGACUGUAUUGAUUUGGAAAGGAUACGAGAUAAAUGGGAAUACAUUUUACACGAUUGACCAAGAUCAAAAGAGCACCAACCAAAACAGCGGUGUCCGCUUUGAUGAAACAACCGAGAGGGGAAAGGACACAUAUUGUGGUUACAUAGUGGACAUAUGGGAACUUGACUACGGACACGAUUUUAAGGUCCCUUUGUUUAAGUGCAAAUGGGUCAAUCUGUCAGGUGGCAGGGUACAGGUAGACCCACAGUACGGAAUGACAAUAGUGGAUCUGGAAAAUCUUGGAUACACUGACGAACUGUUCGUCCUAGCCAAUGAUGUGGCACAGGUUAUCUAUGUGAAGGACAUGUCUACCAGACCAAGAAAGAGAAAAGAUAAGGAAGCGAAUACAUCAUACGAUGAGCCAAAGUGCCACAUAGUUCUUUCAGGAAAAAGGGACAUCGUGGGAGUGGAGGACAAGACAGACAUGUCUGAAGAUUAUGAAAAGUUUCAUGAAAUUCCUCCCUUUAAUGUCAAGGCUGACCCCAGCAUCCUGAUAGACGAUGAAGAUUAUCCAUGGUUACGGCGCAAUAAGCAAAUGACACAAGCGAAGAAAAAGUGAAGACUUUCUCCCGCAACUAUUAUGAUGAUACCAUGCCAAAUUUGUAACUGACGAGUAUGAUACCAUUGUCCGUUUUGUACAUGCACAUGCUAUGUGGGUCAAUUUAUGAUACCAUGCCAACUUUCAACUUUUUCAGAGUUCAUUUGAAAUGCUUUAAUGUCUUAUGGUUCGGCCCUCGUAAUGAUUAAAAAUAGCAACAAUAAGUAUUUUGUUGUAAGUAGAAACAAAAUAAAAUAAAUAAAGCAAGAAAGAAAACAAAAAAAACAAAAAAAGUGUUUUCAAAUUUGAAAACUAAUGGUACUAACAGAAAGUUUAUAAUUUUCCUAAAACUAAAAGCAAAAAGAAUUGAAAAAUAAAGCAAAAAACAAAAGACAAUAAAUAAUGCAGAAAUCAAAACAAAAAACAACAAUAAGUAUUUUGUUGUAUGUAGAAACAAAACAAAAUAAAUAAAGCAAGAAAGAAAACAAAAAAACAAAAAAAGUGUUUUCAAAUUUGAAAACUAGGGCACUAACAGAAAGUUUAUAAUUUUCCUAAAACUAAAAGCAAAAAGAAUUAAAAAAUAAAGCAAAAAACAAAAGAAAAUAAAUAAUGCGGAAAACAAAACAAAAAAACUGGAAAAAAAAUAAAAUAGCAAAAAUAAGUAAAGAAAACAAAAAAAUGCCUCCUACUGGGCCCCCACGGCCUGAAUACGACUAGAAACCCUACUAUGGGCCAGGAUUCAGGCCCGCAGUAGGCCCAGAAGGCCCAUCAGGCAAAGCAAUAGCAAGUAGGCCCGAAAGCCUGCGGUGGAGAGGAGCUCGAGAGGGGUGCGGCAGUGGGGCUUAUAAACCACUGCACGCCCCUCUCAACUAGCGAGGUGGGACUAAACUUUGGCCCCGACGCGGGAAGCACAGGGGCCUUUGGUCCCGGUUGGUGGCACCAACCGGGACUAAAGGGGGGGGCAUUGGUACCGGUUCGUGGCACCAACCGGUACCAAAGGCCGCCGCUUCCCGCCCUUUGGGCUGCCGAAAAGGAGGCCUUUGGUCCUAGUUGGUGGCACUAACCGGGACUAAAGGGUGCAUUAGUCCCGGUUGAUUUCACGAACCGGGACCAAUGCCUUUGCUAUAUAAGCAAACACUUUGCAAAAUUUCAGAAUCCCAUCGCCAGUUGCCCCCGACGACGCCGACCCUCCUCGACGCUGCCAGGCUGCUCCACCUCGCCGUCGUCGCCGCCACCGCCAAGCCGUCGCCUCCCCGAGCCCGCGCCAUCCUCGUCGCCGGCCUCCCUGAGCCCGCGCCGUCCUCGUCGCCGGUCUCCUCGAGCCCGCUCCCCGUCCCGCCCCCGCGCGCCGCCGCCCCGAGCCCCUGCCCCGUCCUGCCCCCAUGCGCNNNNNNNNNNNNNNNNNNNNNNNNNNNNNNNNNNNNNNNNNNNNNNNNNNNNNNNNNNNNNNNNNNNNNNNNNNNNNNNNNNNNNNNNNNNNNNNNNNNNNNNNNNNNNNNNNNNNNNNNNNNNNNNNNNNNNNNNNNNNNNNNNNNNNNNNNNNNNNNNNNNNNNNNNNNNNNNNNNNNNNNNNNNNNNNNNNNNNNNNNNNNNNNNNNNNNNNNNNNNNNNNNNNNNNNNNNNNNNNNNNNNNNNNNNNNNNNNNNNNNNNNNNNNNNNNNNNNNNNNNNNNNNNNNNNNNNNNNNNNNNNNNNNNNNNNNNNNNNNNNNNNNNNNNNNNNNNNNNNNNNNNNNNNNNNNNNNNNNNNNNNNNNNNNNNNNNNNNNNNNNNNNNNNNNNNNNNNNNNNNNNNNNNNNNNNNNNNNNNNNNNNNNNNNNNNNNNNNNNNNNNNNNNNNNNNNNNNNNNNNNNNNNNNNNNNNNNNNNNNNNNNNNNNNNNNNNNNNNNNNNNNNNNNNNNNNNNNNNNNNNNNNNNNNNNNNNNNNNNNNNNNNNNNNNNNNNNNNNNNNNNNNNNNNNNNNNNNNNNNNNNNNNNNNNNNNNNNNNNNNNNNNNNNNNNNNNNNNNNNNNNNNNNNNNNNNNNNNNNNNNNNNNNNNNNNNNNNNNNNNNNNNNNNNNNNNNNNNNNNNNNNNNNNNNNNNNNNNNNNNNNNNNNNNNCGCUGCAUUGGCUCUGUUUUUUUUUCAUUUUUAUUAGUUUAAUUAUUUUUUUGUUCAUAUAUAUAUAUAUAUAUAUAAUGUAUAUGUGUAUGUAUGUGGCUAUAUAUGUGUAUGUAGAUGUUCAAAAAUUAUUCAGAGCACGUUUUUAUUCAUAUAUGUAUUUUUUGUUCAUAUGUGUAUUAAUGUUUUCAUAUAUGCAAAAGAUAGAUUUUUAGAAAAGUUAGGGUUUUUUUUUCUAUUCAUAGAUUUUUUUGGUGAUAUUAAUUAUUGUAGAAUAUGCAAAUGUUUGUAUAUUCAUAUGAACAAUGCAUUAGGCAAAACCUUUGUUUUUUUUGAAAUUUUUUAUUUGAACAUUUUUUAAAAACAAGCAAUACUAAAAGAAUGAGAGGAAAAAGGAAAAUAAGAAGAGGAAGAAAGGAGAAGAAGAGGAGAGGAAGAAGAGGAGAAAUAAAUAAGAAGAGGAAAAAAGAAGAGGGGAAGAAGAAAGGAAUAGAGGAGAAGAAGAAAAAUAGAAAUUUUCUAUUUUUCUUCUUCUCCUCUAUUCCUUUCUUCUUCUCCUCUUUAUUUUCUUCUUUUUUUUCUUCUUCCUUCUUCCUCUUUUCUUCCUUUUCCUUAUUUUCCUUUCUCGAGGGAGAAGAAGAAAAAGAAGAGUAAAAGAAGAAGAAAGGAAUAGAGGAGAAAGAAGAAACUUCAACACAAGGGGGGGUUACCGAUACCCCCUCCCCGAUAACAUUAUUUUCCCAUGUAUAUGUAUGUCGCGUCAUUGUCGAUAUAACCCCCUCGAGAUAACUUCGACAUGAGGGGCGGUCGAUAUAUAUACCCCCUCUCGACCGUGAUAACUUAUACAACGGCAGCACCCCCCUCGGCCCUCUCGCUCGACCAAAACUCUUGAGGACACCCAAACCCUAGAGAGAAAACGAUGUUGGUCUCCUACCCCCUCCCGCCGCGCCCCUACCCGACAUAUUAACUCUCUCGAGGCCACCCAAAUUUACCAAGUUAAAAGAGCGUUGUCGUCGAGGCCACCCCAAACCCUUGAAGCGUUGUGUCGAGGAGACCCCAAACCCUAGAGAAGCAGCGUCGAGGCCACUAACAUGGAUCGAUCCAUCUGUAAUAAUAAUUGACAUGGUGUAAAUAUUUGCAGAAACUAUGGAGCACUCCCGAGACGAAGAAACAGAAGCGAUGUUGGGGGACAUUAUCGCACAAGGAAGUGAUGAAGUUGCGUCAUUUCUCAACGACACCGAUGGUCAGGAACGACUGGGUGAAGAAGAGGGCUAUGUUCAUGAUGGCUUCGACCCAUUAAUGCCGGUACAAGAAGAGGACUAUGUUCAUGAUGGCUCUGGUGACACAAUGGAGGUACAAGAAGGAGACCGUGCUGACUGCUCCGGUGACCGAACCGAGUCCGGCCAGGUAUAUAUAUAUAUAUUAGUUAAGCCCGUGCUGACUAGUUAAUUGAUGCAUCCAUUGUUUUGGUAUAUGUACACAUAUUAAUUACUCUCGUCUUUCUUCCUUAUAAUUUCUAGCCCUCCGGAUCGAGCACAACUUCGGUAAGAAGACGAAGCCCGAAGAAAAAGUUGAGCUCGGAUGAAAAGUUUGAGAUCAUAGAAAUCGCGCCCGACGGCGAACCGAUUGAACCCAUCCGGACAAGGAAGGCAUUUUCUGCUCAGUGCGGGGUUCUUGUUAGGGACAAGAUCCCGAUCAGCAUCCAUCAAUGGUAUAAGCCUAAGGAGGAAGACCCCGAGGUGUCUUAUGUCAAUGAUAUGCAGAAAGAAGAUCUUUGGACUGAGCUAAAGGCAAAUUUCACCCUACCGCUAGAGGAGGAUCCGGAGAAGCCAGUUAUAGAGCAAUUAAUCAAUUCUUGUGCUCUUAAGAAGAUGGCAACCCUAAUGAGGAGGUGGAGGAAAGAGGUGAACCAGUUUGUCGAGAAAGAUAAGACACCAGAAUUCAUCGGCAAAUAUGAGAAGAUCAAAGAUCACUGGCCCGCAUUUGUGGCCCACAAGACAUCGGAAAAGAGUAAGAAGAUGUCGGCAACAAACAAGAAAAAUUCUGCAAAGAAGAAGCUUCACCAUCGCACGGGGUCAGGUGGCUACCUCAAAGCCCGGCCUAAGUGGUCCAAGGCUGAGCAUGAUCUGCUUGAAAAAGGGAUCGAACCAGAGACAAUGUACUGGCCAGACCGUUGUCGGACUUGGUUCUUCGGGGCUGGCGGAACCUUGGACCCUGUAACAGGGAAGUGCCAGUGGACGGAUGAGCAACUACAAAUACCAGUCAAGAAACUUCGACACUAUAUCGAUGCAGCGUAGCGAGGGACGCUCCUUCCAAACAGGGAGAAGGACGAGCUCACAAUGGCCCUUGGGAAUCCUGAGCACCCUGGAUGGACACGAGGCACGCCAGGCUCCAUUCCAUGGAAGGUUGGUCUUCCGCACACAGGGGGUUACAAAACCCACGAGAGGAGGAAGAAACUGGAGCAGGACCAAAUGCAGGCGCUGCACGAAAGGGUAAUGGGGCUAGAGGAACGAGAAGCAGCAGAUCGCAGCAAACGACAUGCCGAAGCUUCCCCCGAAGCUACCUCGCCAUCUCAGCGGAGAAGCAGCGUGGCUUCCACCGAGCUGCUUCAGCCGGAGCAUGUCUUGACGUCUCCUGCCAGCUAUCCCGUGGAUGGUAUCACGGAGUCUCAAAGUUGCCACAUUAUGACGCAAUGUAUGAAUUUGAAGGUCAAGGCGGCUGUUGGCCAAGUUUAUCCUAGUGGACCCGGCACAACUUAUCACUGCCAGCCGAUUCCAGAAGGAUUUGCUAAGGUGAUGGUGGAUGAAAUAACGGAGGGAUUUGAGGACCUCCUGCUUGAGCACCCUACCGGUGAAGGGGAGACUAGGCUGGGUUCUGCUCUGAAGACUCCAUGCCUAUGGCGGAAGGAGCUCAUCAACCUUCCGAACUGGACGCCUCCGCCUCCUCCUCCUCCUCCGGCGAGUCAGGGCACUCCGCCUCCUCCACCGCCUCCUCCUCCGGCGAGUGAUGAUCAGGGCACACGUGGCAGCACUCCGCCUCCUUCUCCGCCUGCGCCGGCGCGCCCGAGCAGCCAGCCUCCUCCUUCUCCGCCUCGUCAGCAAGGGCGAAAGAGACCCGCCGCUGCUCCGGCUGCUCCGGCGCGUCGUAAUCCUUCUCCUCCGCCUCACAAAAAGCAAGCAAAGAAGACAUCCACUCCGUCUGCUCUGUCGGUGUCUAGCAGUACAGCCAAAGGCGGGAAGAAAUACAGAUUUGGUCCUUCUCCGAAGACUCCAGAGAAGUUACCGUACGAGAGGACCGAGGAGGAAAACGCGGAGAUCACGCAGAACGAACUGGAUGGCUGGUUUGCAGGGUUGAAAGCAAAGAGACAUCCACCUCCGGAGGAGAAGGUAGAUCCGGUGAAAGUGAAGCGCACUCUGGCUGCCCUGAGGAAACCGGCAAAGUCUCCGCCGAGAACCAACUAUGAGCGCAUUACUGAACAGACAUAUCUCCAAGCGGAGCAGUCGGGAAGUACUGUCAGACAUCAAAGAGCAAAAGAACGAGCAGCUGCGAAAAAAGUUGACCAGCUCGGCGAACAACCAAACCAAUCGUGCCCCCCGCUCAAUGUGUCUAGCGGCAACAUCGUCGCUAAUGUUCCGGGGAUCAUGGACGGUUAUGGCAAUCCACAAUAUUACCUGCCUGACGAUGCACUUCCUGAAUUCAUGAUGGUGGAAGAACGCAGAUACGAGUACGGGAAGCCUCUCAUCAAAGAUGUAAAAUCUCUAACAACGAUGAUGCGAAGAUUCCAUACUUGGUACAUGAAAACCUGCAGAGAGUCUGGGGGGACGAAUAGUUUGUAUCUACACAUUAAAGAGGAGCACGACCUCGUUGGAACUGAUCUGUUGUGUGUUCCAUUUGAGGAGUUCUUCGCGUUCUUCAAUCAAAUAGCCCUCGAUAAAUUAACGGUCUUUUGCUACUGCCUGUAAGUACUAUUUCUGUCAUUAAGUCUCUAUAUAUAGCUUGGCUUUCAUUACAUGUAUUUAUAAUUAAUUAUCCUCAAUAUAUUAUGCAGAUUGAAGAUCGUCGAGUGCAAAAAAAUGAAAUCUAUGAUAUUGGGUUCAUUAACACAAAUAUCAUAGAUGUAUUUCUGGUUGAAAAGCACAUCGAAGAGGCCGAGGACAACUUGCUACGAUCAUUGAUCAAAAAUCAAAACAAAGAUACCAUACUCUUUCCUUACAACACCAAGUGAGUGUUACUGAUCAUUUGCAUAUUCGGUUUCCCUUAUUACUCGAGCGAGGUUAUAGUAAUGUAAUUGAUGAGUUAUGCAUGUGUGCGCAGGUACCACUAUAUUCUUCUGGAGAUUAAGCUUGAGCGUGGACUAGUAACCGUCUUAGACUCGAGACGGAAAGAUCCCAGCACCUAUGCGGACAUGACUGAAAUGCUCAGCAAGUAAGUUCAAUCGAUCAUUAUCGCACCAUAGCGGCAACUUUUUGUUCAUUUCCUGAUAUCUCAAGUAAUAAUAAUUAUUUUCUUUGUCUUGCAGGGUUUGGAAACAGUUCACCACAGUAGCUCGGGGACUGCCGAAGGAGCUGCGAUAUAUAUACCCGAAAGUAAGUACUACUGGCUAGCUAGUUGUGUGCAUCUCCUGUUGAUUCUAUAGCUAUACUUUCAUCACAUUUAUAAUGCUUCAUUAUCAGUUUGAUAGACCUCUAUUUCUCGUAAAGUGCUUGUGGUAGGAACAAGGGAAUGAUUUCUAUAGAUACUACGUGUGCGAGUUCAUCUACAACGCGACUUUGAAAAAUAAGCGGGGCUACUCUCAAAGACAAUAUGAAGUGCGUAAGCAAUUAAUAAUAUUCACAAUUUCUGUUGAGUUUCAUUCAUAUAUAUAUAUAUAUAUAUAUAUAUAUAUAUAUAUGUAUUAAUUAACCCCCUUCUUCAAAUUAGACGUGGCAGAUGCGGAAUGAACUCCUAGAACCAGAUCGCAUGAAAGGAAUUCAAGAGGAAUUGGCGGGAUUCUUUCUUGACCACGUCAUCAAUAAAGCCGGAGAAUACCAUGUGGAACUUGAUUUCAAAUGCUAGGGGACUGUAAUUGAGAGAUCUUAUAUAUUGUACAUGUUGUAUGUAGCCAGUAGCGUCGGACAUACAUGAUACAAAAACUUGUUGUUUGACCAAUCUCUCGGAGAAGGAGACGUCGAUCGAUCACUUCUCUCGGUAUGCAUGACGAACUUCUGUACUUAAUGGUUUCCUUCAUUUUCUUACUAGCUAGCGUGUCGAGAGCCUCUCUAUGUAUAGUACGUAGCGUCGACCAAGCACGGACAUAAGAGAGGACACUUCUCUCUAUUAAUUAGCUAGCUAACACAAUAUAUGAAACACCUAAAUUAACCCCCAAAACCNNNNNNNNNNNNNNNNNNNNNNNNNNNNNNNNNNNNNNNNNNNNNNNNNNNNNNNNNNNNNNNNNNNNNNNNNNNNNNNNNNNNNNNNNNNNNNNNNNNNNNNNNNNNNNNNNNNNNNNNNNNNNNNNNNNNNNNNNNNNNNNNNNNNNNNNNNNNNNNNNNNNNNNNNNNNNNNNNNNNNNNNNNNNNNNNNNNNNNNNNNNNNNNNNNNNNNNNNNNNNNNNNNNNNNNNNNNNNNNNNNNNNNNNNNNNNNNNNNNNNNNNNNNNNNNNNNNNNNNNNNNNNNNNNNNNNNNNNNNNNNNNNNNNNNNNNNNNNNNNNNNNNNNNNNNNNNNNNNNNNNNNNNNNNNNNNNNNNNNNNNNNNNNNNNNNNNNNNNNNNNNNNNNNNNNNNNNNNNNNNNNNCCCCCUGCCUGGGCUCGGCGCGUGGAUGCCUUUUGGUCCCGGUUGGUGCCACCAACCGGGACCAAAGGCCCCCCUGCCUGGGCUCGGCGCACAGGCCACGUGGAGGACCAUCUAUCCCGGUUCGUGUUACAACCGGGACUAAAGGGGGGAGGUAUUAGUAACGACCCAUUAGUCCCGGUUCAUGAACCGGGAGUAAAGGCCCUCACGAACCGGGACUAAUAGGUGUUUGUCUACUAGUGAUAAGCCUAUGACUUAUGAAGUUGGUGAGAAGGCUUACCUUCGGGUUACACCUUUAAAGGGAACCCAUCGAUUCGGUAUCAAGGGCAAGUUGGCCCCUUGUUACAUUGGACCCUUUUGCAUUCUUGCCAAACGAGGGGAAGUUGCCUACCAGUUGGAACUACCUCCACAUCUUUCUAGAGUUCAUGAUGUCUUCCACGUCUCUCAACUCAGGCAUUGCUUCUCGAAUCAUAUCCGCGAAGUAGACCAUGAAACGCGUGAUCUCCAAGAAAAUCUCACUUAUCGAGAAUAUCCAAUUCGCAUCCUUGAUCAAGCCGAGCGUACCACUCGACGCCAGAAUAUCAAGUUUCUCAAGGUUCAAUGGUCACACCACUCCGAUCAAGAAGCAACUUGGGAAAGGGAGGAUCAUCUACGACUUGAGUAUCCCACCUUCUUCCCGAUAGACCCUAAAUCUCGGGAUGAGAUUCUUUUGAGUGGGGGUGAGUUGUCACAACCUAGCUAGUCCAUGCAUUAGAGUGUUGCAUCAUGUCUACCUUUUAUCAGAAACUUGAAUUGGGGAAGACAGAACCCCCCCAGAACCCCUCUAAAUUCAACUAGUGCUUACUAAAAAUAUUUUCAAUGAACCUGAAAUGCCCUUCUAAAAAGUUCACCCUCUUUGUCUUGGGUUAGAACCUCUGGCAAAAUUGGUGCACAAUUUUCUAGGUCAACAGAAGGCCAUUGAAUUAAAUCAUAUCUACUUUGAGUUUGGGCAUUUAAACUAUAUAAAAUAUUUCAAAUGCUCAAAUAACUCCAAACUAAAAUGUUCCAUACUGGAUAUAUUCCAACUAGCGACCAUGUGCAGUUUGGUGAUUUUUGGAGUUGCCUAAGUAUUUUUAGAAAUGCAACAAACUUACAGAAACAAUUAAAAACAGAAACAAAUGGGGAAAAAACCCUUACCUGGCCGAACCAAGCCCCAGCCCAGCUGGCCGGCCCAGCACUGUGCUGGCCCAUGCCAGCCAGCUGCUUUGCCAUCGCCACGCAGGCACAGAGCUGACGCCAGCGAGUGUGAGCUCGCCACGGCGCCAACUGCUUGCCGCCCGCGCCACCGAGCACCUGGGUGAGCUCCACGUCGCCACCCCGACCCCGUGGACACCUCAUUCGCCCCCCUGCCUCUUCCCUCGCUCUCCCGCACCAUGGCCGACGCACCCGUCGCCGCACCGCCGACGUAGUCGCGCCCUCCAUCGUCCCCGUGCUGCACCACCGUGUCCCUUCGCUCCGUCGUCAUCAACUACAUCGAGCAGGCCGAGCCCCGAGCGCUCGUGGGCCUUGCUUCGUCUUCUUUGACCUCAUCUUCACCGAGCACCACCGCAGAUCCCCUUCGCCGUCGCCGCUGCACCAGCUCGUCCCCGACCUCGCCGACCACUCCGUUGUGACCGCCGUGAGCUCAGCCACCUCCCCAUCCUCCCCGUUUGCCUUCUCGUGCACCGUAGCAGCCGCAUGGAGCUUCAUCGCACGCACCACCGCCGAGCUCGUCGCCGACGUGCCUCCGGCCAUCCACCGUCCACACCACGGUAUCUAACAUGCUCAUUGCAUCGCGUAGAGUCUAACGCCCCACUCCACGCGCCUCGCCGUGCCCCGUAGCCACGGGUCAAUUUUCACCCGACUCCGGCGACCGUCGCGGUCGUCGCUGCCGACGUUCCUGGCCACCUCGACCUCAACCACCACCACCAAACGCCGCGGCUUGUUCCUGGCUACACGUAGAUGGUCUUCGCCGUCCAUUUGGUCGCCGGAACGUGCUAACCCACUUCCUCUGCCGCAUCUGGCCUCGCCAGCGGCUAGACGCCGGCGUGUUUGACCCGUUGACGUUGACUGGGUGGGCCAGGUUGACUCCCCUGAGUCUAUGACAAGUGGGCCCCCCCCUCUGCUAAUUAACCUAGUUUAGUUCUUACUAAAAUCAGUUAGUUUAAAUAAGUGCUGACAUGCGGGACCCACUGGUCAGUUUGACCUGAACGACCCCUUUGACCAUUGACGUCACCCUGAUGCACUGCUGACGCAAUAACCAAUUUCUGGAUUUAUUGUUAUAUAGGAAAUUCCAGAAAUUGUUGCAAACUUCAAAAAUUCAUAGAAAUUAAUCUGUAACUCCAAAUGCAAAGAUUUAUAUAUGAAUUUCGAUCAAAAAAAUUCAAUAUAUCCAUUGGUAAUGGUUUCAUGCAUGUCAGAACAAGUUAACCUUGUUGUUUAAUCAAAACAAGUUAAUGCACUAAUAUGACUAUGUUAAAUGAACUACCAUUUGCAUCUUUGAUUCAAAUGAGUUCAUACCUUUCUGUUCUAGCUUGCAUUAGGCCAGGACACAUUCAUGUUGCCAUGUCAUAGCAUGCAUCAUAUUGUUGCAUAUCGUCAUGUGUGGUUCAUGUUCGGUGUGUUUUCGUGAUAGGUUCUGCCUCCGAGGAUAACCCCGAAUAUCCGUCUGAAGGGCAGUAUCCUACUACCACUACAUCAGGCAAGCAACCCAUUGAUCAUUCUGAUACAAACCCAUGUUCUCGCCUCUGCUCUUGUUUACUGCAUUAAGAUAACGCGAUUCAAACUGUUGUGUGUUGUGGUAGUUGAACCCACUUCCUUUGCAUGACCUGUCAUUGCCACGGUAACUAGAUGAAACCCACUAGCAUGUGUAGGAGUUGAUUGAGCCAUAUCUGUGUUACCUACCAUGCUAUGCUUGCUAUGCUUAGAGUUGUGUCAGGUCUGGCUCAUCAGGAUGAUGAACUAGAGUGAAAGGUUGUGUCGGUAACGAGAGUGAAGUGUUGAACACGAUUUGGUAAAGGUAUCGAUGAGAGGCCAUGUAGGAGUACAUGGUGGGUUGUUUCAUUGAGGCCGUCCUUAAGCACUGAGAUCUGUGUGUGUGAUUUAAGAUUCAGCUACUACCACGCAUUGGGCCCAAAACCAAUGGACCCUCUCGACUUAUUAACCACUCUUGUCCUCAGUCCGGGAGUUGCAAGUAGUUUCUGGUGUUUGUAGCAUGCUGGGGGCCGCACGCAGCGCUGACCUUAGGGGUGGGUUGUGUUGCGGUAGGCACGUGGCACGGUGUAUCGAUUCGCCCGUUUGGUGUCUCGGGAACCCUGUUCACAUCGUUCGGGGCCGUUAGUGGAAACCUCGGCCGGACUCCCUGCGGAUGGAACCCAAAUAGGCGAUAAACCUGGACUAGGGACUCGUGUGUUUAGUCAGGCCAUGGCCGACACCCUUGCUGGGCUUCCGCUUGAAGGUUGCCGAGUACACGUCAUGUAGUGGCGAUAAGUGGUGAGAGCGUGUGUGAAGAAGUACACCCCUGCAGGGUACAAAACUAUUCGAAUAGCCGCGUCCACGGUAAAGGACUACUUGGUCACCUAUACAGUUCAUAGACAAGUAAAUGGAUACUUCUAAAAGCCUCAAGAUAAGUGUGAGUGCCGCGGAUGGCCCUGUCGUAGGUUGACGAGAGAGGAUCCACGGUGGAGUAUUGUGUUGGUGAGUAGUGGACUCGUGUGCGACAAAUGUUUUGCAAGUUGUGUCUAUCGUUGGAUAGCUUAGCCAAGAGUCAAAGCUGGCUUGCUGCAAUAACUCCACUACCUUCUUGAGAAUGUGCAUGUAUGAUAGGAUUCUGUUGUAAGACUUGCUGAGUACCUCUGUACUCAUGUUUGCUUAAUUAAUGUUUUCAGACGACAACACCAACCCCUCCGAUGGGUUCUACGUAGACCUCGACGUUGACGAGUGACUAGCCACCCAAGUGGUGAUCCAAGACUUGUGAAGGGCCGAUGUAGAUAGAAAGGCUUCAUCAAGCCCUCUUUCUUUCUAGUGUCUGUACUCAGACUAGUUGCUUCCGCAUGUGCUUGUAUGCUUGUAUGACUUGAGUGUCAGGUCAUGUGACCCCUAUCUGUAUGAACAUGUUAUGUAUGGCUCCUCGGAGCCACUUAAAUAAAGUACUUUGAGUUGUAGAGUUUUGUUGUGAUGCCAUGUUGUAUGUACUCAUAUCGGGCAUAUUGUGUGUAUGUUUGAAAUGCUUGGUAUGAGUGGGAUCCGACAAUCUAGUUGUUUAUCCUUGGCAGCCUCUCAUAUGGGGAAAUGUAGUCUAGUGCUUCUUGAGCGAUAGUAGUCCGCUACAGCCCGGUUCACCGGAGUCCUGCUAGCCCAGUACUACUGCUCUGGACACUUGACUGGCCGGCAUGUGUUUCACUUUGUUCCUGUGUCUGUCCCUUCGGGGAAAUGUCAAGCGGUGGCAUCCGGAGUCCUGCCUAGCCUGCUACAGCCCGGGUUACCGGAGUCCUGUUAGCCCAGCGUUACAUCCCGGAUGUAUACGUUGAUGACCAACAUGCUCGAUGUGAUUCAUGUAUGCAUGUCCCCAUAGGUUAGCGCCGCUUGGGUUCACGACUAGCCAUGUCGGCCCGGGUUCUCAGUCAUGUGGAUGCUAGCGACACUAUCAUAUACGUGAGCCAAAAGGCGCAAACGGUCUCGGGCCAUGGUAAGGCGCCACCCGUGGGAUUACCGUGCGUGAGGCCGCAAAGUGAUAUGAGGUGUUACCGGCUGGAUCAAUGUGACUUGGAAUCGGGGUCCUGACAAUUACUUGCUCCUAUCAUAUGUUUGGUUGCAACAAUGUCACUUCUUCACAUAUGCCAUGUCCCAUUGCUUGUCUCAUGCUUGACUUCAUUGCCUCACACAUGAUGAACAAUUGCUCUUUAUAUUGUGUUGAGUGUUACACUAUAUUCACUACAUCCUAUGCACGUUAUGUUUGGAUUGUCUUGCACUUGACCCAUGUGUUUAGACACUUCAUUUUAUUUGGUGUUGUGAAUCCUUCCUAUGCCUACCAUAGACCUUUCAUUGAGCAAUUUGUGAAUGCUUGCUAUGACCUCGAGGUAGAUGCUUAUGCUCUUGUCACACAUAUUUGCAUCUCUACCUCACAUUUACAUGCUUGUUCCCAUGAUAUUUUUGCUUGUGCUCGAUUGAUAUGCUUACAUGCCAUGUCACAAUCCUUUGUCACACCCUAUGCUAUGCUUGAUGACAACACUUGUUUGGUGAAUCACCUCUUGAAUGCUUGGUUUUGCACGAACGCAAACCACAUUUGUUUUUCCACGGGUUUGUUCUAUUUGCUCCUUUUGAAGGAAUCACAAGAUGGUGCGACACUGGAGAGUGCCCACUUCGAGCUACUAGACGAUGAGUGCUUGGUGAUCGACCACUUCGAUAUGGCACCGCCAUCUCUUUCCUAUGGUGAUUUGGUUUUCGAUCCGAGGUCGAAUCCUUCUCAAGGGGGAGGGGAUGAUGCGGAGCAUCCUAUGGACAUCACCAUGUCAAGAGUCCAUUCGGCAAGUGACACGUGCGACAUCUACUUCUCAUACAUAAAGGUGAAUCUUCUCCUUUACACGUGUUCACUUGACCCCUUCGAGGAUGGUAUACUACUUGACACUUCUCCCGUGUGCAUGCAUAGGUAUUGUCAGAGCUUUACGGAUGUCGAGGAGUGCAAGCGCCAAGGAACGACUACACCGUCCGCGAGGGAAGCAUGGAAGAGAAGGAGGAAGAGAACCUGGUGUUGGGGAACGUAGUAAUUUCAAAAUUUUCCUACGCACAUGCAAGAUCAUGGUGAUGAUAUAGCAACGAGGGGAGAGUGUUGUCUACGUACCCUCGUAGACCGAAGCGGAAGCGUUGACGCAGCGUAGAGGAAGUAGUCCUACGUCCUCCCGGUCCGACCGAUCCAAGCACCGUUACUCCGGCACCUCUGAGUUCUUGACACACGUACAGCUCGAUGACGCACCCUCGAUCUCCAAUCCAGUAGAGGCUCCAAGGGGGAGUUCCGUCAGCACGACGGCGUGGUGACUAUCUUGAUGUUCUCCUGUCGCAGGGCUUCGCCUAAGCACCGCUACAAUAUGACCGAGGUGUAAUAUCGUGGAGGGGGGCACCGCACACGGCUAAGGAACGAUCAAUGAUCAACUUGUGUGUUCUAGGGUGCCCCCUACCCCCGUAUAUAAAGGAGGGAGGGAGGAGGUGGCCGACCCAAGGAGGGGGCGCGCCAUGGGAGGAGGAAACCUACUCCAAGUAGGUUUCCCCUCUUUUUCCUUAUCUUAUUUGGAGGGGGAAGGAAGGAGUACUAGUAGUAGGAAGGAGUACUAGUAGUAGGAAAGGAAGAGGGGGAAGGAGAAAGGAAAGGGGGGGCCGGCCCCCCUCCCCAAUUCGGAUUGGGCUUGGGGGGGCGCGCCCCCCUCCCUUGCUCCUUCUCCCUUCCUCCUACAUGGGCCCAAUAAGGCCCAUAUACCUCCCGGGGGGGUUUCGGUAACCUCCCGGAGCUCCAAACUCUUCCGGAACCUUUCCGGUGUCCAAAUAUAUCCGUCCAAUAUAUCGAUCUUUAUGUAUCGACCAUUUCGAGACUCCUCGUCAUGUCCGUGAUCAUAUCCGGGACUCCGAACAAACUUCGGUACAUCAAAAUACAUAAACUCAUAAUAUAACUGUCAUCGAAACCUUAAGCGUGCGGACCCUACGGUUCGAGAACGAUGUAGACAUGACCGAGACAUGUCUCUGGUCAAUAACCAAUAGCGGGACCUGGAUGCCCAUAUUGGUUCCUACAUAUUCUACGAAGAUCUUUAUCGGUCAAACCGCAUAACAGCAUACGUUGUUCCCUUUGUCAUUGGUAUGUUACUUGUCCGAGAUUUGAUCGUCGGUAUCCAAUACCUAGUUCAAUCUCGUUACCGACAAGUCUCUUUACUCGUUCUGUAAUACUUCAUCUCAUAACUAACUCAUUAGUUAUAUGCUUGCAAGGCUUAUGUGAUGAGCAUUACCGAGAGGGCCCAGAGAUACCUCUCCGACAAUCGGAGUGACAAAACCUAAUCUCGAAUUAUGCUAACUCAACAUGUACCUUCGGAGACACCUGUAGUACUCCUUUAUAAUCACCCAGUUACGUUGUGACGUUUGGUAGUACCCAAAGUGUUCCUCCGAUAAACGGGAGUUACACAAUUCUCAUAGUUACAGGAACAUGUAUAAGUCAUGAAGGAAGCAAUAGCAGAAUACUAAACGAUCAAGUGCUAAGCUAACGGGAUGGGUCAUGUCAAUCACAUCAUUCUCCUAAUGAUGUGAUCCCAUUAAUCAAAUGACAACACAUGUCUAUGGUUAGGAAACAUAACCAUCUUUGACUAAUGAGCUAGUCAAGUAGAGGCAUACUAGUGACUAUAUGUUUGUCUAUGUAUUCACACAUGUAUCAUGUUUCCGGUUAAUACAAUUCUAGCAUGAAUAAUAAACAUUUAUCAUGAUAUGAGGAAAUAAAUAAUAACUUUAUUAUUGCCUCUAGGGCAUAUUUCCUUCAGUCUCCCACUUGCACUAGAGUCAAUAAUCUAGUUCACAUCGCCAUGUGAUUUAACACCAAUAUUCAUAUCUGUAUAUGAUUAACACCCAUAGUUCACAUCAUCAUGUGACCAACAUCCAAAGUGUUUACUAGAGUCAAUAAUCUAGUUCACAUCGCUAUGUGAUUAACACCCAAAGAGUACUAAGGUGUGAUCAUGUUUUGCUCGUGAGAGAAGCUCAGUCAACGGGUCUGUCACAUUCAGAGCCAUAUGUAUUUUGCAAAUAUUCUAUGUCUACAAUGCUCUGCACGGAGCUACUCUAGCUAAUCGCUCCCACUUUCAAUAUGUAUCCAGAUUGAGACUUAGAGUCAUCUGGAUCGGUGUGAAAACUUGCACCGAGAUAACUUUUACGACGGGCUCUUUUAUCACCUCCAUAAUCGAGAAAUAUUUCCUUAGUCCUCACUAAGGAUAUUCUUGACCAAUGUCCAGUGAUCUACUCCUAGAUCACUAUUGUACUCCCUUGUCAAAUACAGAGCAAGGUAUACAAUAGGUCUGGUACAUAGCAUGGCAUACUUUAUAGAACCUAUGACUGAGGCAUAGGGAAUGACUUUUCAUUCUCUUUCUAUUUUCUGCUGUGGUCGGGAUUUGAGUCUUACUCAAUUUCAUACCUUUGCAACACAGGCAAGAACUCUUUCUUUGACUGUUCCAUUUUGAACUACUUCAAAAUCUUGUCAAGGUAUGUACUCAUUGAAAAUCUUAUCAAGCGUCUUGAUCUAUCUCAAUAGAUCUUGAUGCUCAAUAUGUAUGUAGUUUUACUGAGGUCUUUCUUUGAAAAAACUCUUAUUCAAGUAUCCUUUAAUGCUUUGCAGAAUAAUUCUACAUUAUUUCCGAUCAGCAAUAUGUCAUUCACAUAUACUUAUCAGAAAUGCUGUAGUGCUCCCACUCACUUUCUUGUAAAUACAGGCUUCACCGCAAGUCUGUAUAAUACUAUAUGCUUUGAUCAACUUAUCAAAGCGUAUAUUCCAACUCUGAGAUGCUUGCACCAGUCCAUAGAUGGAUUGCUGGAGCUUGCACAUUUUGUUAGCACCUUUAGGAUUGACAAAACCUUCUGGUUGUAUCAUAUACAACUCUUCUUUAAUAAAUUCAUUAAGGAAUGUAGUUUUGACAUCCAUUUGCCAAAUUUCAUAAAAUGUGGCAAUUGCUAACAUGAUUCGGACAAACUUUUAAGCAUCGAUACGAGUAAGAAAAUCUCAUCGUAUUCAACACCUUGAACUUUGUCAAAAACCUUUUUUCGACAAGUCUAGCUUUGUAGAUAGUAACACUACUAUCAACGUCCGUCUUCCUCUUGAAGAUCCAUUUAUUCUUAAUGACUCACUGAUCAUCGGGCAAGUCAAUCAAAGUCUACACUUUGUUCUCAUACAUGGAUCAUAUCUCAGAUUUCAUGGCCCCAAGCCAUUUCGUGGAAUCUGGGCUCAUCAUCGCUUCCUCAUAGUUCGUAGGUUCAUCAUGGUCUAGUAACAUGACUUCCAGAACAUGAUUACCGUACCACUCUGGUGCGGAUCUUACUCUGGAAGACCUACGAGGUUUGGUAGCAACUUGAUCUGAAGUUUGAUGAUCAUCAUCAUUAACUUCCUCACUAAUUGGUGUAGGAAUCACUGGAACUGAUUUCUGUGAUGAACUACUUUCCAAUAAGGGAGAAGGUACAAUUACCUCAUCAAGUUUUACUCUCCUCCCACUCACUUCUUUCGAGAGAAACUCCUUCUCUGGAAAGGAUCCAUUUUAGCAACGAAUGUCUUGCCUUCGGAUCUGUGAUAGAAGGUGUACCCAACAAUUUCCUUUGGGUAUUCUAUGAAGACGCACUUCUCCGAUUUGGGUUCGAGCUUAUCAGGAUGAAACUUUUUCACAUAAGCAUCGCAGCCCCAAACUUUAAGAAACAACAGCUUAGGUUUACUGCUAAACCAUAGUUCAUACGGUGUCGUCUCAACGGAUUUAAAUGGUGCCCUAUUUUAAAACGUGAAUGCAGCUGUCUCUAAUGCAUAACCCCAAAACGAUAGUGGUAAAGAGACAUCAUAGAUCGCACCAUAUCAAAUAAAGUGCGGUUACGACGUUCGGACACACCAUAACGAUGUGGUGUUCCAGGUGGUGUGAGCUGUGAAACUAUUCCACAUUGUUUUAAUUGAAGACCAAACUCGUAACUCAAAUAUUUGUCUCCGCUAUCAGAUCGCAGAAACUUUAUUUUCUUGUUACGAUGAUUUUUCCACUUCACUCUGAAAUUCUUUGAACCUUUCAACUAUUUCAGACUUAUGUUUCAUCAAGUAGAUAUACCCAUAUCUGCUCAAAUCAUCUUGUGAAGGUCAGAAAAUAACGAUACUUGCCACGAGCCUCAACACUCAUUGGAUCGCAUACAUCGGUAUGUAUUAUUUCCAAUAAGUCAGUAGCUUGUUCCAUUAUUCCGGAGAACGGAGUUUUAGUCAUCUUGCCCAAAAGGCACGGUCCGCAAGCAUCAAAUGAUUCAUAACCAAGUGAUUCCGAAAAUCCAUCUUUAUGGAGUUUCUUCAUGCGCUUUACACCGAUAUGACCCAAACGGCAGUGCCACAAAUAAGUUGCACUAUCAUUAUUAACUUUGCAUCUUUUGGCUUCAAUAUUAUGAAUGUGUGUAUCACACGAUCGAGAUCCAACAAACCAUUUUCAUUGGGUGUAUAACCAUAGAAAGUUUUAUUCAUGAAAACAGAACAACAAUUAUUCUCUAACUUACAUGAAUAACCGUAUUGCAAUAAACAUGAUCAAAUCAUAUUCAUUCUCAACGCAAACACCAAAUAACACUUAUUUAGGUUUAACACUAAUCCCGGAAGUAUAGGGAGUGUGCGAUGAUGAUCAUAUCAAUCUUGGAACUAUUUCCAACACACAUCGUCACUACACUCUUAACUAGUCUCUGUUUAUUCUGCAACUCCCGUUUCGAGUUACUAAUCUUAGCAACCGAACAAGUAUCAAAUACUUAGGGGCUACUAUAAACACUAGUAUGGAACACAUCAAUAAUCUGUAUAUCAAAUAUACCCUUGUUCACUUUGCCAUCCUUCUUAUCAACCAAAUAUUCAGGGCAUUUCCGCUUCCAGUGACCAUUUCCUUUGCAGUGUAAACACUCAGUUUCAGGCUAUGGUCCAGCUUUGGGCUUGUCUUUCCACUUGAAGUUCCCUUUCUUUCCCUUUGCCCUUCUCUUGAAACUAGUGGUCUUGUCAAUCAUCAACACUUGAUGCUCUUUCUUGAUUUCUACCUUCGUCGAUUUCAACAUCACGAAGAGCUCGGGAAUCAUUUUUUCGUCAUCCCUUGCAUACUAUAGUUCAUCACGAAGUUCUAGUAACUUAGUGAUGGUGACUAGAGAAUUCUGUCAAUCACUAUCUUAUCUGGAAGAUUAACUCCCACUUGAUUCAAGCGAUUGAAGUACCCAGACAAUCUGAGCACAUGCUCACUAGUUGAGCGAUUCUCCUCCAUCUUUUAGCUAUAGAACUUGUUGGAGACUUCAUAUCUCUCAACUCGGGUAUUUGCUUGAAAUAUUAACUUCAAUUCCUGGAACAUCUCAUAUGGUCCAUGAUGUUCAAAACAUCUUUGAAGUCCCGAUUCUAAGCCGUUAAGCAUGGUGCACAAAACUAUCAAGUAGUCAUCAUAUUGAGCUAGCCAAACGUUCAUAACGUCUACAUUUGCUCCUGCAUUAGGUCUUUCACCUAGCGGUGCAUUAAGGACAUAAUUCUUCUGUGCAGCAAUGAGGAUAAACCUCAGAUCACGGAUCCAAUCCGCAUCAUUGCUACUAACAUCUUUCAACACAGUUUUCUCUAGGAACAUAUCAAAAUAAACAUAUGAAAGCAACAACGCGAGCUAUUGAUCUAUAACACAAUUUGCAAAAUACUACCAGGACUAAGUUCAUGAUAAAUUAAAGUUCAAUUAAUCAUAUUACUAAAGAACUCCCACUUAGACAGACAUCUCUCUAGUCAUCUAAGUGAUCACGUGAUCCAAAUCAACUAAACCAUGUCCGAUCAUCACGUGAGAUGGAGUAGUUUCAAUGGUGAACAUCGCUAUGUUGAUCAUAUCUACUAUAUGAUUCACGCUCGACCUUUCGGUCUCCGUGUUCCGAGGCCAUAUCUGUAUAUGCUAGGCUCGUCAAGUAUAACCUGAGUAUUCCGCAUGUGCAACUGUUUUGCACCCGUUGUAUUUGAACGUAGAGCCUAUCACACCCGAUCAUCACGUGGUGUCUCAGCACGAAGAACUUUCGCAACGGUGCAUACUCAGGGAGAACACUUCUUGAUAAUUAGUGAUAGAUCAUCUUAAAAUGCUACCGUCAAUCAAAGCAAGAUAAGAUGCAUAAAGGAUAAACAUCACAUGCAAUCAAUAUAAGUGAUAUGAUAUGGCCAUCAUCAUCUUGUGCUUGUGAUCUCCAUCUCCGAAGCACCGUCGUGAUCACCAUCGUCACCGGCGCGACACCUUGAUCUCCAUCGUAGCAUCGUUGUCGAUUACGCCAUCUAUUGCUUCUACGACUAUCGCUACCGCUUAGUGAUAAAGUAAAGCAAUUACAGGGCGUUUCCAUUUCAUACAAUAAAGUGACAACCAUAUGGCUCCUGCCAGUUGCCGAUAACUUCGGUUACAAAACAUGAUCAUCUCAUACAAUAAAAUAUAGCAUCACGUCUUGGCCAUAUCACAUCACAACAUGCCCUGCAAAAACAAGUUAGACGUCCUCUACUUUGUUGUUGCAAAUUUUACGUGGCUGCUACGGGCUUAGCAAGAACCGUUCUUACCUACGCAUCAAAACCACAACGAUAGUUUGUCAAAUAGACUCCGUUUUAACCUUCACAAGGACCGGGCGUAGCCACACUCGGUUCAACUAAAGUUGGAGAAACAGACACCCGCCAGUCACCUGUGUGCAAAGCAUGGCGGUAAAACCAGUCUCGCGUAAGCGUACGCGUAAUGUCGGUCCGGGCCGCUUCAUCCAACAAUACCGCUGAACCAAAGUAUAACAUGCUGGUAGGCAGUAUGACUUAUAUCGUCCACAACUCACUUGUGGUCUACUCGUGCAUAUAACAUCAACGAAUAAAACCUAGGCUCUGAUGCCACUGUUGGGGAACGUAGUAAUUUCAAAAUUUUCCUACGCACAUGCAAGAUCAUGGUGAUGAUAUAGCAACGAGGGGAGAGUGUUGUCUACGUACCCUCGUAGACCGAAGCGGAAGCGUUGACGCAACGUAGAGGAAGUAGUCGUACGUCCUCCCGGUUCGACCGAUCCAAGCACCGUUACUCCGGCACCUCCGAGUUCUUGACACACGUACAGCUCGAUGACGCACCCUCGAUCUCCAAUCCAGUAGAGGCUCCGAGGGGGAGUUCCGUCAGCACAACAGCGUGGUGACUAUAUUGAUGUUCUCCUGUCGCAGGGCUUCGCCUAAGCACCGCUACAAUAUGACCGAGGUGUAAUAUCGUGGAGGGGGGCACCGCACACGGCUAAGGAACGAUCAAUGAUCAACUUGUGUGUUCUAGGGUGCCCCCCUACCCCCGUAUAUAAAGGAGGGAGGGAGGAGGUGGCCGGCCCAAGGAGGGGGCGCGCCAUGGGAGGAGGAAACCUACUCCAAGUAGGUUUCCCCUCUUUUUCCUUAUCUUAUUUGGAGGGGGAAGGAAGGAGUACUAGUAGUAGGAAGGAGUACUAGUAGUAGGAAAGGAAGAGGGGGAAGGAGAAAGGAAAGGGGGGGCCGGCCCCCUCCCCAAUUCGGAUUGGGCUUGGGGGGGCGCGCCCCCCUCCCUUGCUCCUUCUCCCUUCCUCCUACAUGGGCCCAAUAAGGCCCAUAUACCUCCCGGGGGGUUCCGGUAACCUCCCGAAGCUCCAAACUCUUCCGGAACCUUUCCGGUGUCCAAAUAUAUCCGUCCAAUAUAUCAAUCUUUAUGUCUCGACCAUUUCGAGACUCCUCGUCAUGUCCGUGAUCACAUCCGGGACUCCGAACAAACUUUGGUACAUCAAAAUACAUAAACUCAUAAUAUAACUAUCAUCGAAAACUUAAGCGUGCGGACCCUACGGUUCGAGAACGAUGUAGACAUGACCGAGACAUGUCUCUGGUCAAUAACCAAUAGUGGGACCUGGAUGCCCAUAUUGGUUCCUACAUAUUCUACGAAGAUCUUUAUCGGUCAAACCGCAUAACAGCAUACGUUGUUCCCUUUGUCAUCGGUAUGUUACUUGUCCGAGAUUUGAUCGUCGGUAUCCAAUACCUAGUUCAAUCUCGUUACCGACAAGUCUCUUUACUCAUUCUGUAAUACUUCAUCUCAUAACUAACUCAUUAGUUAUAUGCUUGCAAGGCUUAUGUGAUGAGCAUUACCGAGAGGGCCCAGAGAUACCCCUCCGACAAUCGGAGUGACAAAACCUAAUCUCGAAUUAUGCUAACUCAACAUGUACCUUCGGAGACACCUGUAGUACUCCUUGAUAAUCACCCAGUUACGUUGUGACGUUUGGUAGUACCCAAAGUGUUCCUCCGGUAAACGGGAGUUACACAAUUCUCAUAGUUACAGGAACAUGUAUAAGUCAUGAAGGAAGCAAUAGCAGAAUACUAAACGAUCAAGUGCUAAGCUAACGGGAUGGGUCAUGUCAAUCACAUCAUUCUCCUAAUGAUGUGAUCCCAUUAAUCAAAUGACAACACAUGUCUAUGGUUAGGAAACAUAAUCAUCUUUGACUAAUGAGCUAGUCAAGUAGAGGCAUACUAGUGACUAUAUGUUUGUCUAUGUAUUCACACAUGUAUCAUGUUUCCGGUUAAUACAAUUCUAGCAUGAAUAAUAAACAUUUAUCAUGAUAUGAGGAAAUAAAUAAUAACUUUAUUAUUGCCUCUAGGGCAUAUUUCCUUCACCUGGCCGCUCCAGAACGAGCGGUACUACCGCCCACUCCAAGCGGUACUACCGCUGAGGCCACCCAAGAGGCACUACCGCCCAGCAUCCGCCCUACUACCGCUCAACCCGACAAACUCCAGUGAUCGAGCGGUAUAAGCCCGGUACUACCGCCCCUCCAAGCGGUACUACCGCUCAAGCGGUACUACCACCCAUGAGUCCGGUACUACCGCCCUGCUUGUGAGCAGCCGCGGGCCUUUGGCCUUGUAUCCCUCUCCCACUUACCCCUUCGUGGCUUAGACUAUAAAUAGACCACCUCCACCUCCUUUCUAGGGUUAGAACAGAUUGAGCUUAUUUUGAGAUAGAGCUUUACUCAUCCAUACGGAUCUACUCCUCGUGAGAGACUGCGGCCUCUUCGGAGAAGAUCGAUCUUGGAUUCAAGACCCCUCGUGGGAAGAUCCGUCUAGGAUCAUCAAGACCUCCUCUUGGAGAUGAACCUUACCUUGUAUCUUUCCCUUUGUUGUUCAUGUACCCUUGUGGAUCUUGUGUGUUUGAUUGUCUAGUGGAUGUGUGAUUGGACUUGUUCUUGAGUGUUUCCCCUUGUGAUUUCUCUCCGUUCUUCCCUGUGUUCUUCGUGUUCUUCGUGGGGAUCCACUCCAAACGUGAAAAAUCGGCCUCUAGGGUUCUACCCUACAUCAUCAUCCUUCAAAAAUAUGGAGGGCCAUUAUUGACGGAAGGGAUAUUAUAUGGCGCAAGGUAUAAUCAGACGCAUCGGGGAUGGAGCGACUACACACAUAUGGGAUCACAACUGGAUUAUGAUGGAAAGCUAUAAGAGGCCAAUAACUAAGUUAGUGCAGAACCCCCCUCAGAAACAUUUUAUGUAUACACGUUAACAUUUCCCAGAUAUAUGAUUAAUAUUUUUGGAAAACUUCUAUUUUUUAUGUGUACUUUUUUAUACAUUUUGUAAUAUCAGAAAUAGUUUUUAUAGAAGGUUUAACAUUUUUCAAAUACAUGAUUACCUUUUUGUAAACUUAUAUUGUUUGACGUUUACUUUUUUUCAUAGACAUAGUGAGGGGUUAUAUCUAAGGAAUAGGCCCAAGUACAUGUAUGGCACAACCAAAUGCCCAUGUUAAUCAAGGAUGUUCCACAAGACAAAUGGGGAAACACACCAAGGCCAAUGGAGCUACAAGGCCAAGGCAUCGGAUACAAGGGGAGAGUCAACUAUGUACAGUCGGAUUACACAGCCCUUAACAGACAAGACUCAUCAGUUGGUCCACUAUUGGAAUCAGGUCAUUUGCCGUCAGCCCAGAAUAGACGCGAAGACUUUGCCGUGAGCAAGUUGACGACAAACACAAUCAGCAAAGACUAUAUCGGCAGAGAGCUAAUUUGACGUCAACUUUUCAUCGCGCUGAUGACAAAGACUUUGCCGUCAAUUAAACUAUGUGUUUGUAGUCUGUAGAGAAAACACAAACGGCAAAGAAAUUAAAAAAAUGGUCAUUUUAAAAUAAUUUUUAGAAAUCUAUAUACUGUUUUUUAAAAUGUUUAAUAUGUACCAAGAAUUAUUUCGUAAGUAUACAAAAGAUGUAUAACGUGUAUGAAAAUUACGUAGACAUCAGAACAUAUUAUAGAAAUGUUAAUCUUGUAUUUAAAAAUUUUAAAUACACAUGCAUAAAAAUGUUUUUGAUGUACAUAAAAAAAUUGUACAUAGUGUGUGAACAAAGUAUGCAUUGAAAAAACAAAAAUCUUGUUGGAAAAAAAUCUCGUGUUGUAUACGAAAAUGUAAAAGGUGUAUGAAAAUAAUUAGAUAUAUGUUUAAUGAAAAAAGGAAAGAAGGCGCAAAAAAUCCGAUUAACACCAAGAUAGGAACAAGAAAACCUGAAGAAGACCAUUGAAAAAAAGAAAUGAAUACAAGAAAGAGGAAGAAAAACAAAAAAAAUGAAGAAGCUGAUGCAGAACAGGGAACUUAGUGAAAACGAAUAAAAAUUGAUGAAAACCGAGAAGAAAAACAAGAAAACUGAAGCAAAAAUUAAGAAAAAUAUGUAAAAAAAAUGAUGAAACAUUGCGAAACAGUGAAAUACUAUGAAAACCAAAGGAAAAAAAGACUCAAAAAUAAGAACGUACAGCAAGCGAAUGAACAACAACUGAGUGAACGAGCGAACAUGCGAGAAUACGUUAAUUGUCUGGCCCAUACUUGUGGAUUCCAGAGGCGAGCCAGAAUAGGCGAGAUAUAGCUAUGACGAUUUGAUACCCUUCAUAGCUUCACGAAUGCUAUAUCUCGCUCACAGCGAAAGUAUUUUUUGUCUGGCCUGAAGGUGAAAGAAUAGCAUCAGGUCGCUGUAAGUUUUGUGAUCCUACAAUCAGAGCUCGAUAAGAUUAAAAUUCAUGUUUCUGACAACCAGUCAUUCGCUCACUCAAUUCCACGUACUAGUUUGGUUAGGUUUUUUUUUCAUUUUUUUCUGUUUUUUAUUUCUUCACUGGCUUUCUUUGGUUUUUUUAUCGGUUUUCUUUGUUUCCUUCACGUUUUACUCUUUCUUUUCCUUUUUACUGGUUUAUCUAUUCCUUUUUUCUUUGUUUCUUUCUUGGUUUUCUUUGUUUUUUCUUUCUUUUGAUGUCAACCUUUUUACAUACACAUUCAACAAUUUUCGUAUACAUCAGAAACAUUUUAUGUAUACACGUUAACAAUUCCCAGGUACAUGAUUAAUAUUUUUGGAAAACUUCUAUUUUUUAUGUGUACUUUUUGAUACAUUUUGUAUAUAUCAGAAAUAUUUUUUAUAGAAGGUUUAACAUUUUUUAAAUACAUGAUUACCUUUUUGUAAACUUAUAUUGUUUGACGUUUACUUUUUUUCAUAGACAUAGUGAGGGGUUAUAUCUAAGGAAUAGGCCCAAGUACAUAUAUGGCCCAAGUACAUUUAAUCAAGGAUGUAGUCCACAAGACAAAUGGGGAAACAGACGGGGGCCAAUGGAGCUACAAGGCCAAAGCAUCGGAUACAAGGGGAGAAUCUACAGUCGGAUUACACAACCCUUGACAGACAAGACUCAUUAGUUGGUCCGCUAUAGGAAUCGGGUAAUUUGCCGUCAGCCGAGAACAUACUCAAAGACUUUGCCGUCAGCAAGUUGAUGACAACUUUUCAUCACGUUGAUGACAAAGACUUUGCCGUCAAUUAAACUAUGUGUUUAUCGUCUAUAGAAAAAACACAAACGGCAAAGGAAAGCACCUUUGCCAUCAGCGGCUAAUCUGCAUGUGUCUUCAACAAGACUCGUCUUGUCACUAGCCUCAAACAUCACAGAUGGAAAAGAAAUUUUUUAUUUUAAAAAAUCUGCGUCGACCACCCUACUUCGCACAUGUAGCCACCGCCUGGCCGCGCUCGCUGAUCACCCACAAGUGUAGGGGAUCUAUCGUAGUCCUUUCGAUAAGUAAGAGUGUCGAACCGAACGAGGAGUAGAAGGAAAUGACAAGCGGUUUUUAGUAAGGUAUUCUCUGCAAGCACUGAAAUUAUCGGUAACAGAUAGUUUUGUGAUAAGGUAAUUCGUAACGGGUAACAAGUAACAACAGUAAAUAAAGUGCAGCAAGGUGGCACAAUCCUUUUUGUAGCAAACGACAAGCCUGGACAAAUUCUUAUAUGAAGGAAAACGCUCCCGAGGACACAUGGGAAUUAUCGUCAAGCUAGUUUUCAUCACGCUCAUAUGAUUCACGUUCAUUACUUUGAUAAUUUAAUAUGUGGAUGGACCGGUGCUUGGAUACUGCUCUUUCUUGGAUAAGCAUCCCACUUAUGAUUAACCCCUAUUGCAAGCAUCCGCAACUCAAAAGAAAUAUUAAGGUAAACCUAAUCAUAGCAUGAAACAUUGACACGGCACAUUAUAAAGAGUUCAACCCAAAUUUUGUAGUAACACUAUUAUAUUUAAAUAGUGAUUAUUCCAACACAUGGAUAAUUAAUUAAGGCACCAGGUUGCGCUUGUGACCAGGAAAGACAAACUUAUGAACUUGCAAGCAUGACAAUCAGAUCGACAUCCACACAAUGUCAAUAUGAACAUUGUCUUGAUACAACUUUAUUUGUAUUUUAUUUCAGAAUUUAAACAACUAGUUUGGGCGGGUCACACACGACGUUGUGUGACACUUUAUUUGUCACCGCUGCAUCGACAUAUCCAUCGACUAAACAACGGUGAUCCAACUAUAUAUUACUAGAGACCUUUCCUUAUCAGUAGGCACCAACUCCAGUGCCAACGCCAAAUGGCACACUAGUGGUGGUCCUAUACAACGGCACAUUGACACGGCACAUCAUUGGCAGGGUACGGAGCGCAAUGGAAGUCAUCACCUCAAGCUGAGCUAUCUGGUGUGGCUGCAAAAAGGUACCCUGUGCCAAUUGUUGUUGUUGAGGUUGUUGCCCGAGUUGCUGCUGUGACUGCUGUUGGGGUUGGGAAACGCAUUGGCCCAACUGUUGCGGUUGCUGCUGCUGAGUUUGGAUGGAACCCCGAACCUGUUGUUGUUCUUGCAGGACGAUGGAGUAGAUGAUAGCACGGAUUGCCUCAUAGCGGGAUUGCUGGGGGAUUUGCGGCAACUGCUGGCAACAUUGUUGUUGCAUCACAUGGCAACUACUCUGCUGCAACAUUUGCGACCUAGCAAGACUUUGUGGCAUUGCCACAGGGCUGCAUUGCUGCUGGAGGAAUACCUUGCAUGGGUUCAGCUGCUGCAAGAUAGAUGGAUGAACAAAUGGUAUUUGUUGUUGCGGUAGAACUAGUUGUUGUUGUUGUUGCGAAAAUGAUGGUUGUUGUGGUAGAAUUGGUUGUUGUUGUUGUUGUUGCGAAAAUGGUGGUUGUUGCGGUAGUACUGGUUGUUGUUGUUGUGAAAACGGUGGUUGUUGUUGUGAAAAUGGUGGUAGUUGUUGCUGCGAAAAUGAUGGCUGUUGCGGUAGAACUGGUUGUUGUUGCUGCGAAAAUGGUGGUUGUUGCUGUGAAAAUGGUGGUUGUUGUUGCUGUGAAAAUGGUGGUUGUUGUUGCUGCGAUAAUGGUUGUUGUUGUUGUUGUUGUUGUUGUUGUUGUUGUUGUUGUUGUUGUUGUUGUUGUUGUUGUUGUUGUUGUUGUGAACAUGGUUGCUGUUGUGGAAAUUGUUGUGGUUGUUGUUGGAUGGGUUGUUGUGGUUGUUGGUGCGAUAAUGUUUGUUGUGGUGGUAAUGGUUGUUGCUGCGAUGGUCUCUCCAAACCAGGGAUGUGGCUAUUCUCCAUUUGUGCAAUGGCACUUGUCGCCGCAACGGCGAGGAGGGCAAAGAUGAGGAAGGUCUUCAUGGUGGACUAGUGUUAACUAGUAUUUCCUGGUUUUGAUGCUUGUGUUUGUGAUGAUCUUUAUACUUCAUGCCUAUUUAUAGUAGCCAGGGCACCACCUCUUUUCUUCUUUGCAUUAGCUUUAAUAAUUCUGUUUGGAUGCAUCUAAAAUGAUUUUUGAUACAGUGUGUUAGGUUGCACUAGCUACACGCAUACUUUUGGAUUGAUCAUCAAAGUUUCUUUUUAGUUGUGCAUAUGAUCAUACACAAAGUAUAGAAAUCCUGAUGCUUGCUAAAGAUGACUUGCCUUAUUCACUUUACAUGUCACACACUUAUCUGUAUAGUAUCACUUUUGCAACCGAGUUUGGAACCUUGUAUAGGUUGUCAGCCAUAAACAAGAAAGGCAAAACUUGUGUAGGACUAAGUUGCAAUCGUGUGUGGGCUGUUAAGAUAUGCUCGAUUGUUAAAGCCUUGCGUCUGGAGGGUUCUUCUAGACUCGGUUGCUUUUCAUAAAACUAACUUUGUAUUUUCCUCUAAGAUGAUAAGAUGAAAUGACGCCUGUAGAGCAUGACAUGACUCAUUGAAUUCCCUUUACACGUAAAGGAUGGUAAUUGCUUACAAGCUACUCCUACUAGCAUAUAUCCGGUCCUAACUCUAGACACGUCAUCACCAGUUCCAUCUUUUUUUUUUAGAUAAAUCAUCAGUUCCGUGUUUUUUUUUUUUGAGACAAUCAGUUCCAUCUAUGUUUUUUUUUGAGAGAAAUAGUUCCAUCUAUGGGUGAAGGAUUUUUUUGGGGGCAAAUGAUAGAUGGGGCUGGAACAGAGGCCCCAGCCUGGAACGAGAGAUUAGGCCCAACGUAAGCGAUGUGUGUGUUAGGGCACCAAAUUCGAACUGGGCUAUAGUUUUCGGAGGCCCCAACGUCAGAAGCCCAGCCCACACUCCGCCGAUCUGCGUCGUCUUCGUCUCCCCUUCCCCGUCCUCCUCGCCGGCCGGAUCGCUCGCCGGCGCACGACGUCUCCCGGACCCCACCGCCCGCGGCCGCUCCACGUACGCGCGCGGCGGCGGAGGCGUCGGCCUCCCUCCCACCCUCCGCAUCCGGCCCCCCACCACCACCGCCACCGCCACCGCUCGAGGUACCCACUCGUUCCCCUUCCCAUUCCUCCCUACCCUCAACCUCUCUCGUAUCCUCUUCUAACAGCUCUUUUUACUUCCGUUGCAGAUGGUCUCUGAGCUCCCCCGUCGGCUGCGCGCCGUAGGCCUCCCCUCCCGGUCGACACAAGGUAUCGAUCCUGUCCGUCCGUCUCUUCCAGCGAUUCGAUUCACAUGAAUUCGAGAGGCGUGCCCAUCUCCAUGCUAGCUGCGUGGAUCAGGAGGGUCAGGAAGCAGAAUUCAGAUGCCUGACAGUGACAUACUACUACAUUUGUGGCUUUGGAAGCUGAGCAACUCCGUGCUUUAUGUGGAUGUCACUUCAAGUAAUCAUCAAAUUUCCGCCUACGCGCGCUACCCAGGUGGAGUGGAGGAGAAGCAGUUGGCAUGGGCAUUCCGUUUCUCUCCCAUGUCUGAGAAGAAAGUUCGUCUCCGGUGCAGCGAUAUCCAAGUUAGUUACAGCAUCCAGUCAUCUAUAUAAUCUCAGUGUUUAUUCUGUUUUGUACUGUCGUAUUUCAUAUGUGCAUCAGAGCAAAUGUGCUUUCUAGAGGCAUGUUGCAGCUGGCCGAGUCCCAGAUCUCGUUUCAUGUAUAUGGCCAUAGGCAGCGAUCAAUAAAAGGGUACUGGAAUUGAUCUUCUAACGUCACUGUUGUUUCUAGCUCCCUGUCUUUGUUUUUGUUGCUUCCGUCGUAUGGUUGCAAAGUUAGGCUUCAUCUGAUUUUAGUUAGUUAAUCUGAUCUCGUUAACCUGAUAAAGAGAAUUCCACCCUGCCCUUUAUUCCGCUCUUCACUGUCUCACAAUAAGGGAACAUAUUAAGCUCACCAAAUUGUGUCCCUCAAAAAUAAAAAAUAAACUCACCAAAUUGUAUCACAGGAGAUUGUCAAGUUGUGUUUUAUCAUAUCAGUAUAGUAAGUGUAUCAUUUGUCCAUAUCAACAAGGGAUAGUCAUCUGCCAGCUUAUUAUGCUCAUCUCUGAGCUCGAUCAUGCCCUUCAAUGUUAGUUAGAGGUGUCAUUAAAACAGGACAAGAAAUUAACCACUUUCCACCGGGUCUUCUCUCUUGAGCAGGAAGCAUGUGAUGCAUUCAAGAUUCGAUGAAUUCACGAAAACCAAUAUCGUGGUCCUCCCUGUGCAGCAGGUACCUGAGAUGAAUUGUAUUUUGUAAGUGCUCUGUAUGCGUGCUGUCAGCCGGCAGUGGAGGUAAUUGUUUAAUUUGCAUUCCUGCAACUUCUUGUAUUUGUAAAGAAAAUUCUUACUAUUUGCUGAGUGCACAGCCAUUGCAUUGUCACUUUUGAAAAACCGCAUUGGAUGUACUGAGAUAAAUAAUAGUAUAAUCUCUACUUGCAUACUACGAACGAGAAAUCUUCAUUCUGACUUGCAAUAAGGGAGUUUGUUUAGCUGUGCCUUAUUAGGAAAUGAAGAUACCCCCAGCUGUUAACGUGGUAUCCAAGCUAUCCUUAUUAUAUGUCAGCUCAAAAGGAAUGCCAAGUGCCGAGCUGUUGUGAGAGUUGAUGGUUGUGAUUGGUUACCAAAAAUCAAAGUCACCCACUCAAGAGAGAAAGUCAAUGCUCACGUUGGCUUCCAUUUUUCUCACACGCAAACCAAACACAUCUUGCUCACACCAUUAUCUUCUCCAUUUUGCACUGUGCUUGUGCUAAUCUGUGUAGUAUUGUUGGCAAUUUGGGAUAUGUUGGUCUCGCCAGGAGGCCUGUGCUAAUCUGUGCUAUUUCUGAAAAUAUGCUCCCCUAAUCUCCAAUUAUAUUAUGCGUAAAACCAAAAAGGUCAGACUUCUUGAGAACAUGCCAGUGCUGAUUUGUGUUUUUCCUGCUGAUAUGCACUUUAGUAUAUCAAAAUGUACACUUAAUUAGAUGUUUUAAUUUUAAAGUCACAGUUAGAGAGAGGGACAGUGCACCAACCAGCUGGUGCAAACGAAUGACCUGUGUGACGACCUGAGCGUAUUCUUGAAAAAGAAACCCGAAAUACCACCUAGAUCCAUCCACCAUUAUUGCCAGUGUUAAAAAAAAAUACAGGCGUCUUCUGGGCUCUAAAAGCCAUUUCUGGGUCUUAUCUCUUGAAGAAGCAUUUGAUGCAUUUAAGAUUCAACCAAUUAAGAAAACCAAUGUUCUGGCCUUCCAUCCGUGGCAGGAACUCAGAGAUGAAUUGUCUUUUGCACAAGUAUGCUGACACACGUCUAGUCAGUCGAGGUAAUUUUUGGAUUUGCAUUCCUGUGACCUCUGGUAUUUGGAAAAAGUAAAUCAUAUUUGCUAAGUUCACAGCCAAUGGAGCGAAAAUUUUGAAAAACUGCUUUGGAUUUACUGGCAUAAAUAUCUAGAGAGAAUUCCUUAUUAGACACUCCCUUAAAAUCAUGUUCCUUAUUUGACACUAGAAAAAAUUUCUUCCCUAUAUGACCUAUAGUCUUAAUUUCUUUCCCUAUAUGACACUCUAGUGCAUUUUGUUCACGUGAAAAGACCAUUUUACCCAUAUGUAUAAUGUGACCGCAAAUAUGUACAAGAUAAUAGUUGUUCCAAAAAAAUCAGUCGAGUUAUCCAUAUGUGACAUCAUAUAUGCUGGUAUUGUCAUGUCAGUCGAUUUACUAUUGUGCUAAGAAAUCAUGACCGAGGCCUUCGAUGGUUCAUGUGCUAAUUGACCUCAGCUAGUUGUCUAUACGUAUUUGUGUACAUAUACGUGGCCAGCUUGCCGGCCGGAGCGUAGAUAUUUAAAUACGUACGCGCACCCUGACGAUCAAGCGAAUACAUGUAUUCUAGCUUCGUAUGACCCGGUUCAUAUACAUACGUAUGUUGGCUGCACCGAACCGGGCCUACAUUCGUGCUAGCACGCAACUUCCUUCCAUACUUGCAAAUACGUGCACAUGCACUAAUGGCAUGCACGUAGGCGAUCACGGAAGCACACACAAAAAUGCUUAAAAAAUUCAUUCAUUUUUAAGAAUGCAUUUUAGUGUUAAAGCACACGUACAAAAGUACGUCAAACAAUCACACUCACAAACCAUACCGCAUGAACUAGACCCACAGCUGAAUACGUUCUAAAUACAUUGGAUGCAUGCGCUCAGGUAUACAGAAUACACAUGCAUCCCAAAAAAGACCAACGGAGGAGAUAACAUGUUCAGCUGUGCUCACUCUUAGAAACGAUUUUUUCCUAAUUAGGCUCAAUGCUACAUAUUUCUGGUCACAUUAUGUACAGGGGCAAAAAGGUCUUUUCACGUGUACAAAAUGAACUAGAGUGUCAUAUAGGGAAAGAAAUUAAGACUAUAAGUCAUAUAGGGAAGAAAUUUUUUCCCGUGUCAAAUAAGGAACACAAUUUUAAGAGAAUGUCAAAUAAGGAAUUCUCUCAAAUAUCUAAUACAAUGACCCACUUGCAGAAUUCAGCUGCGUAGCCUGACAGUGAUGUACGUACAUUUGUGGCUUUGCUAGCUGAGUAACUCUGUGCUUUAUGUGGAUGCCACUUCAAAUAAGCAUCAAAUUUGUGCCUAUGCGUGCUAUGCAGGUGGACGAGAAGCAGUUGGCAUGGACAUUCCUUUUCUCUCUGAUGUCUGGCAAGAAAGUCCGUCUUCUGUGCAGCGAUAUCCAUGUUAGUUACAAUAUCCAAUCAUCUCUAUAAUUAUAAUCUCAGUGUUUAUUCUGUUUUGUAUUGUCGUAUUUCAUAUGUGCAUCAGAGGAAAUGUGCUUUCUAGCUAGAGGCAUGUUGCAGCUGGCCGAGUCGCAGAUCUCAUUUAUAUGGCCAUAGGCGGUGACCAAUACAAGGGCACUGGAAUUUAUCUUCGAAUGCCACUGUUGUUCUAGCUCUUUGUCUUUACUUUUGUUGCUUCUGUUGUAUGGCUGCAAAGUUAGGCUUCAUCUGAUUUUAGUUAGUCAAGCGAUCUCGUUAAGAUGAUAAAAAGAAUUCCACACGAUGACACGACCCUUUAUUCCGCUCUUCACCGUCUCACAAUAACGGAACAUAUUAAGCUCAACAAAUCGUAUCCCUCAAAAAUAAAAAAGCUCACCAAAUUGUAUCGCAUACUCAUACAUAUCUUUCAUCGUCAAAUAACAGGAGAUUGUCAAGUUGUGUUUUAUCAUAUCAGUAUAUUAAGUGUAUCUUUUGUCCAUAUGAGCAAGGGAUAAUCAUCUGCCAGCUUAUUAUAUGCUCAUCUCUGAGAUCGAUCAUACCUCUUCAAUCUUAUUAGAGGUGUCAUUAAGAAAUGACAAGAAAUUAACUACUUGCCACCGGGUCUUCUCUCUUCAGCAGGAAGCAUGUGAUGCAUUCAAGAUUCACGAAAACCAAUAUUGUGGUCCUCCCUAUGCAGCAGGUACUUGUGAUGAAUUGUAUUUUGUAAGUGCACUGUAUGUGUGCUGUCAGCCAGCAGUGGAGGUAAUUGUUUAGCUUGCAUUCCUGCAACUUCUUGUAUCUGGAAAGGACACUCUUACUAUUUGCUGAGUUCACCGCCAAUGUAUCUUCACUUUGGAAAAACUGCAUUCGAUGUACCCACAUAAAUAUAUAAUAUAAUGAUGAUCUAAUAGCAAAUUAUAUGGCCAUAGGCAGUGAUGAUCAAUAAAAGGGCACUGGAAUUUAUCUUCUAAUGUAUACGUCACUAUUUUUUUAGCUCUCUGUCUUCAUUUUUGCUUCCUCUGUUGUAUGGUUAAAAAGUUAGGUUUCAGCUGAUUUUAGUUAGUUAUAAGCGGAUCUCGUUAAGCUCUUUAUCUUUAUUUUUGCUGCCUCCGUUGUAUGGUUAAAAAUUUAGGUUACAUCUGAUUUUAGUUUGUUAGGCGGAUCGCGUUAAACUGAUAAGAACUCCGUAUAGUCCUUUAUUCUGGUCUUCACUGCCUCAAAAUAACAGAACCUAUUAAGUGUCGAAAUUGUAUCUCACAAUCAUACAUAUCUUUCAUCGUUGAAUAACACAAAUUAUCAUAUCAGUACAAAAGUAUAUAUCGUUUGUCCAUAUGCACAAGAGAUAAUCAUCUGCCAGCUGAUUAUUCUUAUCUUUGAGAUCCGAUCCUGUACUCAAUGUUAAUUAGGGGUGUCAUUAAAAAAGACAAGAAAAUAACCACUUGCCCUCGGGUCUUCUCUUGUCAGCAGAAAGCAUGUGAUGCAUUCAAGUUUCAAUGAAUUCACGAAAACCAAUAUUGUGGUCCUCGAGAUGAAUUGUAUUUUGUAGGUGUACUGUAUGUGUGCUGUCACCCGUCAGUUGAGGUAAUUGUUUAAUUUGCAUUCCUGCAACCUCUUGUAUGUAUUCGGAAAGAAAAUUCUUACUAUUUUCCGAGUUCACAGCCAAUCCAUUAUCACUUCCGAAAAACUGCAUUGGAUCUACUGACGUAAAUAUAUAAUAGAGUGAUCUACUUGCAAUAUUAAGAACGAGAAAUCUUCAUUCUGACUUGCAAUAAGAGGGGUUAGUCUAGCUUUUUCCUGCUAAUAAAUGAAGGUACCCAUUACUGUCACCAGUUAAUGUGGUAUGCUAGUUGUCCUUAUUAUAUAUCAGCCCCAAAAAAGAAUGCCCAGUGCUGAGCUAUUGCAAGAUCGGAUAGUUUGUGAUUGGUUCCCAGAAAUCAAGCUCAUGCACUUGGCUCCCAGAAAGUCAACACUCACGUUCGCUUCCAGUUUCCUGACCAGCAAGACGUGCUUCUGCUAAUGUAGGCUUGUGCUCCAAAAUUCCCCAUCAAGCUGGCUCCUGCUCCCCCGAAUCCUACCCCCACCCAUCCAAAAGCUUCAAGAUCUCACAGAAAUCUCACAACUUCCGUUCGUCGGAGUAGAGCCUUCAAACAGCCCCGCCCACACAUCCACGCGGCGGCUGCUGCCAUAACUUCACCGGAGUCGCCUUCUCCUUCCGCGCCACGUCACCGGUGCCGGCCAGGCUCUGAAUCUUCUGCUGCUGCCGCCGAUACGAUGCUGGAGCUGGCAUCGACAUGCUUGUGAGGGCCACUUCUUCCGUGCUGUUACUGUGCUGCUGGUUCUGGGUGCUGCUGAUCAGGGGCAAGCUCGUGAAGGUAACUAUGCCUGCAAGAUUGGGAUUUUACUUGUAAUUCGUUCAAGAUCUACCUAUGAACGUCUUGCUCACACCAUUCUCUUCAUUAAUUUCUGCAGUGCACCUGUGUUGGAGGAGUUUCCUCCGAGAGUUCCAAUGGCAGAGCUGGUGGUCACCAUGGCGCUCCGGCCACUGGUCGCCAUGCUCAGGGACAAGGCGUCCAGCUAUCUCCUUGACCAGUACAAUGUGAUGGAGGGAAUGGAGAAGCAGCACAUGAUUCUGAAACGCAGACUUCCUAUCGUCCUGGACGUCAUCACUGACGCCGAGGAGCAGGCGACAGCCAACAGAGAAGGGGCGAAAGCCUGGCUCCAGGAGCUCAAGAGAGUAGCCUAUGAGGCAAAUGAAGUCUUCGAUGAAUUCAAAUAUGAAGCACUUCGCCGUGAAGCCAAGAAGAAUGGACACUACAAAAAGCUUGGAUUUGAUGUGAUAAAACUCUUCCCCACUCACAACCGUGUUGUCUUCGUUCAGAGAAUGGGUAGCAAGCUUUGCAGGAUUCUGGAGGA